GCAGUUCCUGCUAGGCCGUGGCGUGCUUGUCUCUCCGGUGUUAGAUCCAGGCACCACCACCGUGGACGCCUAUUUCCCGGCCGGCCGGUGGUUUAGUCUUCACGACCGCUCCCCCGCCAUCACCUUGCAGACCGGCAAGAGAGUGACGCUCUCAGCGCCAGCGGACUCGGCAAACGUGCACCUGGCCGGCGGCAACAUACUACCGUUGCAGCAGCCCGGCCUGACCACGUCCACCGCACGCCAAAGUGCGUUCCACCUCCUUGUGGCGCUCGCGGAGAAUGGCACUGCCAGCGGGGAGCUGUUCUUGGAUGACGGCGAGUCGCCGGAGAUGGGAGGGGUGGGAGGCAACUGGACGCUGGUGAGGUUUAGCUGCAACACAGAGGAUAGCAAGGGCAUCAUCACGACCACAAUGAGUUCGCAUGUGGUGCAGAACUCAUACGCGCCGAACCGGACUCUGGUCAUCGGCAAGGUGGCCUUCAUGGGGCUCCCGUCGCCACCAAAGGGGUUCACCAUCUAUGUGAAUGGCGCUGAGCUGAAGGCAGCCAGCACCAAGUCCCGCACGAAUGGAGUAUUCAGCGUCAGUGGGCUAUCGCUGGUCAUCGGGAAUCAGUUCGAGAUCAAGGUCGUCAUGUCCCAUUAACAUCGAGACAUUUGUGCAUAGUUCUUUAUCUGAAUAAAAAAUGAAAAUUGGUAGUAUCACCUACCAGUUCUCAUGCAUUGUUCUUAACUUGCACAAAUAUUGAACUUUGUUAUGUGACUCUUAUGCCUCCUGUAUCUCCUAGGAUGGCUAGUGCCUUUUUUUUUUGAGGGGUGAAAAACAGUUUAUUCAUCACCAAAUUCCACAAGAUGUGGGAUACAAGUUGGAACCUGGGGUUGGCCUAACCACACAUGGCACCCCGGCCCUAACGAAAGCGAAAACUUAGCAAGUUUAUGUGCGUCUCUAUUAGCCGCACGACCUUCAAACAUAAAAUUACAAAUGAAAGAAGAAGCUCUAAAUCGAAUCUCUUGUAUGAUUGCCGCGUUUUGCCCAUAUGUGACUUUGAGAUGUCACUAACCACUUGCUUCGCGUCAGAGGAGAUCAUCAGGUUGUUCAAAUUGAGAUCUUCGGCAAGGGCUAGUGCUUCACGACAUGCGAUCGUUUCCAGAAUCGCUGGGUCGUCCACUCCUGCAAUGACCAGCGAUGAGCUACCCAGAUAGUUGCCUUGUUGAUCCCAACAAACCGCCGCAGCUGAUCCUUCCCUCCCAGGUCUGACUCCAGCAUCGACGUGAAUUUUGACACAUCCCGGAGGAGGGGCUCGUGGCCUGACCCAAGAGGGUCCGCCCCUUGCCGCUUGUUCUUGCUUGUUGUCCAGCGCCUCAAGCUCAGCUAUAAACCUCCUGACAAAAUCUGUGGUGGCUUGGGGUGUUUGAAAAAUCCCUUCUGAAUUGCCUUACGCCGAGCCGUCCAUAUCGCCCAUAACGUGACCGCUAGCCAAACAAAUUGCUCAUGUGAAAGUGAUUCCAUUAGUGUAAAAAGCCAUAACUUAGCUUUUGGUUCGGUGGUAGCAACCAGCACUUGUGCAAGAUCAUCAUCAAUCAAAGCCCACACACACCUGGAUGAUGUACAAUUCAGCAGUGAAUGCCUCCAUGAGUCUAGUGCUCCACACAUCCCACAUGCCGAACUAUCUGACAUAUGUCUAUGAGCUCGAACAUCUUCCGUUGGGAGGGAUUGUUUAGAUAACCGCCACAGGAACAUCUUCACUUUCCCCGGAACCUUAGUGCGCCAUAAUGUUUUCCACGUUCCUUCCUCUGCCACUAUCGAUGACGAGCCCGCUGUGUUUUCCAACCAAGCCUCCCGCCUCCUUCUGGUUUCCACUAGCAUGCGAUAUGCAGACUUGACAGAGAAAGUACCGUUCCUCUCGAAGUUCCAACUCCAGAAGUCAGCCGUGUUGCGUGUGCAGAGAGGAAUACCCAAUAUGAUCUUGGCAUCCAUAGGCAUGAAAACCUGGUUGACGCGUUCAACAUUCCACGUGGCGCUGGUGCAGGAUGGCUAGUGCCUACACGGUCACACAUGAUGCCUUUAACUCCUGUGGCAACUACGAACCGACACCUCCAUGGGCGGAGCUGGGCUCCAGGCAGCCCAGGCCAUUGCCUGGGGCGUGAAGAAUUUUCUCGGCCCAUAUCUACAAAAAAAUUGGCCUGGGGCACAGCCGCUUCUAAGCCCAGGCCAACGGCCGAGCUGCCCAGCGAGUGGCUUUCCCUGCGCUGCUCCACAAUCCUAUUUGNNNNNNNNNNNNNNNNNNNNNNNNNNNNNNNNNNNNNNNNNNNNNNNNNNNNNNNNNNNNNNNNNNNNNNNNNNNNNNNNNNNNNNNNNNNNNNNNNNNNNNNNNNNNNNNNNNNNNNNNNNNNNNNNNNNNNNNNNNNNNNNNNNNNNNNNNNNNNNNNNNNNNNNNNNNNNNNNNNNNNNNNNNNNNNNNNNNNNNNNNNNNNNNNNNNNNNNNNNNNNNNNNNNNNNNNNNNNNNNNNNNNNNNNNNNNNNNNNNNNNNNNNNNNNNNNNNNNNNNNNNNNNNNNNNNNNNNNNNNNNNNNNNNNNNNNNNNNNNNNNNNNNNNNNNNNNNNNNNNNNNNNNNNNNNNNNNNNNNNNNNNNNNNNNNNNNNNNNNNNNNNNNNUCUACCGAGCCAUCCAGCCACCCACCCCUUCAAAUCAAUCACCUCCACCUCCGCUAUGGGCUGCUGCCCUGUCCGGUGAACUGCCGGCGAGGUGGCCCUUGCCAGGAGCACAAAGAGCAGACAACAGCAAGAGCCAAGAGCAAAGGUAUACAGUAUACUCGUUCUUCCAUGUUCCAUACCCAAUUUAUGUUUGUACAUGCUAUUGUUUCAUGAUGAUUUUUGUCAAUUGCUAGAUGACACCUUUGUUGCUUGAUCCCACUGUUUGUUAGAUACUCAUAGAUGGGAAGACAAAUUAUGACAUUUAGUAAUUUUGUUUCUAUAUAAUGUUACGGCAAGGAAAGAUGAGAAAAAGAAACAGGACAUCAAAUUCAUUUUUUGAAGUUCGAACCACUGGAACCGUAGAAACAAGGUCCUUCAAUUCAAACAACCGAUAAUACCCCUCGUAUUAUAGCUCAACUCAAGCCCGGUGAUAUUGAAGCAGACCCUGGUAAGAGAAUACCAAUUCAGGAUUUGGAUGCAGACAUUAGAGAUCUUGCUAGAAGGUAGUACAUUAGUACGGGUCCAUGCCAACCAACUAAUCAUACAUAUGAACAGUUAAAUGGUAGAAGCUUUCAUGAUUAUUGGUUCAAUGAUCAUUGCAGCUGGUUGGAAUAUAGCAUUGAAAAAAGUAGCCUUUUUGCUUUUAUUGUUUUCUGUUAAGCAACCAAGGGCUAAAAACUAUCAUAUUGAAGCAUUCAUGAAAAAUGGUUUUAAUCUUGGAAGGAUGGGCCUAAAGUUUUCAAUCAACAUGUUGGCAAGCAUGAUAGUGCUCAUAAUAAAUCUAGACAACAUUAUGAGGAUUUCAAAAAUCAAAGACAAAAUUUGCCACAUGUGUUUGAUAGGGGUUCUAAUAAGCAGUGGCGGAGCUAGCAUUUGAGAACAGGGUGGCCCGGCCUAAAGAAAAAAAAAUGAUAACAAAUACUAUGACAUGUGAAUGAUCUAACUAAUUACCAAUAUCACACAAGUAGAUUAAUAUGGUCUGACAAACACACUAAAAUUCUCAAUUUAAGUCUAAGUUUAACAUAAAUAAGCCUACACAGUACAUAUUACAUGGACGUUUGUAAGUACAUACCUUAAGUUCAAAACGACUAUGUUUCUUCCCUUUCUUCGUAUAGCUUCUCUCUGGAAAAGAGAAACAAUGUCUUUGAUCCUCUUCAUUCUUCGAACAAUUCUGCAAUAAGAAUUUUUCUAUCAAUAAAGCCAUUUGGGGCAGAAAUGAUGCACAAAAUUAUGUUGUUGGUCGGUUCAUCUACAGGAUAGAUAGCACAACAAAAAUACUAAAUCAAAAAUUGGGGGAAAUUGGGUAUUUGAGACCUUAAAUCAGGCUCACUUGCUAAGGUGCUACCACCGGACUGGGCCACUGGGCAGCCACUGCCGGCUUUGCAGGGGCAUCAGGCGACCGGGGCAGGGAUGCAUCCGCGCAGGGCAGGGGCACACUCAGAUCGCAGGGGGGAGGAGAGGCGACAUGCGGAACCUCCUCAGCAGGUGGGCACCGGCGAUCGCCACUGGCGAGGUGGGAGGGGCUUUGCCCCUGCGAGGGCAUCGGGACUAGGGACGAGGCGGCUCCGCGGCUGGUUCUACUACUCGAUAUAAUCCAUUGCUCAAUGUAGAUGACGAAGUGGCUGUGGGCUGUGGCUACAUUCGUCAACACGUAAGUAUUUUGGGCCAUAAUUUUUUAUCUGGCGCAGCCAACGAUCCAUAGGUAUAUGGGCUGACCAAAAAUCCCAGGGUGGGCUGCGGCCCACCCUGGCCACCCUGUAGCUCCACCCCUGCUAAUAAGAAAAAGAAGAAGAAUACAAAGCUCGUCUCUUGAUUAUAAUAGGAGAUACAAUUGGAUUUAUGCAAGGCUUGUUCAGAAGAGACCACCAAAGUCAUUCUUGAGGAGAUUAGAGAUAGUAAAUUUGCAUUACUUGUUGAUGAGUCAAGAGAUGCAUCUAUGAAGGAGCAAAUGGCUAUGUGUUGAGGUGAGUACCUUUGCUCGUAUUUUCUUAAAUGUUUUUGUGGGUGUAUUUUCUUAUAAGUUUUUAUAUAUUAAUCAUGCUCCUAUGUCUUAUGUAGGUAUCUCGGCAAACAUGGGGAGGUGAUUGAGAGAUUCAUGGUAGUUGAGCAUGUUCCUGACACGAGAGCAACUUCGCUAAAGAUAUCUUUAGAUGGUAUGUUUGCUACUCUUGGCUUGUCUAUGUCUAAUUUGAGAGGGCGGGGUUAUGAUGGGGCAUCAAAAAUGAGAGGGGAAUUCCGUGUAUUGCAAAGAUUGAUCUUGGAUGAAAAUCCUUAUGCUCAUUAUAUACAUUGUUUUGCCCAUUAGUUACAAUUAGUGGUUGUUGUUGUUGCCAAGUGUUGUUCAUCAGUAAGGGAUUUUUUGAAUACACAAGCAUGGUUGUUAACAUUGUUAAUGCUUCUUGUAAAAGACAUGAUCAGUUAGCCCAAGAGCAACAUGAUGAAAUAGUGCGCCAAAAGAGGUUGGGGAACUUCUUGAGGGAAGAGGGAAAAACCAAUUAACUAACCUUGCUAAACCCGGUGAUACACAAUGGGGGUCACAUCAUAAAACCUUGUGCUGUCUUGUUGAGAUGUGGAAACCAGUUCUGAAGGUAUUAGAAAAUUGACACAAUUAUGCCGAUAAUGUUGCCCAAAGAACCACAGCUGCUGGGUUGAUAAAGCACAUGGAGUCCUUUGAAUUUGUUCUCAUAUUGCAUCUUAUGAUAAGAUUAUUGGGCAAGACUAACAAUCUGUCACAAUGCUUGCAAUUGAAAAAUCAGAAUAUUGUACGUGUUGUGGGAUUGAUUAAAACCACAUUGGAGGAUAUUCAAGAGAUAAGGCGGAAUGGUUGGGAUGAGCUCUUUAAAGAGGUAACAGACUUUUUUGUCAAAUACAACAUUGUAGUGCCAAAUAUGGAAGAUACAAGAACUGCUAAAUGGUGUUCAAGGACUUGGGGUGGGCAAUUGGUAACUUACAACCUCCAUUUCAAAAAUGAUAUAUUCAAUGUGUUGCAUGAUCAACUUAUUGUGGAGUUAAACAACCGCUUUGCUAAGCUUGCAUUUGUUAUUAACUAGUUUUACAUGCUAUAUUACGCACUGAUUUGCAUUUCAAAAUUUAUCAUUGAAGGUUUAGCUUAUUCUGCUAUUGAAGAUGUAGUCAUGGGAGUCUCAGAUCAACCAAUCCUUUGAUUUGGUAUCAAUCUUUUGUAUCAUUUAUAUAUGCUACAUACUGUAUUUUGAUUUGCCUUGCUUUAUUAGUUGGCCCAUCAUGGAACAAAUGCUGUCAUGGAAUAUCAUGUUUGGUUUCUUGUUAGUUAUGCAACAUAUAUUGACAUUUGUAUGCCAUGAAAUGAGAGUUUUUUGUGAGUAGUUUUUAGCCCUUAGUUUCUCGCCUAGGGCGUCGGCCAGUCCUGGCUCCGCGACUGGACAUCCCCUACAUGGCUACAAUUGGUGUGGGUAGCCAACGUGGAUACUACUAACCAGCGGUGACUCCUUCCUUCACGUCCAUAGUUGGCUCGGGUUGCAGCGUACCAGACAUUUGCAACAGUCAUCCUGAAAACUUUUCUAUUCUAUUUUAUUUUGACCUCCACUAUUUCAUGUGCCGCGCUCGUAAGCCUUGUCGUAUAUACUUCCGCAAGGCGAGUUUUGUUCCUUCAAGCCAACCCUGAUUAAUUCCUUUCCUUGUUAAGGCAAGGCAAAUUUCAUUCCCCAACAAUGCAUCUUCUUCUUUAUUGGGUCUUUCUCUUGUUGUAUGUUCAGACUAUUUGUGGAUGUAUUUAAAUCGGUAAGGUUUGAUCUAAAGAAGCAAGGUGGGACUAAUCGGUAAAAUUAGAUAUAAAGAAGCGAUAUGGGCUAUUUAACUACCAAAAGAACCCAAUAUCCACUCAGACCAAUAAUGUAGCAUAGCUGGUUGUGUCCGUUGGAAGGUAGGGUGCUGGUCCAGAGUCCGAACGUCCACCAACGCCAUUUUUUUCGUAGAUUCGUUUAUUCAAAACGUAUCUCUUAAACUGUGCAUUCAAAUCUCGAACUAUAUUCACCGUUCGAUUCCUCGCGUCAAGAUCUUCAAAAUUAGAUCCCAUGUUGAUAGAUUUUGAUGAACUUUUUUUUCACGGAAAAACUGUACAAAAAAACCAAACUGGGAGCACGAGUUUUUUCCCUUUCCGAAAGAGGCACGCCCGUGCCUCUCACGAAAUCACAACCGCGCCUCUCGCGGAAGCAAAACCGUGACUCUUGCGGAAAAAAACACGUUUUUCCCGUUUCCGAGGAGGCACGACCGUGACUCUCGUGAAGCACACCCGUGCCUCUCGCGGAAGCAAAACCGUGAUUCUCGUGAAAGGAAAAAAAUAGAGAACACAUUCUUUUCUGUUUCCAAGAGGCACGGUCGUGACUCUCGUGAAAGCACAACUGUAUCUCUCGUGGAAGCAAAACCAAGACUCUCGCGAAAGAAAAAGAAAAACGUGUUUUUUUCCGUUUCUGAGAGGCACGGCCGCGACUCUCACUAAAGCACAACCGUGUUUCUCGCGGACGCAAAACCGUGACUCUCAUGAAAGGAAAAAAACAGAAAACAUGUUUUUUCUCCUUUUCCGAGAGGCACGGCCGUGACUCUCGCGAAAGCAAAACCAUGCCUCUCGCGAAAAAAAACACAUUUUUUCACGCAAUUUUUUUUAUGGAUUUUUAAUCAAAAAGCUAAGGACGACCGGUGGAAAACCAAAAUGUUGAAAAAAACCAGUUUAAAAAACUGAAAACGCGUGCGGACAAAUAAAAACACAAAAUCCGAAGGGAGCGUCCAAAGUGUGACACGUAGCGAAUGACUAAGAGCGCAUCAAGUGGCGCUGAUCGUUGCAAGGCUCCUAAUGGAGCGCUCGUUAACUAGUUGCUCUGUAGAAAGUAACACGUCAAAACAACCAAUAUAAAAUGGGGAGGGCGAUUCGGUGCCUACGUCCAGAUGAACCUGAUAUCCUGAUCGUUCAAUGGUGCCUAGGGAUGUUGAAAAAUAGGUCUGUCGCGUCAGACUUGGGGCGCUGGAAAAUUGGAUACGGGCAGUAUACCGCAGGGAACAGUGCAGUGCGGUGGUCCUUUCUAUGCAGCGGGCGGCCUAUUUCGAAUCGCACAUGGGUUGUUCCAUCACUUAGCAGUCCCGAGCCGUGGUACAGGUCGUCGCCGAUGUUACGAGCCCGGCCCAGCGUGAUGUCAAUCAAAAGCCGAGCCGUCGGACGGUAGUUCAAGACAUAGAAAUUUAUCUCGUGAUGUCGAUAGUGCUAGAUGAUGAAUUUGUCGGUCAUUUCUUCACUUCCUACGCCAGCAAUCUCAUUUGUGAUGAGAGCAAGCCUAGAGUACAUUUCAGCGAUGCCUUCACCAUCCUUCAUCUUGAACUUGUCAAGUUGACUUUGAAGCACAUCCAAUUUGGAUUCCUUGACUGAGUCGGUACCUUCGUGCAUAUCAAUCAAAGUGUCCCAAAUUUCGUUUGCAUUCUCAAGGCGACUGAUUUUGUUGAAUUCUUCGGGGCACAAUCCGUUGAAGAGGAUAUCACAAGCUUGAGCGUUGUAUUGCAGCAUCUUCAACUCUUCCACGCUAGCUUCACGGUUUGGUUCUCUCCCAUCAAAGAAUUCACCUUGCAAGCCAAUACACACAAUAACCCAAAUGGCGGGGUUAUGUCCGAGGAUAUGCAUUUUCAUCUUAUGCUUCCAACUAGCAAAAUUAGUACCAUCAAAGUAAGGACCUCUACGGUGGUAGUUUCCCUCGCUAGACGCCAUACUCUUCUAGGUUGUGAAACCAAGGCUAUGACCACCAAAAGCUAUGGAGAUCAAAGCAAAUGGAGACCAAAGCUCUGAUACCACUUGUAGGAUCUUGAAGUAUGUCUAGAGGGGGGGUGAUUAGACUACUUGACCAAAUAAAAACUUAACCUUUUCCCAAUUUUAGUCUUUGGCAGAUUUUAGCAAAGUUAGCACAAGUCAAGCAAUCUUAACACAAUUCAAGCAAGCAUGCAAAGAGUAUAUGAGCAGCGGAAAAUAAAUCAUGCAACUUGCAAGAAUGUAAAGGGAAGGGUUUGGAGAUUUCAAACGCAAUUUGGAGACACGGUGAUUUUUGAGCCGUGGUUCCGAUAGGUUGUGCUAUCGUACAUCCACGUUGAUGGAGACUUCAACCCACGAAGGGUAACGGCUGCGCGAGUCCACGAAGGGCUCCACCCAAGAAGGGUCCACGAAGAAGCAACCUUGUCUAUCCCACCAUGGCUGUCGCCCACGAAGGACUUGCCUCACUAGCGGUAGAUCUUCACGAAGUAGGCGAUCUCCUUGCCCUUACAAACUCCUUGGUUCAACUCCACAAUCUUGUCGGAGGCUCCCAAGUGACACCUAGCCAAUCUAGGAGACACCACUCUCCAAGAACUAACAAAUGGUGUGUUGAUGAUGAACUCCUUGCUCUUGUGCUUCAAAUGAUAGUCUCCCCAACACUCAACUCUCUCUCACAGGAUUUGGAUUUGGUGGAAAGAAGAUUUGAGUGGAAAGCAACUUGGGGAAGGCUAGAGAUCAAGAUUCAUAUGGUAGGAAUGGAAUAUCUUGGUCUCAACACAUGAGUAGGUGGUUCUCUUCAGAAAUGGUAAGUUGGAAGUGUAGGUUUGUUCUGAUGGCUCUCUCCAUGAAUGAAGAGGUGGUGGAGGGGUAUAUAUAGCCUCCACACAAAAUCUAACCGUUACACACAAUUUACCAAUCUUGGUAGGACCGAAUCAACAAACUCGGUCAGACCAAUUCAGUAAACCUAGUGACCGUUAGGGUUUUCGGUGGGACCGACAUGCAACUCGGUAGGACCGAUAUGGUUAGGGUUAGGGAAUAACGUAAUCUCGGUGAGACCGAUUACACAAACUCGGUGAGACCGGUUUUGGUAAUAAGCUAACCAGAGAGUUGGUCAGGUAAACUCGGUGGGACCGGUUCGCUCUUUUCGGUGAGACCGAAAUGUUAUGAAAGGGAAACAGAGAGUUUACAUUGCAAUCUCGGUGGGACCGAUCGUUCAUCUCGGUUAGACCGAAACGUUACGAAGGGAAACAGAGAGAUUACAAUCCCAUCUCGGUGAGACCGAGAUCCCUAUCGGUGAGACCGAUUUGCCUAGGGUUUGUGGCAGUGGUUUUGACAUCUGAACUCGGUGGCGCCGGAUAGAAAGAAUCGGUGGGGCCGAGUUGGACUUUUAGGUUUAGGUCAUAUGUGGAUGUGGGAAAGUAGUUGAGGGUUUUGGAGCAUAUCACUAAGCACUAUGAAGCAAGAACCUCAUUAAGCAACACCUCAUCCCUUGUUGAUAGUAUUGGCUUUUCCUAUAGACUCAAUGUGAUCUUCGAUCACUAAAAUAUAAAAUGUAGAGUCUUGAGCUUGAAGCUUGAGCCAAUCCUUUUAUCCUUAGCAUUUUGAGGGAUCCACUUUUCUCAUCCAUGCCAUGCCAUUCAUUGAGCUUUCCUGAAAUAUUUGUCUUGAAAUAGUAUUAGCUUAAUGAGCUAUAUGUUGUUAGGAAUUACCAAAACCACCUAGGGAUAGUUGCACUUUCACAACAUAAUAGCACAGGCUCGCAAGGGGGAGCCGGCGGCAUGUGUCGGCGCCCGGGUGGCCUGUGUGUGGUAUAGUGACGGUGUCACGGGGAGGAGCGCCCGUAGUCAAGCCCCGGGAUGUAGCCAUAUCAGUGAACCUCGUUAACAAAUCUCGGUGUCGUGUUCGUGUGAUUGCUUGGUCCUCGGAUGAUAAACAGUAUGCCUCAGAUUUAUUCUAACAAGUGGUAUCAGAGCUAGGUUAUUCGGAGGUCGCAGAUCAUUGAUCCAGAGGAGGAAGAACAUCGACAAGAAUCUGCAUGAUGCGGUCGUAAUACGGGACAAAGAACGUCGGCGAGUUGUGAUCUAAAGCAGAGUUGGUGGUGUUGUAAUCUUUACGAAGCGAUCGGAAGCUGCGGCGGCUUGGUUGUUCAAUCGCACCAACAGCGGCGCGUCCGUGGCAGCGGGAUCCGUAUCGAAUCGUGGCAGCAGCAGCGUACAGGGGCUGGAUCCGGCUUGCCUGCUUCCUCCCCAUGCUCCCAUCUGUGCUCCCACUUCAUCCUACGGCUAUCUUUUUUUUUUAUUUUUCUAAUCUAAUCAUCUCCCCCCUGAUUUUAAAAGGGUGGGACCGGGCCUUAUUUUGUUCCAAUCAUAUCAAGCCAGGUACGCGGGAGCAUGGAUGGGCACACACAUGGGGAGCAGGCAAGUCUCGUCCACAGGGGCUGGCCGAGCCAGGCUACACGCGGCCGUGAGGGCCCAAGCGCAGGUGAGGCCAGCGCUCCAUGGCAACCCGCGUGGAAGCAAAAAUCGGGCAUUGACUUUGGUUGUGUGCCAUACUGCUGCAGAAAUCGGGAGUACUGUACCAAGUUAUUUGUUUGAAAAAAAAUAUGGCACAAGGACUUAGUCAGAUCGUGAUGCUACCAUGGAAAAAGAAAAGGAAAGGAAAGCCUAGCUGGAAACACGUGACGCAGGCCUAAGGGCUUGUGUGGCUUCGACAAGAUUAUGGCGCGAGGUUGAUUCAAGGUGAUGUACACAUGGAGCUUGAAGUCGACGGGGCGCGAGGGUGGACUGAUCAUCUACCAUGGAGUCAUGUUGAAGGUGGAGCUGGAUUGAGGGGCUACGGUGUAAGGAUCCAGAGAAUCGAAGCCUAUUCAGCGGAUGAGAAAAGCGAGUGGCACGUAGUUCGGACUGGAGCCCAAUGGUCUGAUGGAAGCGUGAAACUCGUCAUCGGUCUGUGAUGAUCGGUGGUACUCUGCAGUGGGGGUUGAGUGGUGUGGUUUGCGACCCUUGAGACUCGACCGGGACAGCGGAGGCUCGACGCAGUAAUAACGGCGAGGCGUGCGGUACGCACGAGACUUGGAGAUGAGCCAGGGCUCUGGUGGUCAUACAUGUGAUUAGACAACUGCGAAUUUGACUCAGGAUGACUACAAGCAAUGGUGAAAUUCCUUCAAGUUUUUGAAAGGUGGUCAAGAAAGGAGCGGUGAUGUUGAGUUCAGGUAAUUCUUAUGUGUUACACCCAAUAUGUGAGUUGUUCACUUUCACGUAGGUCAGUGAUCGGUGUGUGAUGGCGUUGGACGAGUACUCUAGAUUUGGGAGCACAAGCUAGUAAAAGGAACUUAAUUUUGCUUGAGUGUUGACCGUGGUCAAGAAAAGAAGGGACUACACGUUGCAGGUGGAGUCAUAUGAAGUCUUUGGAGUAGCAGCGGUACUCAUGGGAUAAGCUCAAGUCCAAUGUACAUGGAAAUUUGACGCAUUGACAAAUUCAAGGUGGUGGAGAAUAUUCGCCAAGGUGGAGUUUGUGGGAGUUGUGUCGAAUAUUGUGUAAAAGGUAGGUUACAGUUGGACUUGUAGUUGUAUUGUGUUUAGAUAGGAUAUGGAGUUGUGUCAUAAUAGGACACUUAUAUCCUAGGUCUCUCUUAUAUAGCGAGGGUAGACACACGAUGUAACCUAUGCCAACAUAAUAGCACAGGCUCGCAAGGGGGAGCCGGCGGCGUGUGCCGGCGCCCGGGUGGCCGGUGUGCGGUAUUGUGACGGUGUCACGGGGAGGAGCGCUCGUAGUCAAGCCCCGGGGAUGUAGCCAUAUCGGUGAACCUCGUUAAUAAAUCUCGGUGUCGUGCUCGUGUGAUUGCUUGGUCCUCGAAUGAUCAACAAUAUGCCUCAGAUUUAUUCUGACAUGAUGAAGACGCUGCCUUGUGCGGUGAUGCAACCUAAUGGUGCGUAAGCUUGCACGAGGACUCCUAGUUUUCCUUCCAGUUCCACAGACACGACUUGCCUUGAUAGAUUGAGGUGACCGCAUUUACCCCUGGGCAUUUUUCCAUACUUUGAAUCGAACAACACUGCCUGCCUAGCUUCAGCCUCAACAACAUAUUCGAUACAGCUAGGAGGUAGCGAAAUGCAAAAAAAUCUUAGUCCAUGUUCGAAUGGCAAGGAAUCCGCAACAUGGAUACCAAAGAUGGUGCCCUAAACCGGCUGCUCAAGUUGCUGAUGUGAUAGCUCUAUCUUGGAGAGGUCUCAACUAGACUGAACGCAUGCAUAUUAUGUCCAUACUCACAAUCAAGGGAGAAAAACUAACUGAUCCAUGGCAUGUUAUAAUCAAGCUUCUUUCCACGCUUUACUCUUAGUUGGAUCUCAAUCUUAAUGGGUUCCUCUGACACAAUUCCGCAUGUUCCGGUCAAGAGCAAAAAAGGAUCUUGCAAGUUGCCACUAACAAAUCUGAAGUGUUGUCAUCGAAGCAAUUUUUUUCGUAAAGGACCACUCGCGCCAAUGAGUUGGCAGAAAGGGCCACCUUGAAAAUCAUUGAAAAAACUACUACUCAGGCGGCACCUGCGCUAGGUGACACAUGGCACUUGCCACCAUAGGAGAUGGUGACAAAUAUUGUUCAUGCACUGUUUAUCCAUGCGAUGAUUUUCAUGAGCUGAAACGAAAACGGGGAUGGUGAACAAUACAUGCCGCUGUCCCCUACAACGGCAUGUAAUGUUCAUGUGGUUGAAUAGUAAUUAAAACAAACUAAUAGAAAAAUUCAGAAAACCGAAUGUUUUGGCAGCAAAGAUGAUCGAGGGUUAUAAGUGCGUGUCCAACCGGGACAUGCACUUUCAGUGGCGUUGGCUCCAUGUGAUGACCUCGCGGAUCUCUUCCAUGACAAAUUCCAUCUCAAGUGAUUGCAAAUUGAUGCCAUGCAGGUAUCAAUUUUGUAAACCGAGAUUUGAGAUGUGGUAGAAAACGAAAGCUUUCAUCAUUCCCACCCUAUGCUUCGCCGAUGCAUACAACCGAACCAUUUAUUAUCAAGUUUAUACAAAUCAAGAGACACAGUGAUACCAGAAAAGUGUGACGGGCCACACCAAAAAUAUUAAGAACUAAAGAAGCCUAGCAGUAGCACGCAAUCCAAUAUGGAACGUCGAUUCACUGGUAAGCCACUCUUGGAGCCAAGCUUAAUCUGAUCAUUUUUGUCUAUGAACGUGAGACAUGAAUUAUAGUAAACUCAAAUAGACUUGACGUAACCACAGAAAAUACUUAGUAGUUUUGCGUGGACUGGUUGGGACAGAGAAGGGUACUUGCACUUAGGUCUGGAAGAGUGGUUGGCCUCCUGAAAAGAAACAUCUCUGUUAUUGCAAGGGUCUUGUGUAAAAAAUAUAAAUCUAGUUACCUCAGGUUGAAAGGAAAUAUCUUUUUAAACCCUAACCUUGCCAAGAGGCCGUGUCUGUAAACAUACAUGAUACUGCAAUGGUUUUUGUGUGUGGCAAAGUUUGAUACAUAUAUGAUGUUGGUUACAAAGAGCUAAAAAGAAAUAGAAAACAGUAUAGAUUAUUUGUUUUUCUUUUUUGGGGCAAAAUUUGAUGCAUAUAUCAGCAAGAGCUAAGAAGAAACAAAAAAGUUAUAGAUUAUUGUUUUUAUCUUUUUGGGGGCAAAAUUUGAUGCAUAUAUGAUGUUGGUUGCCACAAAUUUUGGUAAAAAAAAUCAAAAUUCGCUAGAAGGAGGGCUCGAACCUCCGAGCUUGUGGUUAACAGCCACGCGCUCUAAACAACUGAGCUACUCCACCUGUUUUAUUGUCCAAAUUAUUUAACGCUAUAUAAACUAGGGCAAGGUGUAACGGGACAAUAUUUGUUACUGGUUCCAGGUUCACACGUGACACCUGGUAAGUUAAGCAUUGCUGGGGCAAGCCUUUUCUUUUGAGGGAAAGUUUAUUCCCGGACUAGCGCGUAGGUGCGGUGCAUGCAUGUACCGGACCCGUCACUCUAAAGUCCCAACCAACAGCCACGUCGUCUACGAGGGCUGCUGAAAUGAUGCAACGUUAAUCCUAUUUUCUUUUUGAACAUUAGUACAGACACAUCGCCAGAAAUCCUGAAAUAAAUUCAGAAAUAAAUGCAAGCAUCAGGAUUUAAACCCUGAUGGCCUGGGGAUACCACAGUCUCUCUAACCAACCAACUACAGAUUGGUUCGCUAUUUUUUUUGUCUUUUUGCGGGAAACACUAAUCCUAUUCUAAGUGAUGACACGCUAUUGUGCUGAACCGCCUGCAAAUGAUGCUUGUAGAUUAUGGUCACACAACUAGAGCAUGAAGAUCAUCCUCAUCCUUACGCCAACAAACAUAACACGUUAGGAAGAAACAUCCAUAACUUUUUUGCGGGGAAAGAAACAUCCAUAUUACUGGCGCCAGCUUCAUCCUGCUAUGUUUUUUUCUUUUUUCUUUCUAAAAAAAGGUUGAAACCUCGGAAUACAUAUAAGAUGCACACCGUCAUCUUUAUUGAAUUAUUUAACAAAAGUCCUCCAAAAACAUACAUCAAACAUCUCGAAGCCACCACUUCACACCUACAAACCCGACAAUGAGGAUGUAAUCACAAUGCCCCAUCAUCUAGAACCGUCGUCAUCACCGAGCCGCCGACACGGCGUACCGAAGCACACUUCCAGUCCAGUAGACUAUAAGCGCGCAGAACAUGCACACGCUUUAGAAGCCGCACCACCAUCAAACAGUCGACUCAUCUUCACGGUAGAGAUCGCAUUAUCCUUGCCAAGCUAGCCGUCGACGCCGCUAUGGUGCCAAAUGGCGUCUCCACCCCGUUCUCAUCCAUUAGGAUGCAUCCGUAGCCGAGACUCCGCCGCGCCAUGUCGCCAAGACCCGUCGUCGAAGCGGUAUAUACGACACCGCUCCACUUUCUCGCCCUUCCAGAGGCUGCUCCAAAACGAUGCUCCCAGAAGGGAAAACGAUGCUAAGCACCGCCGUCGUUCGAUCCGGGAGUCCCGGUCUAGGGUUUCCUUAGGAGUAGCUAUACCUGGCCAUGGGAAGCCCGGCCCGGCCGGCCCGGCCCGAAAAAGCCCGACCCAGCCCGGCCCGACGCUGCCCCCAGGCCGGGCUCGGGCCUAGAUUUUGAGCCCGAAGGCCGGGCCGGGCCCGUCGUUUUUGCGCUUUCCUGAAGGUCGGGCCUGGCCGGCCCAAACCCUGACGGGCUUUUAGGUGUUCGGGCCGGGCUCGGGCCCAAAAACAGGCCCGUUGGUCGGGCCGGGCCGGGCCCGGGCCUGGGUUUUUUGCGUCGGGCUUGGCUAGGCCCGGCCCGAAGCCCGGCCCGGCCCGAGGUAUGGCCAGGUAUAGGAGUAGCCGAGCGAGAAGACGAAACCUGACAUGAUGAUACCCCCCACAUGAUCGAAGUCGGCUCAGUUUUCAUCGACAGUCACGCCUCCCCUUCCUCGUCGCCGAUAGUAGCUGAUGUGCCAGUUCUCCCCCUGACUGGCUACUGGUCAUUGUGUUGCCAUGCAGUAGCAGCCGCCGGUAGACACUACACAUCGCCACCUAGCCUCAAGCCACAACAGAUCCACUUAGUCGGCCUGUCGACCCAAAGAACGAGGGCAUCGUGACCAUAACACCUUUUUCAGGCCAUCGUCGGCUGCCCGACCACCACCGCUUUGAGGCCGCUGCCCUGGGAUGAAGCUACACCUCACACACGACCAACGUCUAGGGCCAAAACUGCACUCUGUGCGGAGAUCUCCCACGAGGACGAGGAGACGAGGGCCAAUCGAUCGCCAUCCGCCGGGCAGGGCUUUUGCUUGCCGGCCUCCUCUGACGGCGACGGCUAAUUGAAGGGGAGGAGGAGUGGGGGCGGCGUUGACUAGGGUUCGCCCGAGCCGCCCCGCUAGGAGUGGCGCGGAUGCGGUACCCCUGUGAGGUGGACGUGGGACGCUGAGCACAUGCUAUACUGUAUAAAUUUGGGAAAAAUUAUUGGCUUUGAAAAAAAGUUCAUCAACUUUGAAAAAACCCCAUUCAUUUUGAAAAAAGAAGAUCGAAAGGUUCAACAAUUUUGAAAAAAAAAACAUCAUGAAUUUAGGAAAAAAUCAUCGAAUUUUAAAAAAUGAAAUUGGAAAAGUUUGCACAUUGCAAAAGAAAAAAGAAAACAAAAAGGAACAUAAAAAAGGAAAAGUAAAAAAAGAAAAAGGAAACAAUAAAUGCAACAAAACGUUUGAAGAAACAAGAUAAAAUGAAACAAGGAAAAAAAUAAAAAAUAAAAAAGAAAAGAGGAAAAAGAAAAAAGGAAAGAGGAGACGGAGAAAGACAUAAGGAAACACAUCAGCUUACCAUGGCUAGUUGGUUAUCGCCUCAAACUUGGUCGAGUCCUGCCACACCCAAACUAGUUUGUCAUUUAAAUCAGAAAGAAAAAGAAUUGGCGGGCCCAGCUACAUAUAUGGAGUGUUCGCCCUCAGUGGGGUGAGGACACCGCAAGAUUGAACCAAUCACAAAGCACCUCUUUCAUUGCAAGAAAAACCAAUCUAGUUGACCAAACCUAAUCGAUAGAUCGAAGAGAAAUACAAAGCUAUCAAAUCAUGCAUAUAAGAAUUCAGAGAAGACCCAAAUAUUAUUCAUAGAUAAUCUGAUCAUAAAUCCAUAAUUCAUCGAAUCUCGAUAAACGCACCGCAAAAAAAGAUUACGUCGAAUAGAUCUCUAAGAACAUCGAGGAAAACAUUGUAUUGAAGGUCAAACAGAGAGAAGAAGCCAUCUAGCUACUACCUAUGGACCUGUAGGUCUGUAGUAAACUACUCACACAUCAUCGAAGGGGUAGCAAGGUUACCCCCCGUGAUAGAAUUCCCCUCCGAUGGAGUGCCGGAAAAGGCCUCAAGAUGGGAUCUCACGGGAACAGAGACCUACGACGGUGGAAAAGUAUUUUUAUGGAUGCUUCUAGGGUUUCUGGAAUAUUUGGGAAUUUAUAGGCCAAAGAGUCGGUGUAGGGGACUCCCGAGGGGGCCACAAGCCCAGGGGGAGCCCCCCUAGGGCGCACCCCUACGGCUUGUCAUCGCCUCAUGGGUCUUCUGACUUCAUCUCCAAGUCACGUAGAUGUCUUAUGGUCCAAAAAAAAUCAUCAUAAACUUUAUUCCGUUUGAACUCCGUUUGAUAUUUCUUUUCUACAAAACUUAAAAACAAGGAAAAACAGAAACUGGCACUGGGCACUAGGUUAAUAAGUUAGUCCACAAAAUAAUAUAAAAUAAUAUAUUAAUGCAUAUAAAAGAUCCAAAGUUGAUAAUAUAAUAGCAUGAAACAAUACAAAAUUAUAGAUACAUUGGAGACGUAUCAGCACCCGCCUCCCUUCAAGCGACGGUCAGGAGCGGACACCUUCACAUCGACUCGACACCUCUGUAUAUGUCCAAGUAUUGCGGAUCCACAUAUGUCCUGUUAGACUGUAUUUACAUGUGUAUAUUGUAACAUUGUAUACCACCUCAUUAUAUAUAUAUGUGAUAGGCCACACCUAGAGGGUUGUGCCGGUUUCCCCAAAGCCUAUUGUCUUACAUGGUAUCACGCUAGGUUACGUCCGCUUCCGCCUAAAAACCCUAAACCGCUGCCGCCGCCGCCGCCGCCACCGCCGCCGCCGCCGCGCCCGCCGUCGCCGUCGCCCGACUGCUAUGACGUCCGCCGCUGCGUCCGGCUCCACCGCCACCGGUUUUCUGCCGGCCUCCCUCGCGGCACUUCUCUCGAGGCCGCUGGAUGCCGCCUCCCUUCAGGCGCCGAUCGGGACACGGAGCGUCGGCUCCCUCUUCGCGCUCCCGCCGGCUGCUACUUCGCCCGGGCAGGCGCUUGUGGCCCACACCGCCGCCGCCCUGUCAACCGCGGCUGUCGCGCCCUCGGCCACUGCGCCGCUGGUGGCGGAGGACGUCGCGCUGGCAGGCUUCGCGGCGUCAACCGCGGCCAUCGCGCCCUCUGUCACCGCGCCGGCUGCCCCUCUGACUGUCUCCACGGUGGUCUCACCUCAGCCAGUCUCCUCGAUGGGAUCGCAGCCGCCGCCGCCGUUUCACUUCGGCCAUCUCAUCACCAUCAAGUUGUCAUCGGACAAUUACAUCUUCUGGCGCGCGCAGGUUCUUCCGCUUCUUGGGAGUCACUAUCUGCUUGGCUAUGUCGAUGGCUCUCUCCCUUGCCCUCCUGCGCUGGUUGACAGCGUGCACGGUCCGGUCUAUAAUCCGGCUCACCGUGUCUGGACAGGGCAGGAUCAGGCGAACCUCUCCUCCAUCCAGGGGUCGCUCUCUCCGGCCGUUGCUGGGCUUGUUGUCUUCGCCAAGACGUCCCACGAGGCAUGGACUAUUCUUGAGCGCUCGUUUGCGGCACAGUCGCAGGCUCGUGUAUCUGGGCUCCGUCGCCAACUUGGGGAGUGUCAGAAGCUUGACUCCACCGCCACUGAGUUCUACAACAAAGUCAAGAGUCUCGCCGACACGCUGGUCUCCAUUGGACAGCCCCUCACCGACUCCGAGUUCAACUCGUUUAUUGUCAAUGGUCUUGAUGAGGAGUAUGACGCCCUAGUCGAGAUCAUCAAUGAGAGGGGCAACUCCACGCCCAUGCCAACACACGAGGUCUUUUCACGCCUCCUGCUUACUGAGCAACGAGUCGAGACGCGCCGAUCCAGGGGCAACAGCGCCCUCUCGGCAAACGCCGCCACCAAGGGUGGUCGCUCCUCUGCUUCAUCCAGGGCUCCUUCGGGGCAGUCACCACCACCCGCCUCGGCCCCUCCUCCUACUGCGACGCUACUAGGGGCUGGCGGUCCACGUGUGUGCCAGCUUUGUGGUCGCGAUGGGCACUGGGCCUCGAAGUGUCACAAGCGCUUCCAGCGGGGUUUUCUUGGUCUCGACAAUGACGGGAAGGAUACACGCAACUUUGCUCGUCAGGUCGCCAUGGCUGAUCAUCCGCCGCCGCAGAAGCCACAGGGACACAUUCAGUCCUACUCCAUUGAUCCCCACUGGUACAUGGACUCUGGGGUGACAGAGCACCUGACCAGUGAGAUGGGGAAGCUUCACACUCGUGAACCCUACCAUGGCUCCGACAAGAUCCACACCGCCAAUGGAGCAUGUAUGCACAUCUCUCAUAUUGGUCAAGCAUCACUUCUCACUAGACAUGCCAAUAGGAGCCUUCAACUUCGCAAUGUUCUUCGAGUUCCAUCUGUGACACGUAAUCUUCUUUCAGUUCCUAAACUCACUCGUGAUAAUAAUGUGCUUUGUGAAUUUCAUCAUUUUGAUCUUUUUAUUAAGGAUCGGGGCACGAGGGACAUUCUUCUUAGUGGGCGGCUCUGCCAAGGUCUCUAUCGUCUGGAGCAUCCUGGCGUCGCUCGCGUCUUUAGUGGAGUUCGGGUAUCUCCGUCACAGUGGCAUGCUCGUCUUGGUCACCCGGCCACACCUAUUGCCCGGCAUGUUUUGCGUCGUCAUGAGCUUCCUAGUGUGUCUAGUAAUAAAGAUGUAGCAGUGUGUGAUGCUUGUUAGCAGGGAAAGAGUCAUCAACUUCCCUUUUCGGAGUCCAGUCGUGAGGUGAAACAUCCUUUAGAACUUGUGUUUUCAGAUGUAUGGGGUCCUGCUCAGACUUCUGUUAGUGGUCAUAAUUACUAUAUCAGUUUUGUUGAUGCUUACAGCCGCUUUACCUGGCUUUAUCUUAUCAAACGUAAAUCUGAUGUGUUUGACAUUUUUGUUCAGUUCCAAAAACAUGUUGAACGCCUUCUCAAGCACAAAAUUGUUCAUGUUCAGUCGGACUGGGGUGGCGAGUAUCGCAACCUCAACUCCUUCUUUCAGUCGCUUGGGAUCACUCACCGUUUAGCAUGUCCACAUACACAUCAGCAGAAUGGUUCAGUAGAAUGUAAGCAUCGUCACAUUGUUGAAGCUGGUCUGACUCUUUUGGCCCAUGCAUCUGUUCCGUUUCGUUUUUGGAGUGAUGCUUUCACCACUGCAUGUUUUCUCAUCAAUCGUACUCCCACUCGUGUUUUGAAUAUGAAGACUCCCAUUGAAGUUCUCCUUAAUGAACAACCAGACUACACCUUUUUCAAGGUGUUUGGGUGUGCUUGCUGGCCCCAUCUCCGUCCAUAUAACAAGCGUAAGCUCGAGUUUCGUUCCAAGAAGUGUGUUUUUCUUGGUUAUAGCUCUCUUCAUAAAGGAUACAAAUGUCUUCAUGUGCCCACUAAUCGUGUCUACAUCUCUCGGGAUGUUGUGUUUGAUGAGCAUGUUUUUCCCUUUGCCAAACUCCCUGUGUCCACUACCGAGCCACCUGUCAUGCAUUCAUCCUCUGUUGCUUCUGACCAAUUUGAUGAUGUUGCAUAUUCUCCUCUAUUGUUGCCUAACCAUGGUGCAGGCACUGGUCGUGGGGCUCGUUUGGAGAUUCUGGAAGUGCCAUCUUCCUCUUCGUCGCCAUCGCCUUCAUCCUCGGCACCUUCUGUUGUGCAUGAGGAGCACAUGGCGCCCCUGCAUGGCCUCGGUUUCUGUGCUCAUGCACGGCCGAUCGACACCCUGGCCCGGUCGCCUCUGGCUUCUGGGCUGCCUUCGCCAUCGUCGCGCCCUGCAACCCCGCCGACUGGGCCGGCCUCCUCGGUCCCCGUCUCGCCCAGGGCGUCGGGGCAGUCAUCACCAGGCCUGGCCUCGCCCGCCCCUGCCUCGCCCAGGGUGUCUGGGCCCUUCUCACCAGGGCCGGCCUCGCCUGCUCUCGCCUCGCCAAGGCCGUCUGGGCCGGUGUCACCGGAGCUGGCCUCGCCCACUCUCGGUUCGCCCAUGGCCUCUGAGCCCCUGUCGUCGGGCCAGUCUUCGCCAUGCAGCCCGGAGUCGUCUGUCCCGAGCUCGCCUGAGGUGAUUCCUGCAUCUCCGGCGACCGUCACGUCUCCGUCACCUUCGCCUCCGCCGGCUCCUGCUGCUGCUCUACGUCCACAUACGCGCAGUCGGAGUGGCAUUUUUCAGCCUAAGCAACGUCACGAUGGCACAGUUGCUUGGUUAGCGGCGUGCAUGUCUGCUGCUCUCGCAGAUCCAUCCUCUGAGCCACGCAUGUAUCAAGCUGCUAUGCGCAUUCCUCAUUGGAGAGAGGCCAUGGAGCAGGAGUAUCAAGCGCUUCUUCGCAAUCAGACAUGGACUCUUGUUCCUCCACAAUCACGGGUAAAUGCCAUUGAUUCCAAAUGGGUUUUCAAAGUGAAGAGGCAUUCUGAUGGGUCUAUUGAGCGCUAUAAGGCUCGUCUGGUUGCUCGUGGUUUUCGACAGUGUUUUGGACUUGACUAUGAAGACACCUUCAGUCCAGUGGUCAAGCCUACUACCAUCAGAAUUCUUCUCUCUCUGGCUGUUACUCGAGGUUGGUUUCUUCGUCAGCUUGAUGUUCAAAAUGCUUUUCUUCAUGGUGUCUUGGCGGAGGAGGUUUACAUGCGCCAGCCUCCGGGUUUCUCUGAUCCGGAUCGCCCUGAUCAUCUCUGUCGUCUGUCCAAGGCAAUUUAUGGUCUGAAGCAGGCUCCUCGUGCUUGGCAUGCUCGUCUUGCAAUGGCUCUUCGUGCUCAUGGUUUCGCAUCAUCAACUGCUGACUCCUCAUUGUUUCUUCUUCAAAGGCCUGAGGUUACUAUGUACUUAUUGGUCUAUGUAAAUGAUAUCAUUUUGGUCAGCUCCUCUCAGUCGGCUGCUACUGCGCUUGUUCGCUCACUUGGUGCUGAUUUUGCGGUCAAGGACCUUGGGAAGCUUCAUUACUUUCUUGGUGUGGAGGUUACUUCUCGUGAUGCUGGCCUUGUUAUGACGUAGAAGAAGUACUCUCUGGAUUUGUUGCAGCGAGCUGGGAUGCUUAAGUGCAAACCGACGACUACACCCAUGUCUACCACUGAUAAGCUCAAUGCUGUUGAUGGUGUGCUUCUUUCUUCUUCUGAUGCGACAGAGUACAGGAGUAUUGUUGGUGGGCUCCAGUACUUGACGAUCACGCGACCAGACAUUUCCUAUGCUGUUAACCGAGUCUGCCAGUAUCUGCAGUCACCCCGUGACACUCAUUGGUCUGCUGUUAAGCGGAUUUUGCGCUAUAUUCGUUUCACGGUGGCUCAUGGUUUGCAUAUUCGGCCGUCUGACUCUGGUUGUCUUUCAGCAUAUUCUAAUGCAGACUGGGCUGGCAAUCCGGAUGACAGGCGAUCCACGGGGGGUUAUGCUGUCUUCUUUGGCUCUAACCUGAUUGCCUGGAGUGCUCGGAAACAGGCUACUGUCUCGCGUAGCAGUACUGAGGCUGAGUAUAAGGCUGUGGCCAAUGCCACAUCAGAUAUCAUCUGGGUACAGUCCUUGCUUCAGGAGUUAAGUAUACCCCAAUCACAGCCUCCUGUUCUUUGGUGUGAUAAUAUCGGUGCUACAUACCUUUCUGCAAAUCCGGUAUUCCAUGCCCGAACGAAACACAUUGAAGUUGACUAUCACUUUGUGCGUGAACGUGUCUCUCAGAAGCAACUACAGAUCAAGUUUAUUUCUUCCAAGGAUCAACUUGCUGACAUCUUCACCAAGCCAUUGCCUUUGCCACAGUUUGAGACUUGCAGGCGCAAUCUUACCCUUCUAGAUUCAUUAGAAAGUGGCUAAGAUUGAGGGAGGGUGUUAGACUGUAUUUACAUGUGUAUAUUAUAACGUUGUAUACCACCUCAUUAUAUAUAUAUGUGAUAGGCCACCCCUAGAGGGUUGUGCCGGUUUCCCCAAAGCCUAUUGUCUUACAUGUCCAAGUAUUAAUCCUCCAACUUAAGUGAAGCUCCACAAAUUACUAUAAUUAUUGUAAUUAUAUUAAUGAGUAAAGAGGUAGUAUUUAAAAAAUAAAAUAUCUACGAUAUGACUAAGCUCCCUAGGGAGUGAAGGCCUCUCUCAAUUGAGGACAUUGGUUUUGGAUUGGAUUUUUAAUUUGGACUUUCUCAACAAUUGUGCUCUCUUAUCCAAGUGAGGUCUUCAAUUUUAUAUUAUGUUGACAAUUUUGACUGGUCAAUGUUUUCUCGAAUCAACCGGCAGCAACCAGCUUAAAAAUAUGUCAUCUCGCGCAUGCUCUCAUCAAAUGACAAAAAAAAGAAUGCCAACAUGUAACACUGUAGCACCAAUAUGAUUUUGUAUUGAGUUUCCAAUUUUUUAGUUUGUUAAUAAUUCCUCAAGGAACUGUCACAUUCAAGUGAGGUGUUUAAUUUUGAAUUUGAUUCGUGAUUUUGACUGGUCAAUGAUUUCUGAAAUCAAUCCACAACAACAAGCUUAUAAAAAUACUCCCUUCGUCCAGAAAUACGAAAUUAAUGUAUCUAGAUGUAUUUUAGUUCGAAAUACAUCCAUUUUUGCGGCAAGUAAUUCUGGAUGGAGGGAGUAUAUCAGUCUCGCACCCUCUCAUCACAUGACAAAACAUUAAUACCACUGUAACACGAAUAAAAUACAUGUGCUCAUGCUGCAGGAAACUUCCCCGCAUAUGCAUGGGUUAAUUGGCAGAUAUCACAUAAUUAUACCCAGAAAGAACCAUCGAAAUACCGCAUUAUAAAAAAAAGGAAAAACACGCCAUCAUCUCCCCUACACUAAACCACUUUUUUGUAAUGAAAUCCCAACAAUACCAAUCGCGCAGCAAAGCACACCCAAUCCUUCUAGAAUAUUAUAUAGCUAAACUCAUACUUGAUACAAUUAUUACAAGCAAUUGCAUGUUACAUCCUUAGCUGACCACGCGUAUUUAUUCCAGAGUGUCAUGUGGACUAUUUGUAAUGAGGUGCAUACAACACUGGGACGGUGAUGGCUAGACAUAUGAAUUUGACCAGGGUCAGAUUAAUGCAUCCAGGCCACGUAUUCUCAUGGAAAUUCUAUUUUCAAAGGUCAACACAUUACAGAAUGUGAAGAUGAAAAUUUUCAAAAUUAUGGAGAAGGCAUAAGUAUUAGCAUGCCGUAUGGUUUUUGGCCCAUAGAAGGUUUUCCUGUCGUUGUUGGCUACUUGUUACUUUGUUUGAUUGUAAUUCGACAUGGCACAUUGAGUUUAUUCCUUAUGGUACUUGUCACUUGUUUGAUGGGUAUGAGACAUGGCACUUUAAAAUUAUUUCUUCUACGGUUUUAUUGAUUUACAGUGAAAAUGUUCAUUUUUAAGCAUCAACUGUGAUAUAUAUUUUGUACUGUGUUACUGCUGUUAUGACUAUUGUUGUAAGUUUUUUUUAACACAAAAAUUAAUCUACGUUGAAAACCUUAUAAAAAAAGAAACCCCCCGCCGUUGGGCCUACACAAGCACUACUAGACAUUGAGUUUAUUCCUUAUGGUAUUUGUCACUUGUUUGAUGGGUAUGAGACAUGGCACUUUAAAAUUAUUUCUUCUACGGUUUCAUUGAUUUACAGUGAAUAUGUUCAUUUUUAAGCAUCAACUGUGAUAUAUAUAUUUUGUACUGUGUUACUGCUGUUAUGACUAUUGUUAUAAGUUUUAUUUAACACAAAAAUUAAUCUACGUUGAAAACCUUAUAAAAAAGAAACCCCCCGCCCUUGGGCCUACACAAGGAUUACUAAAACCGUCCCGAUCAAGCCUGUAGGCGAAAGAUAAGGCCUUUCGGCCACCGGAUGGUACAACGGCAGAGAACAACAGGGCAAUCACAGGCGGGAGUGAUUAUAUUCAAGUGAGCUUACGGAGGGGCGGCGGACACGGGUAUUUAAGUCGGUUGUUCCGUCCCUCCACGGACGAGGUGGGACUAAAACUCCGUAGAGUGCACCGCGCCAACCUCCCCUCCCCCACCCACGCAUGUCGUUACUGAAUCAGCCCACACGCCCGACGAGCGUCGUUACUGGGCUGACCUACGAGCCGCGCAGAACGCCCCCAUUCGCGCCAUUACGGGGCCGAUCCACGCGCUGCGCCCAGGCGGCCCACUCAGGCGUGACUCCCACCUCUGCCUGAUGAUGGUUUAGCAGUUUAGUCCCACCUCGCCAGUUGAGGGACGCAGCGACCGGGUUAAAUAGCCGCGCCGCCGUCCCCUCGUAAGCUCGCUUGGUUACCUACUGCCUUUGCUUGCCCCAUUAUUCCCGCCCCAGAGCCCUCCCAUUAACGCCGGCCCAGCACGUUUUUUUUUUAGAAAAAACAUCACCAACGGUAACGACACAAUACUUCUAAUUAUAUGUUGUGCUACACAAGCUGAUAAUAAUAACAACGGUAAUACAUACUAGUACAAAUUAACAUAGCAACAAUAAUAGUUUCACACACAUAUAACAUAGGAAUAAUAGUUCCACACACGUAUAUCAUUUCGUCUCACAAAAUAACAGCAAUAAUAGUUGCACACUUGUAUCAUUCCGUCUCACACAAAAGACAUAAUAAAACUCUGAGAAAAUUGUCUCAAAAGCCUUCAAUAAAACUUUAUCAGACAUAUAUAUUAUGUCUAGCAUGAGAAUCACAUGCGAAUUUUAACUCCCUAUUUUGUUUUGAUGAAUGUAGCUGCAUCUCUAAGCCUGUUUCCUACACAACAAAAUGUAAAGAACUUGUGAGACAAUUUUUGAGAACAAAAGACGGUAAAAACAGACAAUUAAAAUGUAAAACUUACUUUUCAUUCAACUUGCACGUCUGCUUUCUAUGACCUGGAUUGCGACAUAGGCUGCACAAAGGACCACUUGUCCUCUCAUCAAAAGAUUUUGGUCUGCCAUUUUUUGUAACAUCUAGAUCUUUUUUUGACCUCCAUGUCUUGCUUUGCUUAGGUGCAUCCUUCGUGGAAACUUUCACAGGAUCACAUAUAACAUCAGGACCUCAUUCCGGCUCACAUGCCUCGUCAUGAACAUACCUUCUAUGAUCAACAACUUCAUAAUUGGGGAACUUUUCUUUGAUAUUAUAUUCUGCAGACACUGCAUCAACUCAUCGAACACGGAUGGAUGAUUUGCUGCAACUUGGAAAGCUUCUGCACCUGUUAUACUGAGUUGACUAUACCGAGCACGCUCAUCUGUCCCAAACAUGUCACUCUUGCGCUGUGCAGGCAGCCUACCCCUCGCAUUUUUCGACACCCUCUUAAGGAUGCAACACUUAGGUAUUUCAGAUAUUUUUAGAUGAACCAGUACAUAUAGAAUGUGUUUGCAAGGCAACCCUUUCCGAGCCAUUCGUCCACAACUGGAUUCUAUCAUCUCCUCUGAGUUUCCAGGUCGAUACUUAACUCUAAACUAAAAUUUGCAGUUAUUCUUCAAUGUCACGAUAAAGGUGUGACAGUCAACUCCCACUAGCGUCUCGAAAAUAUCCAGCUCUCCCAUCUUCUUCAGAUCUUUUUGAAGAAUAUAAAAAUUGUCUUGAGUGAAUACACCAGCAGCAUGCUUCUCAAUGUCCUUAUAUUCAGUGACUGAUGGUGGUACUAACUAGUUAAAACGAUAAUCAUCAUGCACCUCGUUCUCACGUAGUCGAACUAUGUAGUUCUCAUAAUGCACUACUAAAUCAAUAUUGGUCAUAGUCGAGGUGAAGGUGAAAACAAGAGUUUAGGCUUUCACUCCUCUGAUUACCGCGCAUACCAAGAAAAAAUCCAUUUGAAAUAUAUGAUGCUGCCCAAAGACUCCUCUUCCUGUACAUCAUAUUCAGCCACUCUUCUGUUUUAUCAGUCUUGCAUUUACCAACAACGCCAUCUCACCUCAAAGUUAGCAGGAGAGGUGGAGUAGUACAACUGUGACCUGGACUCAUUCAGUGACUUAUAAUUAAGGUGCUUCUACAUAUUUUUUCACAUGCCAUGAGUAAAGAUGAUGAAACACAUAUGAAGGACAAUCUGAAUAGCUCUGGUCAUUGCGGCAUCUCCAUUUGUGAUGACUGACUUUGGUUUCUUCUAACAAUUUGCUUUCAUGAAUGUCUGGAGAAGCCACAUGUACGUACCUUCACUCUCAUCAGACACAAUGGCACAACCAAACACAAUGGUGCAAUGAUGAUUAUUUCCACCAACAAAGGGGACGAAGGCCAUACCAUAUAUGUUCAUCUUGUAUGUAUUGUCAAACACAGUCAUAUCUCCAUACAGCUGAUAGUCCCGCCGUGACUGUGCAUUGCACCAGUACAUGCUCUUUAACCACCCUUCCUUAUCGAGCACAUACACAAAGUAGUUUGGAUUCUUGUCCUUUCUACUCCUAAUAAUGGUGAUUGCUGUGUCAGCAUCUCCCUUUGCAAUUAAUUUCAUUUUCUCUCUGCAACAUAGGUUGUAGAGGUCUCGCCUCACAAGGCCAUACUUAUUGUACAAACCAUAUCUGCUGAUGAAGUUAUCGACGCUGACAUGCUUUCUGAUCCCAGCUGCUUUCAACGCUAAAAUCUCAGCUUUUUGGUGAUCUCCUACCACUCUAUGUGACCGCAGGAAUGCCACCUCGUCCGGUCUAGUCAGAACAUGGUUGUGAUCAUCCAUGAAUGUCGCGACGAACCAAACUUCAUGUGCUUUUUCCAACUUCACGACCAACUGUGUGCCACACUCGCAACGAGUCCCAGGUCCAAGCCUCCGGGUACGGCCCUCCGGGUUUAAGAAUUUACUCCUCCGUUUUCCUGCCCUGGAGGAAAGGUACCGCAUGUAUCGUAUAGUUCUUGAAAGACCUUUCCCUCGUUUCACCUUCUCUUUUCUGAAACUCAAUCCACACUCUCUAGCAUGGUUAUUAUAGAACGUGUAAGCCUCCCAUUGUGAUCCAAAGGUCAUAGCCAUAACCUUCCAAUGUGUCUAUAGUGCUUGUUGCUGGAUUUCAGCCCGCUCAAUGUUCAUAUCAGUUGCACCGUCGUGCUCAUGGCCAUCAUCACCACUACGACCAUCCAGAUCAUCCUACAAAAUUAUACAUAAGCACAUGUAAGUUGUCAUUAUUUACUUCUUAUGAUUGUGUAACGUACAAAAUAUUUUAACGAACCUAACUUAAGUUAUUGGCAAAAGAUUCCUAAACUAUAUUUUCCUCAUUAUGGACAUCAAUAUCUUCCUGUACAUAAAAGAACAACAUACACGUGUAAGUAGCCAUAUAGUUGUUUGGCAGACGAAAUCAAUGUACACGUCAUUUACGUUUUCACUGUAAGCACCAUCCUCGUUAUAUUGAAAGUCCUGCUCAGUUAAAUUAUCCUAUGACGGCCACAAUUCAUUGUCACUGCUAUAAUCAUCUUCAUUACUGCAAUCCUUAUCAGUACGACCAAUAGUAUCGCUACCAUACCACUUACUCGUGUGGAAGAGUGCAUCCGUAUAUCCUGUUUAUUCCUCCAUUGAAUAACCUCACUACCAACACUGCACAAUUUAAAAUAAAAAAUCAUAUCUCAAUUCAAAAUCAAACAAGAUGUACUGGGGUCAUGCCGAUGAACAAUUAAUAACAUCAAAAUCAUUCCAAAUUAUUAUCUGCAGCAACUAAAUCGUUGUGAUGCAAACUAGACUAUUUACGUGACAAACCUAGAGGGUGGACGAUCUCGAUGUCCAGCGGCAAGGCCGUGAGGUACGUGCACUCCGGCGUGAUUGCGGACGGCGAAGAUGUGCACGGAGGCAAAUUACGACGUGAUUGCGGGCGGCGACGUGCAUGGAGGCUAGAUUGUGGACGACGACGACUUCGACAACGUCCAUGGAGGCCAGAUAGGGGACGAACCCCGGGGAAAUGGCUGAUGCGGUCCGGGCAGGGUGAGAUGCAUCACGUGCUGGGGGAUGGUGACCGCCAUCUUCAACCGGCGGCAGCGGCCGCUGAUACGUCUCCGUCGUAUCUAUAAUUUUUGAUUGUUCCAUGCCAAUAUUCUACAACGUUCAUAUACUUUUGGCAACUUUUUAUAUUAUUUUUGGGACUAACAUAUUGAUCCAGUGCCCAGUGCCAUUUCUUGUUUGUUGCAUGUUUUAUGUUUCACAGAAAACCCAUAUCAAAUGGAGUCCAAACGGGAUAAAAACGGACGGAGAAUAUUUUUGGUAUAUUUAUGAUUUUUGGGAAGAAGAACCAAAGCGAGACGAUGCCCGAGGGGGCCACGAGGCAGGGGGGCGCGCCCCUGACUCUCGUGGGCACCCCGUAAGGCGGUUACUGCUCUUCUUUGGCCGCAAGAAAGCUAAUUGUCAGAGAAAAAUCUUGGCGAAGAUUUCAUUCCAAUCGGAGUUACGGAUCUCCGGAUAUAAAAGAAACGGUGAAAGGACAGAAUCUGGGAACGCAAAAACAAAGAGAGAGGCAGAGAGACAGAUCCAAUCUCGGAGGACCUCUCGCCCCUCCCAAGCCAUGGAGGCCAUGGACAAGAGGGGAAACCCUUCUCCCAUCAAGGGAGAAGGUCAAGGAAGAAGAAUAAGAAGGGGGGCUUUCUCCCCCUUGCUUCCGAUGGCACCGAAACGCUGCCGGGGCCAUCAUCAUCACCGCGAUCUACACCAACAACUUCACCGCCUUCAUCACCAACUCUUCCCCCCUCUAUGCAGCGGUGUAACCUCUCUUUUACCCGCUGUAAUCUCUACUUAAACAUGGUGCUCAACGCUAUAUAUUAUUUCCCAAUGAUGUAUGGCUAUCUUAUGAUGUUUGAGUAGAUCCGUUUUGUCCUAUGGGUUAAUUGAUGAUCGUGAUUGGUUUGAGUUGCAUGUUUUAUUAUUGGUGUUGUCCUAUGGUGCUCUCCGUGUCGCGCAAGCGUGAGGGAUUCCCGUUGUAGGGUGUUGCAAUAUGUUCAUGAUUCGCUUAUAGUGGGUUGCUGGAGUGAUAGAAGCAUAAACCCGAGUAAGGGGGUUGUGGCGUAUGGGAUAAAGGGGACUUGGUGCUUUAAUGCUAUGGUUGGGUUUUACCUUAAUGAUCUUUAGUAGUUGCAGAUGCUUGCUAGAGUUCCAAUAAUAAGUGCAUAUGAUCCAAGAAGAGAAAGUAUGUUAGCUUAUACCUCUCCCUCAAAUAAAAUUGCAAUAGUGAUUACCGGUUUAGUUAUCGAUUGCCUAGGGACAAAUAACUUUCUCGUGACAAAAAGCUCUCUAUUAAAACUAACUUAGUUGUGUCUUCAUCUAAACAGCCCCUACUUUUUAUUUACGUGUUCUUUAUUAUCUUGCAAACCUAUCCUAUUACACCUACAAAGUCCUUCUAUUUUCAUACUUGUUUUAGGUAAAGCGAACGUUAAGCGUGCGUAGAGUUGUAUCGGUGGUCGAUAAAACCUGAGGGAAUAUUUGUUCUACCUUUAGCUCCUCGUUGGGUUUGGCACUCUUACUUAUCGAAAGAGGCUACAAUAGAUCCCCAACUGCUGGUGUACUAAAGUAGGGGCACUCCUUUGUACCCCUUACUUGUGCACGGGCAGUCAGAGCCGCGCCCGCGGCCACACUUAAGCAGGGCAGAGACAGGAAGUCAAGGCCACAAGACGGUCAAAGCAACGCCAAGACAGGGACACAAAGAACAAGAGAGAGAGGUAGACUCCCCCGUCAAGACCCUUGCCGGGGCAGCCUCCACAGCCACGGCAAGAACCUUGCCGGGGCAGCUUACCUGAUGCCAGCGGAGCGCGCCACCCUUGAGCCCUAGUUUUUCCAACACCACCAACCACGUUGGGACCAAGGCUCGGGAGGCGCCUACAUGAUGGUAUGCAGAUCUUUGUGAAGACAAGAAACACUCCAAAUCAGAAGGGAAUUAGAAGACGGCGAACCUCGGCGAGUGCUACAUCUUGAGCUUGUGUUGGUUUUCCUUGAAGAGGAAAGGGUGAUGCAGCAAAGUAGCAUAAGUAUUUCCCUCAGGUUUUGAGAACCAAGGUAUCAAUCCAGUAGGACGCUCCUCAAAAGUCCCACACACCUACACAAACAAACAAGAACCUCGCAACCAACGCAAUAAAGGGGUUGUCAAUCCCUUCACGGCCACUUGCGAAAGUGAGAUCUGAUAGAGAUAAUAUGAUAAGAUAAAUAUUUUUGGUAUUUUUAUGAUUUAGAUUGGAAAGUAAAAGAUGCAAAUAAAAGAUAGAUGAAAGCUUAUAUGAUAAAAGAUAGACCCGGGGGCCAUAGGUUUUACUAGUGGCUUCUUUCAAGAUAGCAUAAGUAUUACGGUGGGUGAACAAAUUAAUGUCGAGCAAUUGAUAGAAAAGCGCAUAGUUAUGAGAUUAUCUAGGCAUGAUCAUGUAUAUAGGCAUCACGUCCGUGACAAGUAGAUCGAAAUGAUUCUGUAUCUACUACCAUUACUCCACACAUCGACCGGCUCCUGCCUGCAUCUAGAGUAUUAAGUUCAUGAAGAAGAGAGUAACGCAUUAAGAAAGAUGACAUGAUGUAGAGGGAUAAAGUCAUGCAAUAUGAUAUAAACCCCAUCUUUUUAUCCUCGAUGGCAACAAUACAAUUUGUGCCUUGCUGCCCCUGUUGUCACUGGGAAAGGACACCGCAAGAUUGAACCCAAAGCUAAGCACUUCUCCCAUUGCAAGAAAGAUCAAUCUAGUAGGCCAAACCAAACUGAUAAUUCGAAGAGACUUGCAAAGAUAACUUAAUAACACAUAAAAGAAUUCAAAGGAGAUUCAAAUAUUUCUCAUAGAUAAACUUGAUCAUAAACCCACAAUUCAUGGGAUCUCGACAAACACACCGCAAAAAGAGUUACAUCGAAUAGAUCUCCAAGAAGAUCGAGGAGAACUUUGUAUUGAGAAUCAAAGAGAGAGAAGAAGCCAUCUAGCUAAUAACUAUGGACCCGAAGGUUUAUGGUAAACUACUCACAACUCAUAGGAGAGGCCUUGGAUAUGAUGUAGAAGCCCUCCGUGGUCGAUUCCCCCUCCGGCGGAGUGCCGACGAAGGCUCCAAAAUGGGAUCUCGCGGAUACAGAAGGUUGCGGCGGUGGAAUUAGGUUUUCAUGAUCGCUUAUGAUGGUUUCAGGGUACGGGUGUAUAUAUAGGAGGAAGAAGUAGGUAGGUGGAUGCUCGAGGGGCCCACGAGGGUGGUGGGCGCGCCGGGCACCCUCGUGGCCGCCUCGUCUGUUGCUUGACUUCCACUCCAAAUCUCCAGGUUUGCAUUUGUUCCAAAAAAAUCGCUCCCGAAGGUUUCAUCCCGUUUGGACUCCGUUUGAUAUUCGUUUUCUUCGAAACACUGAAAUAGGCAAAAAAAUAGCAAUUCGGGCUGGGCCUGCGGUUAGUAGGUUAGUCCCAAAAAUGAUAUAAAAGUGUAAAGUAAAGCCCAUAAACAUCAAAAAUGGGUAAUAUAAUAGCAUGGAACAAUAAAAAAUUAUAGAUACGUUGGAGACGUAUCAAGCAUCCCCAAGCUUAAUUCCUGCUCGUCCUCAAGUAGGUAAAUGAUAAAAACAGAAUUUUUGAUGUGGAAUGCUACCUAGCAUAAUUCUCAAUGUAAUUUUCUUUAUUGUGGCAUGAAUGUUCAGAUCCAAACAAUUCAAAAUAAAAGUUCAUAUUGACAUAAUAAAUAGUAAUACUUUAAGCAUAUUAAUAAAGCAAUCAUGUCUUGUCAAAAUAACAUGGCUAAAGAAAGUUAUCCCUACAAAAUCAUAUAGUCUGGCUAUGCUCUAUCUUCAUCACACAAAGUAUUUAAUCAUGCACAACCCUAAUGACAAGCCAAGCAAUUGUUUCAUACUUUAGUAAUCUCAAACUUUUUCAACUUUCACGCAAUACAUGAGCGUGAGCCAUAGACAUAACACUAUAUGUGGAAUAGAAGGGUGGCUGUGGAGAAAAAAAAGGAGAAGAUAGUCUCACAUCAACUAGGCAUAUCAACGGGCUAUGGAGAUGCCCAUUAAUAGAUAUCAAUGUGAGCGAGUAGGGAUUGCCAUGCAAUAGAUGCACUAGAGCUAUAAAUGUACGAAAGCUCAACAAAAGAAACUAAGUGGGUGUGCAUCCAACUUGCUUGCUCACGAAGACCUAGGGCAUUUUGAGGAAGCCCAUCAUUGGAAUAUACAAGCCAAGUUCUAUAAUGAAAAAUUCCCACUAGUAUAUGAAAGGACAACAUAGGAGACUCUCUAUCAUGAAGAUCAUGAUGCUACUUUAAAGCACAAGUGUGGUAAAAGGAUAGUAGCAUUGUCCCUUCUCUGUUUUUCUCUCAUUUUUUUAAUUUAUUUGGCCUUUCUCUUUUUUUUAUUUGGCUUUUUUUGUAAAGUCCGAAGUCUCAUCCCGACUUGUGGGGGAAUCACAGUCUCCAUCAUCCUUUCCUCACUUGGUACAAUGCUCUAAUAAUGAAGAUCAUCACACUUUUAUUUACUUACAACUCAAGAUUACAACUCGAUACUUCGAACAAAAUAUGACUCUAUAUGAAUGCCUCCGGCAGUGUACCGGGAUAUGCAAUGAAUCAAGAGUGGCAUGUAUAAAAAAUUAUGAAGGUGGCCUUGCCACAAAUAUGAUGUCAAUUACAUGAUCAUGCAAAGAGCAAUAUGACAAUGAUGGUGCGUAUCAUAAUAAAUGGAACGGUGGAAAGUUGCAUGGCAAUAUAUCUCAGAAUGGCUAUGGAAAUGCCAUAAUAGGUAGGUAUGAUGGCUGUUUUGAGGAAGGUAUAUGGUGGGUGUAUGGUACCGGCGAGAGUCGCGCGACACAAGAGAGGCUAGCAAUGGUGGAAGGGUGAGAGUGCGUAUAAUCCAUGGACUCAACAUUAGUCAUAAAGAACUCAUAUACUUAUUGCAAAAAUCUACAAGCCAUUGAAAACAAAGUACUACGUGCAUGUUCCUAGGGGGAUAGAUUGGUAGGAAAAGACCAUCGCUCGUCCCCGACCGCCACUCAUAAGGAAGACAAUAAAUAAAUAAAUGUGUGCUCCAACUUCAUCACAAAGCGGUUCACCAUACGUGCAUGCUACGGGAAUCACAAACUUCAACACAAGUAUUCUUUAAAUUCAUUAGCACAUAUGCCCGUGCGUUGCAGCGGGAGAGAUAUUUUUGUUGCGAUAAGCAACGGGAAAGAUAAUUGAUGUGUCCACCAAAAAUGGUCUCCACAAUAGUAGGUGACAAAGCAAGGAGUUGUGGUCUUAUUGUUGGACGGUUUGGCCUGCGAAAUCUUGAUAGUGAUGGGAUUGGUUGGCGUGGCGGUGAGCAUCCAACUCGUGCCAUUUUUCCUCCUCGUCCGCCUCCACCUCAAGAUUGUGCAUGCCUCCUCAUUAGGUGGAUGCGCGACGAUGUUCGAGACACAAAUGCUUCGACCACUCUCUCCCACGAUGACAUAACCGGAUGAAUGUUCCUUCUUUAUGACAGUUUAUUCUCUUUGAUUAUUUUAGCGCUCAUAUGCUCACUUUUUUUUCUAAGUAGAGCCAAACAACAUAUUUUCUUUAUUGGCACAUGCCCACAAUUUCUUUAGUUUAUUGCUAACAAGCAUAAGACAAACGCGUGCUGGUAACCACUGGUUAGUGCAUAUUAAGAAAAUAUUCUAGAGUCAGAUUCGAAAUAUUAUUAGAUUCUUUUUGAACAUUCGCAGAAAUAUGAACUGCCGAAUAUUCAUGGAAUGUAAAAAAAAUGGAAGUCCCAACCAGUUUUGAAAUAUGCGAACAUUGUUUUUGAAAAUUCUGUUUAUUUUUGGAAGAAACAUGAACAAAAUUAGAAACGGAAAUAAUUUUUGAAAUUCACAAACAAUAUUUUGAAAACAUCAAGCUUUUAUAAAAACAAAAUCAUUUUUUAUUUUUUAAAAAGGGUCAUUUAGAUCAAUUUUAGAAAAUAAAUUAUUUGACGCAAACAUUAUUAUGUAUUUAUGAAUAUUUCCAUAAAAUAAGAAUAUUCUUUGAAUGUGGAAGAUUUAAUAAAAUUUGAUUUUCAUAAAAAAAUAUCAAACAAUUUUGAAAAACACAAUUUUCUUAAAAACAAAAGGAGCAUUUUUCUAAAAUGUUAAGAAAAUUCUGAAACGAUAUUUUUUAAAGUUUCGAAUAUUUUUGAAAACAAUUUUCUUAAUUAUGAACACCUGCUGAAUUUUCAAACACAAAUUGAAAUUCUGAGUAUUUUUGUAAAUUCGUAGGUCAGGAAAAAAUCAAAAUAAAGAAGGGAAAUAUGAAAAAUAAAUAGGAAAGAGAAAGGAACAGAAAAAUAUAAAUAUAAACAGAACAUUGAAAAAAUAAAAACGUUUAGGGCCAGUCUUGGGCGACUUGUGCGUAGCUUUAACUAUUUGUUGCCCUAUGCAACAAAUAAGGUCUUUCCAACUGCAUGGGCAGGAUAAUUACUGGGCCGGAUUUUUUGGGAAGGAGCACGCGUGGCCCAAUUUAGAAUUCUGGAAAAACCUUUUUUAUAUAGCGGAUAAAUGCACAAAAAUUUUAGUACGACCUCGGAUAGGAAAAAAACUUUUCGGCGGUGAACGGAUGAAAAAAUUGAAGAAACGCACCUCGCUUUAUUAGUAGGUAUAGAUAAUUAUCCAACUAGCAUGACUCUAAUAUCACCACCUCUAUAUCUCAAAACAAUUAUCAAGCAUCAAAUUGAUCAUAGCAUCCAAUUCACUUCCUAUGAUAGUUUUUAGUAUACCCAACUUGGAUGCCCAUCAUUCUAGGACGAAUUUUAUAACCAUAGCAAAUACCAUGCUGUUCUAAAAGACUCCUAAAACAAUAUAAGUGAAGCAUGCGAGGUCAACAAUUUCUACAAAAUUAAGCCACCGCCGUGCUCUACAAAAUAUAAGUGAAGCACAUAGAGCAAAACUAUCUAGCUCAAAAUGUUGGAAAUAUGCCCUAGAGGCAAUAAUAAAUUGAUUAUUAUUAUAUUUCCUUGUUCAUGAUAAUCGUUUAUUAUCCAUGCUAGAAUUGUAUUGAUAGGAAACUCAGAUACAUGUGUGGAUACAUAGACAACACCAUGUCCCUAGUGAGCCUCUAGUUGACUAGCUCGUUAAUCAAUAGAUGGUUACGGUUUCCUGACCAUGGACAUUGGAUGUCAUUGAUAACGGGAUCACAUCAUUAGGAGAAUGAUGUGAUGGACAAGACCCAAUCCUAAGCCUAGCACAAGAUCAUGUAGUUCGUAUGCUAAAGCUUUUCUAAUGUCAAGUAUAAUUUCCUUAGACCAUGAGAUUGUGCAACUCCCGGAUACCGUAGGAGUGCUUUGGGUGUGCCAAACGUCACAACGUAACUGGGUGGCUAUAAAGGUACACUACGGGUAUCUCUGAAAGUGUCUGUUGGGUUGGCACGAAUCGAGAUUGGGAUUUUGUCACUCCGUGUAAACGGAGAGGUAUCUCUGGGCCCACUCGGUAGGACAUCAUCAUAAUGUGCACAAUGUGACCAAGGGGUUGAUCACGGGAUGAUGUGUUACGGAACGAGUAAAGAGACUUGCCGGUAACGAGAUUGAACAAGGUAUCGGUAUACCGACGAUCGAAUCUCGGGCAAGUACCAUACCGCUAGACAAAGGGAAUUGUAUACGGGAUCGAUUGAGUCCUUGACAUCGUGGUUCAUCCGAUGAGAUCAUCGUGGAACAUGUGGGAGACAACAUGGGUAUCCAGAUCCCGCUGUUGGUUAUUGACCGGAGAACAUCUCGGUCAUGACUACAUGUCUCCCGAACCCGUAGGGUCUACACACUUAAGGUUCGAUGACGCUAGGGUUAUAAAGGAAGCUUGUAUGUGGUUACCGAAUGUUGUUCGGAGUCCCGGAUGAGAUCCCGGACGUCACGAGGAGUUCCGGAAUGGUCCGGAGGUAAAGAUUUAUAUAUAGGAAGUCCUGUUUCGGCCAUCGGGACAAGUUUCGGGGUCAUCGGUAUUGUACCGGGACCACCGGAAGGGUCCCGGGGGCCCACCGGGUGGGGCCACCUGCCCCGGGGGGACACAUGGGCUAUAGGGGGUGCGCCUUGGCCUACAUGGGCCAAGGGCACCAGCCCCUAGAGGCCCAUGCGCCAAGAUAUAGGAAAAAGGGGAGAGUCCUAAAAGGGGAAGGCACCUCCAAGGUGCCUUGGGGAGGAUGGACUCCUCCCCCCCUUCUUAGCCGCACCCCUUCCUUGGAGGAGGGGGCAAGGCUGCGCCUCCCCCUCUCCCCUGCCCCUAUAUAUAGUGGAGGGGAGGGAGGGCAUCCAUACCUGAGCCCUUGGCGCCUCCCUCCCUCCCGUGACACCUCCUCCUCUCCCGUAGGUGCUUGGCGAAGCCCUGCAGGAUUGCCACGCUCCUCCAUCACCACCACGCCGUUGUGCUGCUGCUGGAUGGAGUCUUCCUCAACCUCUCCCUCUCUCCUUGCUGGAUCAAGGCGUGGGAGACAUCGUCGAGCUGUACGUGUGUUGAACGCGGAGGUGCCGUCCGUUCGGCACUAGGAUCAUCGGUGAUCUGAAUCACGACGAGUACGACUCCAUCAACCCCGUUCACUUGAACGCUUCCGCUUAGCGAUCUACAAGGGUAUGUAGAUGCACUCUCCUUUCUACUCGUUGCUGGUCUCUCCAUAGAUAGAUCUUGGUGUUACGUAGGAAAAUUUUGAAUUUCUGCUACGUUCCCCAACAGUGGCAUCAUGAGCUAGGUCUAUUGCGUAGAUUCUUUGCACGAGUAGAACACAAAGUAGUUGUGGGCGUCGAUAUUGUUCAAUAUGCUUGCCGUUACUAGUCUUAUCUUGAUUCGGCGGCAUCGUGGGAUGAAGCGGCCCGGACCAACCUUACACGUACGCUUACGUGAGACCGGUUCCACCGACAAACAUGCACUAGUUGCAUAAGGUGGCUGGCGGGUGUCUGUCUCUCCCACUUCAGUCGGAUCGGAUUCGAUGAAAAGUGUCCUUAUGAAGGGUAAAUAGCAAUUGGCAUAUCACGUUGUGGUUCAUGCGUAGGUAAGAAACGUUCUUGCUAGAAACCCAUAGCAGCCACGUAAAACAUGCAAACAACAAUUAGAAGACGUCUAACUUGUUUUUGCAGGGUAUGCUAUGUGAUGUGAUAUGGCCAAAAAGGAUGUGAUGAAUGAUAUAUGUGAUGUAUGAGAUUGAUCAUGUUCUUGUAAUAGGAAUCACGACUUGCAUGUCGAUGAGUAUGACAACCGGCAGGAGCCAUAGGACUUGUCUUUAUUUAUUUGUGACCUGCGUGUCAACUUAAACGUCAUGUAAUUACUUUACUUUAUUGCUAACCGUUAGCCAUAGUAGUAGAAGUAAUAGUUGGCGAGGCAACUUCAUGAAGACACGAUGAUGGAGAUCAUGAUGAUGGAGAUCAUGGUGUCAUGCCGGUGACGAUGAUGAUCAUGGAGCCCCGAAGAUGGAGAUCAAAAGGAGCAAAGUGAUGAUGGCCAUAUCAUGUCACUAUUUGAUUGCAUGUGAUGUUUAUCAUGUUUAUACAUCUUAUUUGCUUAGAACGACGGUAGUAAAUAAGAUGAUCCCUUAAAACAAUUUCAAGAAGUGUUCUCCCCUAACUGUGCACCGUUGUGACAGUUCGUGUUUCGAAGCACCACGUGAUGAUCGGGUGUUAGAUUCUAACGUUCACAUCCAAUGGGUGUAAGACAGAUUUACACACGCGAAACACUUAGGGUUAACUUGACGAGCCUAGCAUGUACAGACAUGGCCUCGGAACACGGAGACCGAAAGGUCAAACAUGAGUCGUAUAGAAGAUAUGAUCAACAUGAAGAUGUUCACCGAUGAUGACUAGUCCGUCUCACGUGAUGAUCGGACACGGCCUAGUUUGACUCGGAUCAUGUAAUCACUUAGAUGACUAGAGGGAUGUCUAUCUGAGUGGGAGUUCAUAAGAUGAACUUAAUUAUCCUGAACAUAGUCAAAAGGUUUUUGCAAAUUAUGUCGUAGCUCACGCUAUAGUUCUACUGUUUAGAUAUGUUCCUAGAGAAAAAAAUUAGUUGAAAGUUGAUAGUAGCAAUUAUGCGGACUAGGUCCGUAAACUGAGGAUUGUCCUCAUUGCUUCAUAGAAGGCUUAUGUCCUUAAUGCACCGCUCAGUGUGCUGAACCUCGAACGUUGUCUGUGGUUGUUGCGAACAUCUGACAUACACAUUUUGAUAACUAUGUGAUAGUUCAGUUAAACGGUUUAGAGUUGAGGCACCAAAGACGUUUUUGAAACAUCGCGAAACAUAUGAGAUGUUUUGAGGGCUGAAAUUGGGAUUUCAGGCUCGUGCCCAUGACAAGAGGUAUAAGACCUCCGAUGACUUUCUUAACCUGCAAACUAAGGAGAAAAGCUCAAUUGUUGAGCUUGUGCUCAGAUUUUCUGAGUACAACAAUCAUUUGAAUCGAGUGGGAGUUGAUCUUCCAGAUAAGACAGUGAUGGUUCUCCAAAGUCAUUGCCACCAAGCUGUUAGAGCUUCGUGAUGAACUAUAACAUAUCAGGGAUAGAUAUGAUGAUCCUUGAGGUAUUCGCAAUGUUUGACACCGCGAAAGUAGAAAUCAAGAAGGAGCAUCAAUUGUUGAUGGUUGGUGGAACCACUAGUUUUAAGAAGGGCAAGGGCAAGAAGGGAUACUUCAUGAAACGGCAAAUCAGCUGCUGCUCUAGUGAAGAAACCCAAGGUUGAACCCAAACCCGAGACUAAGUGCUUCUGUAAUAAGGGAACGGCAACUGGAGCAGAAUUACCCUAGAUACUUGGUAGAUGAUAAGGCUGGCAAGGUCGAUAGAAGUAUAUUGGAUAUACAUUGUGUUAAUGUGUACUUUGCUAGUACUCCUAGUAGCACCAGGGUAUUAGAUACCGAUUCGGUUGCUAAGUGUUAGUAACUCGAAACAAAAGGCUACGGAAUAAACGGAGACUAGCUAAAGGUGAGCUGACGAUAUGUGUUGGAAGUUUUUCCAAGCUUGAUAUGAUCAAGCAUCGCACGCUCCCUCUACCAAAGAGAUUGAUGUUAAACCUAAAUAAUUGUUAUUUGGUGUUUGCGUUGAGCAUAGACAUGAUUGGAUUACGUCUAUCGCAAUACGGUUGUUCAUUUAAGGAGAAUAAUGGUUACUCUGUUUAUUUGAAUAAUACCUUCAAUGGUCUUACACCUAAAAUGAAUGGUUUAUUAAAUCUCGAUCGUAGUGAUACACAUGUUCAUGCCAAAAGAUAGUAAUGAUAGUACCACCUACUUGUGGCACUGCCACGUAAGUCAUAUCGGUAUAAAACGCAUGAAGAAGCUCCAUAUUGAUGGAUCUUUGGGCUCACUCGUUUUUGAAAAGUUUGAGACAUGCGAACCAUGUCUAUUGGUGUAUAUGCAUGACGAAACUCCAUGCAAAUGGACCGUUUUGACUCACUUGAUUUUGAAUCACUUGGGACAUGCAAAUCAUACCACAUGGGCAAGAUGACUGAAAAGCCUCGUUUUCAGUAAGAUGGAACAAGAUAGCAACUUGUUGGAAGUAACACAUUUUGAUGUGUGCAGUCCAAUGAGUGCUGAGGCAUGCAGUGAAUAUCGUUAUGUUCUUACUUCACAGAUGAUUCGAGUAGAUGUUGAGUAUAUUUACUUGAUGAAUCACAAGUCUGAAUUAUUGAAUGGUUCAAGUAAUUUCAGAGUGAAGUUGCAGAUCAUUGUGACAAGAGGAUAAAAUGUCUAUGAUAUGAUCAUAGAGAUGAAUAUCUGAGUCACGAGUUUUGGCACACAAUUAAGACAUUGUGGAAAUUGUUUUGCAAUUAAUACCGCCUGGAACACCAUAGGGUGAUGGUGUGUCCGAACAUCAUAGUUGCACCCUAUUGGAUAUGAUGCAUACCAUGAUGUCUCUUAUCGAACUGCCACGAUAGUUUAUGGGUUAGGCAUUAAAGACAACCACAUUCACUUUAAAUAGGGCACCACGUAAUUCCGAUGAGAUGACACCGUAUGAAUUAUGGUUUAGAGAAACCUAAGUUGUCGUUUCUUAAAGGUUUGGGGCUGCGACGCUUAUGUGAAAAAGUUUCAGGAUUAAGCUCGAACCCAAAGUGGAUAAAUGCAUCUUCAUAGGACACCCAAAAACAGUUGGGUAUACCUCCUGUCUCAGAUUCGAAAGCAAUAAGGGAUUGUUUCUAGAAUCGGGUCCUUUCUCGAGGAAAAGAUUCUCUCGAAAGAAUUGAGUGGGAGGAUGGUGGAGACUUGAUGAGGUUAUUGAACCGUCACUUCAACAAGUGUGUAGCAGGGCACAGGAAGUUGUUCCUGUGGCACGUACACCAACUGAAGUGGAAGCUUAUGAUAGUAAUCAUGAAACUUCGGAUCGAGUCACUACCAAACCUCGUGGGAUGACAAGGAUGCGCACUACUUCAGAGUGGUACGUAAUUCUGUCUUGGAAGUCAUGUUGCUAGACAACAAUGAACCUACGAGCUAUGGAGAAGCGAUGGUGGGCCCGGAUUCCGAUAAAUGGCUCAAGGCCAUAAAACCCGAGAGAGGAUCCAUGUAUGAAAACAAAGUGUAGACUUUGGAAGAACUACUUGAUGGUCGUAAGGCUGUUAGGUACAUAUGGAUUUUGAAAGGAAGACAGACAAUGAUGGUAAGUGUCACCAUUGAGAAAGCUCGACUUGUCGUUAAGAUGUUUUUCGACAAGUUCAAGGAGUUGACUACGAUGAGACUUUCUCACUCGUAGCGAUGCUAAGAGUCUGUUGGAAUUAUAUUAGCAAUUACUGCAUUAUUUAUGAAAUCUUGCAGAUAGGAUGUCAAGACAUUGUUUCCUCGACGAUUCUUGAGGAAAGGUUGUAUGUGAUACAACCGGAAGGUUUUGUCUAUCUUGAAAUAUGCUAAUAAGUAUGCAAAGCUCCAGCAAUCCUUCUGAGGACUGGAGUGAGCAUCUCGGAGUUGGAAUGUAUGCUUUGAUGAUGAUCAAAGAUUUUGGGUGUAUACAAAGUUUAUGAGAAACUUGUAUUUCCAAAGAAGUGAGUGGGAGCACUAUAGAAUUUCUGAUGAGUAUAUGUUGUUGACAUAUUAAUGAUCAGAAAUGACGUAGAAUUUCUGGAAAGCAUAUAGGGUUAUUUGGAAAGUGUUUUCAAUGGAAAACCUGGAUUAAGCUACUUGAACAUUGAGCAUCAAGAUCUAUAAGGAUAGAUUAAAACGCUUAAUGGUACUUUCAAAUGAGCACAUACCUUGACAUGAUCUUGAAGGUGUUCAAGAUGGAUCAGUCAAAGAAGGAGUUCUUGCCUGAGUUGUAAGGUGUGAAGUUAAGACUUAAAGCUCGACCAUGGCAGAAUAGAGAGAAAGGACUAAGGUCGUCCCCUAUGCAUAAGAUGUAGGCUCUACAGUAUGCUAUGCUGUGUACCGCACCUGAAGUGUGCCUUGCCAUGAGUCAGUCAAGGGGUACAAGAGUGAUCCAAGAAUGGAUCACAGGACAGCGGUCAAAGUUAUCCUUAGUAACUAGUGGACUAAGGAAUUUUCUCAAUUAUGGAGGUGGUAAAAGAGUUCGUCGUAAAGGGUUACGUCGAUGCAAGCUUAACACCUAUCCGGAUAGCUCUGAGUAGAGAUACCGGAUACGUAUAAUGGAGCAACAAUGUAGAAUAGCUCCAAGUAGAACAGUUAUUUGGAAUAGCUCCAAAUAGAACGUGGUAGCUGCAUAUAGGAGAUGACAUAGAGAUUUGUAAAGCACACACGGAUCUGAAAGGUUCAGACCCGUUGACUAUAACCUCUCUCACAAGCAUAACAUGAUCAAACCCAGAACUCAUCGAGUGUUAAUCACAUGGUAAAUGUGAACUAGAUUAUUGACUCUAGUAAACUCUUUGGGUGUUAGUCACAUGGGGAUGUGACCUUGAGUGUUAAUCACAUAUCGAUGUGAACUAGAUUAUUGACUCUAGUGCAAGUGGGAGACUGUUGGAAAUAUGCCCUAGAGGCAAUAAUAAAUUGAUUAUUAUUAUAUUUCCUUGUUCAUGAUAAUCGUUUAUUAUCCAUGCUAGAAUUGUAUUGAUAGGAAACUCAGAUACAUGUGUGGAUACAUAGAUAACACCAUGUCCCUAGUGAGCCUCUAGUUGACUAGCUCGUUAAUCAAUAGAUGGUUACGGUUUCCUGACCAUGGACAUUGGAUGUCAUUGAUAACGGGAUCACAUCAUUAGGAGAAUGAUGUGAUGGACAAGACCCAAUCCUAAGCCUAGCACAAGAUCAUGUAGUUCGUAUGCUAAAGGUUUUCUAAUGUCAAGUAUAAUUUCCUUAGACCAUGAGAUUGUGCAACUCCCGGAUACCGUAGGAGUGCUUUGGGUGUGCCAAACGUCACAACGUAACUGGGUGGCUAUAAAGGUACACUACGGGUAUCUCUGAAAGUGUCUGUUGGGUUGGCACGAAUCGAGAUUGGGAUUUUGUCACUCCGUGUAAACGGAGAGGUAUCUCUGGGCCCACUCGGUAGGACAUCAUCAUAAUGUGCACAAUGUGACCAAGGGGUUGAUCACGGGAUGAUGUGUUACGGAACGAGUAAAGAGACUUGCCGGUAACGAGAUUGAACAAGGUAUCGGUAUACCGACGAUCGAAUCUCGGGCAAGAACCAUACCGCUAGACAAAGGGAAUUGUAUACGGGAUCGAUUGAGUCCUUGACAUCGUGGUUCAUCCGAUGAGAUCAUCGUGGAACAUGUGGGAGCCAACAUGGGUAUCCAGAUCCCGCUGUUGGUUAUUGACCGGAGAACAUCUCGGUCAUGACUACAUGUCUCCCGAACCCGUAGGGUCUACACACUUAAGGUUCGAUGACGCUAGGGUUAUAAAGGAAGCUUGUAUGUGGUUACCGAAUGUUGUUCGGAGUCCCGGAUGAGAUCCCGGACGUCACGAGGAGUUCCGGAAUGGUCCGGAGGUAAAGAUUUAUAUAUAGGAAGUCCUGUUUCGGCCAUCGGGACAAGUUUCGGGGUCAUCGGUAUUGUACCGGGACCACCGGAAGGGUCCCGGGGGCCCACCGGGUGGGGCCACCUGCCCCGGGGGGCCACAUGGGCUGUAGGGGGUGCGCCUUGGCCUACAUGGGCCAAGGGCACCAGCCCCUAGAGGCCCAUGCGCCAAGAUAUAGGAAAAAGGGGAGAGUCCUAAAAGGGGAAGGCACCUCCGAGGUGCCUUGGGGAGGAUGGACUCCUCCCCCCCUUCUUAGCCGCACCCCUUCCUUGGAGGAGGGGGCAAGGCUGCGCCUCCCCCCUCUCCCCUGCCCCUAUAUAUAGUGGAGGGGAGGGAGGGCAUCCAUACCUGAGCCCUUGGCGCCUCCCUCCCUCCCGUGACACCUCCUCCUCUCCCGUAGGUGCUUGGCGAAGCCCUGCAGGAUUGCCACGCUCCUCCAUCACCACCACGCCGUUGUGCUGCUGCUGGAUGGAGUCUUCCUCAACCUCUCCCUCUCUCCUUGCUGGAUCAAGGCGUGGGAGACAUCGUCGAGCUGUACGUGUGUUGAACGCGGAGGUGCCGUCCGUUCGGCACUAGGAUCAUCGGUGAUCUGAAUCACGACGAGUACGACUCCAUCAACCCCGUUCACUUGAACGCUUCCGCUUAGCGAUCUACAAGGGUAUGUAGAUGCACUCUCCUUUCUACUCGUUGCUGGUCUCUCCAUAGAUAGAUCUUGGUGUUACGUAGGAAAAUUUUGAAUUUUUGCUACGUUCCCCAACACAAAAGAUAUAAGUGAAGCACAUAGAGUAUUCUAAUAAAUUCCAAAUCACGUGGGUUUCUCCCAAAAGGUCUGUACAACAAGGAUGAUUGUGGAAAUCUAAAAAGCAAAUACUAAUAUCAUACAAGACGCUCCAAGCAAAGCACAUAUCAUGUGGCGAAUAAAAAUAUAGCUCCAAGUAAAGUUACCGAUAGACGAAGACGAAAGAGGGGAUGCCUUCUGGGGCAUCCCCAAGCUUAGGCUUUUGGUUAUCCUUGAAUAUCUUGGGGUGCCAUGGGCAUCCCCAAGCUUAGUCUCUUUCCACUCCUUAUUCCAUAGUCCAUCAAAUCUUUACCCAAAACUUGAAAACUUCACAACACAAAACUCAACAGGAAAUCUCAUAAGCUCCGUUAGUGCAAGAAAGAAAAACCACCACAUAAGCUACUGUAAUGAACUCAUUCUUUAUUUAUAUUGGUUUUAAACCUACUGUAUUCCAACUUCUCUAUGGUUCAUACCCCUUGAUACUAGCCAUAGAUGCAUCAAAAUAAGCAAACAACACGUGAAAAAACAGAAUCUGUCAAAAACAGAAUAGUCUGUAGCAAUCUGUAACUCUCAAAUACUUCUAGAACUCUAAAAAUCCUAACAAAAUAGGAAGUCCUGGGAAAUUUGUCUAUUGAUCUACAGCAAAAAGAAGCAACGCAAAAUCACGUUUCUGUGAAUUACUCAAAUUAUUUUCAUGCGCGCAAAGUUUCUGUUGAAGGGGAGCCUUGGCGCAGUGGUAAAGCUGCUGCCUUGUGACCAUGAGGUCACGGGUUCAAGUCCUGGAAACAGUCUCUUACAGAAAUGUAGGGAAAGGCUGCGUACAAUAGACCCAAAGUGGUCGUACCCUUCCCCAGACCCUGCGCAAGCGGGAGCUACAUGCACUAGGGCUGCCCUUUUUUUCAGCGCAUAUGCCUUUCAGCGCAUAUGCCCCGCAAGUAGGCCACAAUGAGAACACCUAGAGGGAGUUCUGGGAAGGCUUGGAAGACAUGGUUAGGAGUGUACUGAUUGGUGAGAAGCUCUUCAUAGGAGGAGACCUCAAUGGCCACGUGGGUACAUCUAACACAGGUUUUGAAGGGGCGCAUGGGGGCUUUGGCUAUGGCAUCAGGAAUCAAGAAGGAGAAGAUGUCUUAAGCUUUGCUCUAGCCUACAACAUGAUUGUAGCUAACACCCUCUUUAGAAAGAGAGAAUCACAUCUGGUGACUUUUAGUAGUGGCCAACACUCUAGCCAGAUUGAUUUCAUCCUCUCGAGAAGAGAAGAUAGGCGUGCGUGCCUAGACUGUAAGGUGAUACCUGGGGAGAGUGUUGUACCCCAGCAUAAGCUGGUGGUUGCUGACUUCCGCUUUCGGAUUCGUGUCCAGCGGGAUAAGCGUGCCAAGGUCGCUAGAACGAAGUGGUGGAAGCUCAAGGGGGAGGUAGCUCAGGUGUUCAAGGAGAGGGUAUUUAAGGAGGGCCCUUGGGAGGAAGGAGGGGAUGCGGACAAUGUGUGGAUGAAGAUGGCGACUUGCAUUCGUAAGGUGGCCUCGGAGGAGUUUGGAGUGUCCAGGGGAAGGAGAAGCGAAGAUAAGGAUACCUGGUGGUGGAAUGAUGAUGUCCAGAAGGCGCUUAAAGAGAAGAAAGAUUGCUUCAGACGCCUAUACCUGGAUAGGAGUGCAGACAACAUAGAGAAGUACAAGAUGGCGAAGAAGACCGCAAAGCGAGCUGUUGGUGAAGCAAGGGGUCGGGCAUAUGAGGACCUCUACCAACGGUUAGGCACGAAGGAAGGUGAAAGGGACAUCUAUAAGAUGGCUAAGAUCCGGGAGAGGAAGACAAGGGAUAUUGGCCAAGUCAAAUGCAUCAAGGACGGAGCAGGCCAACUCUUGGUGAAGGAUGAAGAGAUUAAGCGUAGAUGGCGGGAGUACUUCGACAAGCUGUUCAAUGGGGAGAAUGAGAGUUCUACCAUUGAACUGAAUGACUCCUUUGAUGAGACCAGCAUGCGUUUUGUGCGGCGCAUCCAGGAGUCUGAGGUGAAGGAGGCUUUAAAAAGGAUGAAAGGAGGCAAGGCGAUGGGCCCUGAUUGUAUCCCCAUUGAGGUGUGGAAAGGUCUCGGGGACAUAGCGAUAGUAUGGCUAACCAAGCUUUUCAACCUCAUUUUUCGGGCAAACAAGAUGCCAGAAGAAUGGAGACGGAGUAUAUUAGUACCAAUAUUCAAGAACAAGGGGGAUGUUCAGAGUUGUACUAAUUACCGUGGAAUUAAGCUGAUGAGCCAUACAAUGAAGCUAUGGGAGAGAGUCAUUGAGCACCGCUUAAGAAGAAUGACAAGCGUGACCAAAAAUCAGUUUGGUUUCAUGCCUGGGAGGUCGACCAUGGAAGCCAUUUUCUUGGUACGACAACUUAUGGAGAGAUAUAGGGAGCAUAAGAAGGACUUGCAUAUGGUGUUCAUUGACUAGGAGAAGGCCUAUGAUAAGAUACCGCGGAAUGUCAUGUGGUGGGCCUUGGAGAAACACAAAGUCCCAGCAAAGUACAUUACCCUCAUCAAGGACAUGUACAAUAAUGUUGUGACAAGUGUUCGAACAAGUGAUGUCGACACCAAUGACUUCCCGAUUAAGAUAGGACUGCAUCAGGGGUCAGCUUUGAGCCCUUAUCUUUUUGCAUUGGUGAUGGAUGAGGUCACAAGGGGUAUACAAGGAGAUAUCCCAUGGUGUAUGCUCUUUGGGAUGAUGUGGUGCUAGUUGACGAUAGUCGGACGGGGGUAAAUAGGAAGUUAGAGUUAUGGAUACAAACCUUGGAAUUGAAAGGGUUUAGGCUUAGUAGAACUAAAACCGAGUACAUGAUGUGCGGUUUCAGUACUACUAGCUGUGAGGAGGAGGAGGUUAGCCUUGAUGGCCAGGUGGUACCUCGGAAGGACACCUUUAGGUAUUUGGGGUCAAUGUUGCAGGAGGAUGGGAGUAUUGAUGAAGAUGUGAACCAUCGAAUCAAAGUCGGAUGGAUGAAGUGGCGCCAAGCUUCUGGCAUUCUCUGUGACAAGAGAGUGCCACAAAAGCUAAAAGGCAAGUUCUACAGGACGGCGGUUCGACCCGCAAUGUUGUAUGGCGCGAAGUGUUGGCCGACUAAAAGGCGACAUGUUCAACAGUUAGGUGUGGCGGAGAUGCGUAUGUUGAGAUGGAUGUGUGGCCACACGAGGAAGGAUCGAGUCCGGAAUGAUGAUAUACGAGAUAGAGUUGGGGUAGCACCAAUUGAGGAGAAGCUUGUCCAACAUCGUUUGAGAUGGUUUGGGCAUAUUCAGCGCAGGCCUCCAGAAGCUCCAAUGCAUAGCGGACGGCUAAAGCGUGCGGAGAAUGUCAAGAGAGGGCGGGGUCGACCAAUUUUGACAUGGGAGGAGUCCGUUAAGAGAGACCAGAAGGAUUGGAGUAUCGACAAAGAGCUAGCUAUGGACAGGGGUGCGUGGAAGCUUGCUAUCCAUGUGCCAGAGCCAUGAGUUGGUUGCGAGAUCUUAUGGGUUUCACCUCUAGCCUACCCCAACUUGUUUGGGACUAAAGGCUUUGUUGUUGUUGUUGUUGUUGUUGUUGCGCAAAGUUUCUGUUUUUCAGCAGAAUCAAAUUAACUAUCACUGUAGGUUAUCCUAUAAGUUCUACUUGGCACAAACACUAAUUAAAACAUGAAACACAUCUAAAAAAAGCUACAUGAAAUAUUUAUUACUAAACAGAAGCAAAAAGCAAGAAACAAAAAUAAAAUUGGGUUGCCUCCCAACUAGCUCUAUCGUUUAACGCCCCUAGCUAGACAUAAAAGCGAGGAUAGAUCUAAGUAGUGACAUCUUUGGCAUUCAAUUCAUAAGUAGCUCGCAUGAUAGAUUCAUAAGGUAAUUUAACUUUUUUCUAGGGAAGUGUUCAAUGCCUUUCCUUAACGGAAAUUGGAUUCUAAUAUUCCCUUCCUUCACAUCAAUAAUUGCACCAAUUGUUCUAAGGAAAGGUCUACCAAGAAUAAUAGGACAUGAAAGAUUGCAAUCUAUAUCAAGAACGAUAAAAUCUACGGGCACAUAAUUCCUAUUUGCAAUAAUAAGAACAUCAUUGAUCCUUCCCAUAGGUUUCUUAAUGGUGGAAUCCGCAAGGUGCAAAUUUAAAGAGCAAUCAUCAAAAUCAUGGAAACCUAGCACAUCACAUAAAGUUUUCGGAAUCGUGGAAACACUAGUACCAAAAUCACAUAAAGCAUAGCACUCAUGAUCUUUAAUUUUAAUUUUUAUAGUAGUUUCCCAUUCAUCAUAAAUUUUUCUAGGUAUAGAAACUUCCAAAUUAAGUUUUUCCUCAUAAGAUUGCAUCAAGGCAUCAACAAUAUGUUUGGUAAAAGCUUUAUUUUGACUAUAAGCAUGGGGAGAAUUCAACACGGAUUGCAACAAGGAAAUACAAUCUAUUAAAGAACAAUUAUAAUUAAAUUCCUUGAAAUCCAUAAUGGUGGGUUCAAUGCUAUUUAAAGUCUUGACCUCUCCAAUCCCACUUUUACCAAAUUUAGCAUCAAGAUCUAAAAACUCCAAAUUAUUGGGACGCCUUUUAACUAAAGUUGACUCAUCUCCAGUCCCAUCAUUAUCAAGAUUCAUACUGCAAAACAAGGAUUUAAUAGGGGAUACAUCAAUAACUUUUAGAUCUUCAUCAUAAUUUACCCCUAACAUAAGUGCAUAUGAUCCAAGAAGAUAAAGUAUGUUAGCUUAUGCCUCACCCUCAAAUAAAAUUGCAAUAGUGAUUACCAGUUUAGUUAUCGAUUGCCUAGGGACAAAUAACUUUCUCGUGACAAAAAGCUCUCUAUUAAAACUAACUUAGUUAUGUCUUCAUCUAAACAGCCCCUACUUUUUAUUUACGUGUUCUUUAUUAUCUUGCAAACCUAUCCUAUUACACCUACAAAGUCCUUCUAGUUUCAUACUUGUUUUAGGUAAAGCGAACGUUAAGCGUGCGUAGAGUUGUAUCGGUGGUCGAUAGAACUUGAGGGAAUAUUUGUUCUACCUUUAGCUCCCCGUUGGGUUUGACACUCUUACUUAUCGGCUACAAUAGAUCCCCUACUGUCGGUGUACUAAAGUAGGGGCAUUCCUUUGUACCCCUUACUUGUGCACGGGCAGUCAGAGCCGCGCCCGCGGCCACACUUAAGCAGUGCAGAGACAGGAAGUCAAGGCCACAAGACGGUCAAAGCAACGCCAAGACAGGGACACAAAGAGCAAGAGGGAGAGGUAGACUCCCCCGGCAAGACCCUUGUCGGGGCAUCCUCCGCAGCCAUGGCAAGAACCUUGCCGGGGCAGCUUACCCGACGCCAGCGGAGCGCGCCACACUUGAGCCCUAGUUUUUCCAACACCACCAACCACGUUGGGACCAAGGCUCGGGAGGCGCCUCCAUGAUGGCAUGCAGAUCUUUGUGAAGACAAGAAACACUCCAAAUCAGAAGGGAAUUAGAAGACGAUGAACCUCGACGAGUGCUACAUCUUGAGCUUGCAUUGGUUUUUCUUGAAGAGGAAAGGGCGAUGCAGCAAAGUAGCAUAAGUAUUUCCCUCAAUUUUUGAGAACCAAGGUGUCAAUCCAGUAGGAGGCUCCUCAAAAGUCCCACGCACCUACACAAACAAACAAGAACCUCGCAACCAACGCAAUAAAGGGGUUGUCAAUACCUUCACGGCCACUUGCAAUAGUGAGAUCUUAUAGAGAUAAUACGAUAAGAUAAAUAUUUUUCGUAUUUUUAUGAUAUAGAUUGGAAAGUAAAAGAUGCAAAUUAAAGAUAGAUGAAAGCUUAUAUGAUAAAAGAUAGACCCGGGGGCCAUAGGUUUCACUAGUGGCUUCUCUCAAGAUAGCAUAAGUAUUAUGGUGGGUGAACAAAUUACUGUCGAGUAAUUGAUAGAAAAGUGCAUAGUUAUGAGAUUAUCUAGGCAUGAUCAUGUAUAUAGGCAUCACGUCCGUGACAAGUAGAUUGAAAAGAUUUUGCAUCGACUACUAUUACUCCACACAUCGAUCGACUCCUGCCUGCAUCUAGAGUAUUAAGUUCAUGAAGAACAGAGUAACGCAUUAAGAAAGAUGACAUGAUGUAGAGGGAUAAAGUCAUACAAUAUGAUAUAAACCCCAUCAUUUUAUCCUCGAUGGCAACAAUACAAUAUGUGCCUUGCUUCCCCUGCUGUCAUUGGGAAAGGACACCGCAAGAUUGAACCCAAAGCUAAGCACUUCUCCCAUUGCAAGAAAGAUCAAUCUAGUAGGCCAAACCAAACUGAUAAUUCGAAGAGACUUGCGAAGAUAACUUAAUCACACAUAAAAAAAUCAGAGGAGAUUCAAAUAUUUCUCAUAGAUAAAAUUGAUCAUAAACCCACAAUUCAUGGGAUCUCAACAAAGACACCGCAAAAAGAGUUACAUCGAAUAGAUCUCCAAGAAGAUCGAGGAGAACUUUGUAUUGAGAAUCAAAGAGAGAGAAGAAGCCAUCUAGCUAAUAACUAUGGACCUGAAGGUCUGUGGUAAACUACUCACAACUCAUAGGAGAGGCCUUGGAGAUGAUGUAGAGGCCCUCCGUGGUCAAUUCCCCCUCCGGCGGAGCGCCGGCGAAGGCUCCAAGAUGGGAUCUCACGGAUAUCGAAGGUUGCGGCGGUGGAAUUAGGUUUCUUGGUCGCUUCUGAUGGUUUUAGGUACGGGUGUAUACAUAGGAGGAAGAAGUAGGUCGGUGGAUGCUCGAGGGGCCCACGAGGGUGGGGGGCGCGCCGGGCACCCUCGUGGCCAUCUCGUCUGUUGCUUGACUUCCACUCCAAUUCUCCAUGUUUGCAUUUGUUCCAAAAAAAUCUCUCCCGAAGGUUUCAUAACGUUUGGACUCCGACUGAUAUUCCUUUUCUUCGAAACAUUGAAAUAGGCAAAAAAAAAAACAGUUCGGGCUGGGCCUCCGGUUAGUCGGUUAGUCCCAAAAAUGAUAUUAAAGUUUAAAGUAAAGCCCAUAAACAUCCAAAACAGGUAAUAUAAUAGCAUGGAACAAUCAAAAAUUAUAGAUAUGUUGGAGACAUAUCAGCGAGAUCCUUGCUGAGAAAACCCACAAGACCCCCCAGCAAUAUCCUUGUCGGGGACGACCGCGAACGUCACGAUAAGACCCUCGUCAGGGCCCCGGCAAGGCCCUUGCCGAGGACAUUCACGGGCCCACAACCAGGCCCACGCCCGCCAAGUUUCCACCGCCGCUCCCAUGCAGCUGCCAGCCCACCAGCUAGGCAGGCUCCCGCAUGUCGAUGUGAGGCUUCCAGGCCAACUCAGCACAUGCCUACGUGGUGGCAUGAAAAUCUUCGUGAAGGCCCUACCACCGCGCCACCUCAGCAGCCUGCUAGCCUACAUGGCAUUGACCGCCUCGCUGACCCAGGCGCAUGUCAAGGCAGGGCGAAGCGGCGGUAAAGUGAGGGUACACCUAAGAGGCGCAUUAAAUGCGUCUUGUCCCAUAAUGGCAAGCGAUAGGCUUAGCCACAAUACUCCAAUGCCACCUCCUGCGUGCCACUGUGGCGAUCCCCUUGCCUAUAAAUGGAGGCCCAAGGCAUCCAGGAGAAGGAUUCGGACCCUGGGACAAGUUACACCCAUCGUAGCUAGCUCAAGAACUCCAAGAACACAGAUAUACACAUCAAAGCAGGACUAGGGUAUUACGCAUCCUUGCGGCCCUAACCUGGGUAAAUGACCCGUCUGCUUGUGUUGACUGUUGAUCCCGCUCUUCUCACGACCCCGCGCCCCGCAACCGUAGUAGGGAUUCUUGUGAUCCCGUAGGUGUCGUUUUCCACCGACAUCUUUGGCGCGCCAGGUAGGGGGCGCAGUAGUGAGAAUCUGGUUUAGCAGCUAGUAGAACAGUUCUUCGUCGCAUGGCCCCCAAGAGGAAGAUGAUCAUGACGAUCGGUUCAUCCGGGACCGGACUGCCCGUACCGGUGCAGACCAGUAGCAGGCUAGUCGUGAAAAGAACCCGUGGUGCGGCCCGCGAACAUCCACAUCACCCUGGCAGUCCGGGUCUGGUGAGCGGCGUCGUUCACACGCCAGGAGACGAGCCACACACCGCGAACUCCAGAGGCAGAGUUGAGCCCCCCGCAGGCGGCACGGGGCCCUCUAGGGGUGUCAUCGUGCCGCUAGACAGCGGCGCGGCGGCCUCCAAGACACCAAAACCGGUGCCCAUGGCGCGCUCUUCCCAAGUUGUGCACGAUGAGCAGCACCGCCCCGCUGCUGACCCUGGGUGCCGCCCUAGGAAGAGUGCCGUGCGUCCUUUACGUGACGAGGAGGGCCAGCAUGCACGUCGAGGUGCUGGCAAAAAUGGCAGACAAUCGCAGGGCCGUGAUAGAGCUCCUUCUAACAUGGUUAGAAAUCGAAGCGUGUCACGAUCCAUGCAGCUUUCGCCACCGCCCACACUAGCAGAAGCUCUGGCGCGCGCGCAACUGCUCCUCGAUUUUGCUCCUGCUACAAAGAAGCUCGACGAAUGGAGAGCCACUGUCCGAAGCCUCGUCGGCAUCACCAACAAAGAUGAGCCGUGACCAGUGGGGCCCGUAGGCCAUCGCUCCAUCGAGCCACCACAUGUCAGCGGUGGACGGGACGGGGGCGAUGCAGCCAUGGUGCAUUCUCCUCCUCCACACCAGCCACUGCGGGUGUCGAUCCGUCGCGAUGACACCUCGUGAUGAUAUCUCCAUAGCAUCGUCCGAUCCGUGGACCCACCACGACCAGCGUCAAGUUCUUCGGGAGCGAGCCCUUGAAGACGCUCGAACCACCAUUGAGCGCUGACGGGAUGCGCGCCACCAGUCGGACAGGCAGGCAGGGCCCACUAUGGACCACCCAACACCGGGACGCUACGGUGGCCUACCCUAGAAGGUGGGCUGUCCAGCCUUCACCCGUGAGCUGCGGCAGUUCCAGUGGCACUCCCACCGCACGUUCAAGCCCGACGUUGGCGAGAAGUACAAUGGCAAGAAUCACCCAUCAAAGUUCCUCAGCAUCUACAUCAUCGCGAUGCAAGCUGCUGGGGCCCGUGACGAUAAGGUGCUGGCCAAUUACUUCUCGUUGGCACUCAAGCCCAAUGUUAUGUCAUGGUUGAUGCACUUGCCGGUGGAUUCCAUUUCUUCUUGGUCGGAUCUGUGUCAUGAGUUUGUUGGCGCCUUUAUUGGAGGCCAUCAAGCUCAUGGACAGGUGAGCGAUUUGCACAUCAUCCCCCAGAAGGAAGGAGAAAACCUGCGCAAGUACAUCCAAAGAUUCAGCCGAGUGCAGUACAACAUUCUAGACGUUCAUCCUGCUGCUGUGAUUAGUGCAUUCCACCAGAAUGUACGCAACCGCAAGAUGCCUAAGGAGCUGGCGAUGAACAAGGUCAAGGAUGUGGCCAGGCUUUAUGUUCUGGCCGUGUCGGGGGUUGGGUAUGACAUAUGCCAAAGGAUGGCUUAUCAUGGUGGGGGCGAGUAGAACGUCGCCGGUGCCCGGAAGCGGGAUGAGGCGAAGACAUGCACGCUGGCGGAUCUUACCCAGCUUCAGGGCUCUCCGUGGAGACAACACCCCUACUGCUGCUCUGCGGGGUCUCCGCGUGGUCACUAUGGCAAAGUGAGUACAAUGGUGCUCUUGGAGCUGUUUCUGGAGGUGGAAGAGGGCAAGGCCAGCUCUCUCCUUCCUAUAUUCUGGGGUCUAGUGCUAUCUGGGUCCGAACCCUUUGCAUGCGCUUCCUGGGGGUUUAUAUAGGCCUACUCCCCAGGGGUACAAUGGUAAUCCGGCUGGGCGCGGGUCCUAGCCGUCUGUCUCUCAGGCUGUCGUCUUCUCUGCCGACUACUGGGGCCCGCCGACUGGCGGGCCCCGCGGACAGGCCUGGUACUGUAGCGGUGCUUCUGAUGACGCCAGCUUGGUCAUGAGGUCAUGGCAACAGUGCCGCCGUCUGGCGGGUGUUCACUGCCGCCAUUCCCCAUCUUGUCUGAUUAAUGGCGCGCGGGGCCCGUGGGAGGGGCCGGCCGACUCCCGGGGGCCGACUCCCACGGGUCCGUCCUCAGGGCGUUCUUGCCGUCUUCUGCCUACCCGCUGACAGGCGGUCCCGCCAUCCUUGGGUCGUACAGGUAGGCGUCAUGGGCACAGUGCGCCGCCCACUAAGGCCGAGGUCAGGGGCGGCAUGGCAACAGUGCCACGCCACGAUGGAGAUCUCCAGCGAUACGGUGCACUAUAGCCAUGCUGGUGCUUCGCAGGCAGGGUAGAGACGGCCAUGCUGUGACCGUCCCCCGCCCUGUCCCUCGUGGCGAAGGCAAGGGGUGGUUGUAGUCGCGAGCCGCCUACCCUCAGCCGGCUUCCCUGGAAGUUGUCAGCUGAGAGUCGGCUCAUCUGGAAGUCAUCAGCUGAGAGUCGGCUCAUCUAGAAGUCGUCAGCUGAGAGUCGGCUCAUCUGGGAGUCGUCCCUGGGACUCGGCCUAUCUGGGAGUCGCCCUUGGGACUCGGCUCGUCUGGGAGUCGUCCCUGGGACUCGGCCUAUCUGGGAGUCGCCCCUGGGACUCGGCUCGUCUGGAAGUCGUCCCUGGGACUCGGCCUAUCUGGGAGUUGCCCUUGGGACUCGGCCUAUCUUGGAGUCGUCCCUGGGACUCGGCAUGGGCUGCACAGCCUGUCCCAAUGUCUUGAAAGGUUCUGGGCCCCAGGUUAGCCUACCCGUGGCCCAUUACUCCGACAGGCCGAUCGGUGCGCUCGGGCUGAAGAGGGGAGGAAGUACCCCGGCGAGGAUGCCGGUGCGGAAAUCGACUCCAUGGACAACGACGCCGCUGCCCCGACGAAGAAGGGUUGGUGCCAUAACAGGAAGCGCAAGGGCAAGAUUGUACUUGUUGUCGAGGGGUCCGACGACAUCGGCACCGCCAAGAAGGCCAAGGCGAGCGACCCCGGCAAGGAGUUUGCCGGGUGUGCCGCUUGCCGGGCCUUGACGGCUACCGACAAGCCAGGGGGCUCCGACAAGCAGUAUUGCAAGAUCCACCGCAAAAAGGCCACGACCUCCAGAAAUGCCGACAAAUUGAGCUGCUUGCUGAGAAGCAGAAAGCUGAAUAUGAAAGUCGAGACAAGGAGAAGGGCCAAGAUGGCGCCGAAGGAUCCGACAAGAAGCAUGGCAGCUAAAGAGGCCGCCGUGGCAAGGAUAACCAGCAAGAGAGUCCCGCUCGGGGCUGCGAUAAGAAGCAGGAAGACGAUGAUCAUGACGACGACGACGAGUCCGGGGACCAUGAGUUUCAGAAAGCUACAGAGGCCAUGUGCAUCGACGGUGGCGCCAAGUUGCACACAUCUCACUGGCAGCUCAAGAAGUGGGCGCGUGAAAUCACAGUAGUGGAGCCAUCACUCGACGCACGGAAGCCACUGAAGUGGUCCAGCAUGCCUAUCAUCUUUGACACCGAGGACCACCCUAAUCGCACUACUGCGGUCGGGUGCUUGCCGUUGUUGGUUUCACCAACGAUCCGCAACCUCAAGGUGACAAAGAUGCUAGUUGAUGGCAGGGCCGGUCUGAACUUGAUCUCGCCUAUUGUGAUCAAGAGGCUGCAGAUCCCUGAUGGAGACCUCAAGGAGAUGGGCACUUUCAAGGGGUCAACCCGAGGAGGAGCCAGCCGAAGGGAAAGGUCACGCUGCCCGUGACAUUUUGAGGUGAGUUGAACUACAGGACAGAGAGGAUUGUCUUCUACGUGGCCGAGAUCCCCUUGGCCUACAACGGGACCCUCGGCCGCCCGGCACUGGCCAAGUUCAUGGCGGCUUCCCAUUACGCCUACAACAUGCUGAAGAUGCCCGGGCCGAUGAACAUCAUCACCGUCCCCUCCGAUAAGAAAGAUGCGCUAAUUUGUGCUGACCAACUCUACCAGGAAGCAGUUGCAGUAGCUGCCGCCAAGGCACUUGCUCCUGCCGAUGAAGCCCCGGGAGGGAAGAAGACCGACGAGACCUAUCACACCCACUCCGGCAAGCGCACCUCUUCGGGGUGUUGCGCUCCCAUUGAGGACGUGCCAGAGAGCUCCACCGGCAAGAGCAAGAAGUCCAGAGCUGCACCACCAGAGACCAAGAAGGUGUCCGUCAAGGAGGACGGCACGGGAGGAGCUUUCACCAUAAGCUCCACCCUCGAUGGCAAAUAGGAUAGCGAGCUCGUCACUUUCCUGCGGGCGAAUGUUGAUGUGUUUGCAUCGCAAGAAUCCGACAUCCACGACGUUCCCAGGGAAGUGAUUGAGCAGCACCUUGCUUUCUGUCCUCAUGCGCGGCCCGUCAAGCAGAAGGUCAGGAAGCAAGCUCUGGAGAGGCAGGAGUUCAUCACGGAAGAGAUCAGGAAGCUAGAGGCGGCAGGCUUGGUAAGAGGGGUGCUCCAUCCGACGUGGCUGGCCAAUCCGGUGGUGGUGCGCAAGGCAAACGGGAAGUGGAGGCUGUGUAUUGAUUACAAAGAUAUCAAAAAAGCUUGUCCAAAAGAUCCUUUCCCAUUGCCGCGCAUCGACCAGAUUAUUGACUCCACGGCCGGGUGUGACCUGCUAUCAUUCCUCGAUGCCUACUCAGGCUACCACCAGAUCUUCCUGACAAGAGAAGAUGAGGAGAAGACAACAUUCAUCACCCCAUGUUGUACAUAUUGCUUUUUACGGAUGCCUUUCGGGUUGAAGAGUGCUGGCUCGACCUUUGCAAGAGCAGUUCAAAUUGGUUUUGAGCCCCAGCUACAUAGAAAUAUGGAAGCUUACAUGGAUGACAUAGUGGUCAAAACCAAGGACAAGGUGACACUUGUGCAAGAUUUGGAAGAGACGUUUGCAAAUUUGCGCAAGAUCAACCUCAAGUUGAACCCUGAGAAGUGUGUCUUCGGUGUUCCGUCCGGCAAGCUUCUCAGGUUCUUUGUGUAGCGGCAUGGGAAUGAGGCAAACCCAGACAAGAUCAAGGCCAUUGAGCAGAUUGAGGCACCUAAGCGGAUCAAGGAUGUGCGUCGGCUCACUGGUUGCGUUGCCGCCAUGAGCAGAUUCAUAUCCAAGUCCGCUGAGCAUGCCCUUCCCUUUUUCAAAAUCUUGAAGAAGGCGGGCCCAAUGGAGUGGACCCCGGAGGCCGAGGCGGCGCUGCAAGAUUUGAAGAAAUACCUCUCCUCUACCCCAGUGUUGGUUGCGCCCAAACCACAAGAAUCGUUGCUGCUAUAUCUAGCAGCAACAAAUCAAGUGGUUAGCGCCACACUGGUGGCACAGAGGGAGGUCGACAAAGAGGCAGCAACAACGACAGAGUUGACAGAUGGCGAACCAGAACCCUCCCCAGCAGGGCCUGAUCCCGGCAAGGCUGGCCCCCCGCAAGGUUUGACGCCAGUGUGACAGGGCCCACGCAACAAAGUGAGGUGGUGCAGAAGAAGAAGAUGAUGCAGCACCCGGUUUACUUUGUCAGCUCCCUCCUGCACGGGGCUAGAUCGAGGUACUCCGGUGUGCAGAAAUUGCUCUUCGACCUCCUUAUGGCCUCAAGGAAGAUGCUGUUGGGGAACGUUGCAGAAAAUUAAAAUUUUUCCUACAGUUUCACCAAGAUCCAUCUAUGAGUUCAUCUAAGCAACGAGUCAAGGGAGAGAGUUUACAUCUACAUACCACUUGUAGAUCACGAGCGGAAGCUUGCCAAGGGGAUGGUGAUGAUGGAGUCGUACUCGAACGUGAUUCGGAUCACCGAUGUCCUAGUGCUGAACGGACAGCACCUCCGCGUUCAACACACGUACGGGACGGGAGACGUCUCCUCCGUCUUGAUCCAGCAAGGAGGAAGGAGAGGUUGAGGAAGGCAGCUCCAACGGCAGCACGGCGUCGUGGUGCAGUUGAUGCGGCAGUAUUCCGACAGGGCUUCGCCAAGCACGUACGGAGGAGGAGAGGUGUUGGGGAGGGGAGGGGCUGCGCCUUGGCUUGUAUUGUAUUGCAGCCCUCCCCUCACCCCUCUAUAUAUAGGGGAAAGGGCAAGGGGGGCCGGCCCUCUAGGGAAAACCCUAGGGGGGGCGGCGGCCAAGGGGUGGGGGGCUUGCCCCCCAAGCAAGGGGGGGUGCGCCCCCUUUAGGGUUUCCCCCCCAACCCUAGGCGCAUGAGCCCAAGGGGGGGGGGCGCCAAGCCCACUAGGGGCUGGCUGCUAUCCCCACGCAGCCCAAGUGGCCCCCCCGAGAGGGGUGGCCCCUCCCGGUGGACCCCCGGAACCCUUCCGGUGGUCCCGGUACAAUACCGGUAUGACCCCGAAACUUUCCGGUGCCCGUUUAACAACUUCCCAUAUAUAAAACUUUACCUCCGGACCAUUCCGGAACUCCUCGUGACGUCCGGGAUCUCAUCUGGGACUCCGAACAACAUUCGGUAGUCACAUACUAGUCUUCCUAACAACCGUAGCGUCACCGAACCUUAAGUGUGUAGACCCUACGGGCUCGGGAGACAUGCAGACAUGACCGAGACCACUCUCGGGCAAUAACCAACAGCGGGGUCUGGAUACCCAUGUUGGCUCCCACAUGCUCCUCGAUGAUUUCAUCGGUUGAACCACGAUGUCGAGGAUUCGAUCAAACCCUGUAUACAAAUCCCUUUGUCAAUCGGUACGUUACUUGCCCGAGACUCGAUCGUCGGUAUCCCAAUACCUUGUUCAGUCUCGUAACCGGCAAGUCACUUUACUCGUACCGUAAUGCAUGAUCCCGUGGCCAACACCUUGGUCACCUUGAGCUCAUUAUGAUGAUGCAUUACCGAGUGGGCCCAGAGAUACCUCUCCGUCAUACGGAGUGACAAAUCCCAGUCUCGAUCCGCAUAAAACAAUAGAUACUUUCGGAGAUACCUGUAGUGCACCUUUAUAGUCACCCAGUUACGUUGUGACGUUUGAUACACCCAAAGCACUCCUACGGUAUCCAGGAGUUACACGCUCUCAUGGUCAAAGGAACAGAUACUUGACAUUGGCUAAGCUCUAGCAAAUGAACUACACGAUCUUUGUGCUAUGCUUAGGAUUGGGUCUUGUCCAUCACAUCAUUCUCCUAAUGAUGUGAUCCCGUUAUCAACGACAUCCAAUGUCCAUAGCCAGGAAACCAUGACUAUCUGUUGAUCACAACGAGCUAGUCAACUAGAGGCUCACUAGGGACAUGUUGUGGUCUAUGUAUUCACACGUGUAUUACGAUUUCCGGACAAUACAGUUAUAGCAUGAAUAAAAGACUAUUAUCAUGAACGAAGAAAUAUAAUAAUAACACUUUUAUUAUUGCCUCUAGGGCAUAUUUCCAACAGAUGCGUCAUUACUUCCAAGCACACGAGAUCACUGCUGUCACCCGCCUACCGUUGCAACGGUACUGCAUAACCCAGAUGCAACGGGGAGGAUUGUGGAAUGGGCCUUGGAUCUGUCAAGUUUUGGUUUCAAGUUCGAAAGCACCUCAACGAUUCAGAGCAGAGUCCUGGCGGAGUUCAUCGCUGAAUGGACCUCGACGCCCGACGAAGAGAUCCAGGAGACCACUCUCCCCGGCAAGAAAACAAGUCGCAACUGGAUUAUGUACUUUAAUAGGGCUUUUCCGCUACAAGGCACCGGUGCUGGUGUGCUGCUCGUCGCACCCACCGGAGAGCACCUCAAGUACGUGAUCCAGAUGCACUUUCCCAGGGAGAUGUCGAUGAACAACACUACCGAGUACGAGGGAUUGCUUGCUGGUCUCAGGAUCACGGCAGACCUUGUGGUCAAGAAGCUCAUCGUCAGGGGUGAUUCACACCUUGUCGUCAGGCAGGUCAACAAGGAUUAUCAGAGCCCGUUGAUGGAGGCUUACAUGGAUGAAGUGAGGAAACUGGAGGAGCGCUUUGAAGGUAUAUGAUAACCCACAAAUAUAGGGGAUCGCAACAGUUUUCGACGGUAGAGUAUUCAACCCAAAUUUAUUGAUUCGACACAAGGGGAGCCAAAGAAUAUUCUCAAGUAUUAGCAGUUGAGUUGUCAAUUCAACCACACCUGGAUAACUUAGUAUCUGCAGCAAAGUAUUUAGUAGCAAAGUAGUAUGAUAGUAAUGGUAACAGUGAUAAGAGUAACGAUAGUAGUUUUGUAGUGAUUGUAACAGCAGCAACGGAAAAGUAAAUAAGCAAAGCACAAUAUGUGAAAAGCUCAUAGGCAUUGGAUCAGUGCUGGAUAAUUAUGUCGGAUGCGAUUCAUCAUGUAAUAGUUAUAACAUAGGGUGACACAGAACUAGCUCCAGUUCAUCAAUGUAAUGUAGGCAAGUAUUCUGAAUAUAGUAAUACGUGCUUAUAGAAAAAAACUUGCAUGACAUCUUUUGUCCUACCCUCCCGUGGCAGCGGGGUCCUAAUUGAAACUAAGGGAUAUUAAGGCCUCCUUUUAAUGGAGAACAAGACCAAAGCAUUAACACAUAGUAAAUACAUGAACUCCUCAAACUAAGAUCAUCACCGAGAAGUAUCCCGAUUAUUGUCACUUAGGGGUUGUCGGAUCAUAACACAUAAUAGGUGACUAUAGACUUGCAAGAUAGGAUCAAGAACUCACAUAUAUUCAUGAAAAUAUAACAGGUUCAGAUCUGAAAUCAUGGCACUCGGCCCCUAGUGACAAGCAUUAAGCAUAGCAAAGUCAUAGCAGCAUCAAUCUCAGAACAUAGUGGAUACUAGGGAUCAAACCCUAACAAAACUAACUUGAUUACACGGUAAAUCUCAUCCAACCCAUCACCGUCCAACAAGCCUACGAUGGAAUUACUCAUGCACGGCGGUGAGCAUCAUGAAAUUGGUGAUGGAGGAUGGUUGAUGAUGACGAUGACGAUGAAUCCCCUCUUCGGAGCCCCUAACAGACUCCAGAUCUGCCCUCCCAAGAGAGAUUAGGGCUUGGCGGCGGCUCCGUGUCGUAAAAUGUGAUGAAACUUCCUCUCUGAUUUUUUUCUCCGCGAAACGGAAUAUAUGGAGUUGGAGUUGAGGUCGGUGGAGCUCCAGGGGGCCCAUGAGACAGGGGCGCGCCCAGGGGGAGGGGGCGCGCCCCCCAUCCUCGUGGACAGGGUGUGGCCCCCUGGCCUUGAUUCUUUCACCAAUAUUUUUUAUAUUUCCCAAAAGUUAUCUCCAUGGAUUUUCAGGUCAUUCCGAGAAAUUUUGUUUUCUGCACAAUAAACAACACCAUGGAAGUUCUGCUGAAAAAAGCGUUAGUCCAGGUUAGUUUCAUUCAAAUCAUGCAAGUUAGAGUCCGAAACAAGGGCAAAAGUCUUUGGAAAAGUAGAUACGUUGGAGACGUAUCAACUCCCCCAAGCUUAAACCUUUGCUUGUCCUCAAGCAAUUCAGUUGAUAAACUGAAAGUGAUAAAGAAAAACUUUUACAAACUCUAUUUGCUCUUGUUGUUUUAAAUAUGUAAAGACAACAUUCAAGUUUUCAGCAAAUAUUAUGAACUAACCAUAUUCACAAUAACACUUAGGUAUCAUAUUUACUCAUAUCAAUGGCAUAAUCAACUAGCGAGCAAUAAUAAUAAAACUCAGAUGACAACACUUUCUCAAAACAAUGAUAAUAUGAUAUAACAUGAUGGUAUCUCGCUAGCCCUUUCUGAGACUGCAAAACAUAAAUGCAGAGCACCUUUAAAGAUCAAGGACUGACUAAACAUUGUAAUUCAUGGUAAAAGAGAUCCAGUCAAGUCAUAACCAAUAUAAACUAAUAGCAAUGCAUGCAAAUGUCAGUGUGCUCUCCAGCGGGUGCUUUUUAAUAAGAGGGUGAUGACUCAACAUAAAAGUAAAUAGAUAGUCCCUUCGUAGAGGGAAGCAGGGAUUUGUAGAGGUGCGAGAGCUCAAUUUUGAAAUAGAGAUGAAUAACAUUUUGAGUGCUAUACUUUCACUGUCAAUGCAACAACUAUGAGAUCUCGACAUCUUCCAUGCUACAUACAUUAUAGGCGGUUCCCAAACAGAAUGGUAAAGUUUUUUACUCCCCCUCCACCAACAAGCAUCAAUCCAUGGCUUGCUCGAAACAACGAGUGCCUCCAACUAGCAAUGUCCCUGGGGGAGUUUUGUUUAAUUAUGUUGAUUUGCUUUGAUCUUUUUAAUCAUGGGACUAGGCAUCCUGGUUACCAGCCAUUUUCUCGUGAAUGAGGAGCGGAGUCCACUCCCCUUGAGAAUAACCCACCUAGCAUGGAAGACACACACAACCCUAGUUGAAAUAUGAGCUGCUCGAGCAUACAAAACAGAAUUUCAUUUGAGGGUUUGGAGUUUGGCACAUACAAAUUUACUUGGAACAGUAGGUAAAUACCCCAUAUAGGAAGCUACGAUGGACUCAUAUGGAAUAACUUUGGGGUUCAUGGAGUUUGGAUGCACAAGCAGUACUCCCGCUUAGUACAGGUGAAGGCUAGCAAAAGACUGGGAAGCGACCAACUGAGAGAGCGACAACAGUCAUGAACAUGCAUUAAAAUUAAUCAACACUGAGUGCAAGCAUGAGUAGGAUAUAAUCGACCAUGAACAUAAAUAUCGUGAAGGCUAUGUUGAUUUGUUUCAACUUCAUGCGUGAACAUGUGCCAAGUCGAGUCACUCAAUUCAUUUAAAGAAGGAUACCACCCUAUCAUACCACAUCACAACCAUUUUAAUAGCAUGUUGUCACACAAGGUAAACCAUUAUAACCUCCUAGCUAAUUAAGCAUGGCAUAAGUAACUAUAAUAUCUAAUUGUCAUUGCAAACAUGUUUAUUCAUAAUAGGCUGAAUCAGGAACGAUGAACUCAUCAUAUUUACAAAAAUAAGAGAGGUCGAGUUCAUACCAGCUUCUCUUAUCUCAAUCAAUCCAUCAUACAUCGUCAUUAUUGCCUUUCACUUGCACGACCGAACGGUGUGUAUAAUAAUAAUAGUGCACGUGCAUUGGACUAAGAUGGAAUCUGCAAGCAUUCAAUUCAAGGGAGAAGACAAGGUAAUAUGGCCUCUAAGUUAAAUCAACAAUCAUGCAUAUGAGAGCCACUAAACAUUUUCAUUAUGGUCUUCUACUCUUGACCCCGAAAGGAAAGAAAAGAAAUAAAACUAUUUACACGGGAAAGCUCCCAACAAGCAAAAGAAGAACAAGAAAUAUUUUUGGGUUUUCUUGAAGGUUUAUCAAACACACAAGAAGAAAGCUAGGAAAAUAAAUAAAUUAAACUAGCAUGGAUAGUACAAUGAAAGAGUAUGAGCAGGACAACUAGAAUAAGUGUGUGAACAUGAAUGUAAUGUUGGUGAGAAAUACGUACUCCCCCAAGCUUAGGAUUUUUGGCCUAAGUUGGUUUAUUGCCAAGGAUAGCAUGGCUGAUAUCCGGAGUUAUAAUUGGGGUCGUACUGAGAUGCAGCAGCCAAUGCCUCCUGAGCUGCGGCAUGUUGGCGAGCUGCCUCCGCUCUCCUCUCGUGUUCGGUUGCCUCCUCCCUGGUUACAACAUAUCUUCUUUUUGCCUGGUAAUCAAAAAGGGAAGGAGCAGGGAGAGUAACAUGGAUAGCGCGACGUCUGUCAAAGAUUAGUCGAUACUGGAGGAAUUGUUCAGUCCUCAAAAGAAAACGAUGUCUGACCAUCGCGUCAUAAUCUAAAUAAGCGGGAGGCAAAUCCAUAUCACCCUCACGUGGGGGUAUACCAAGAUAAUUAGCAACACUGGUCGCAUAAAUCCUUCCAAAUAAAUCUCCAACUAAACCAUUAUUAUGCAACCUACGUGCAAUAAUCGCUCCCAAGUUGUAAAUUUUAUUACCUAAUACAUCACUCUUAAGAACACAAAGAUCAGGGAAACACAUGUGACAUGCUUCAUCCUUACCGUUAAUGUAUCUACCAAUGAAGAGAGCAAAAUAAUGUAUAGCAGGAAAAUGAAUGCUCCCUAUGGUAGCUUGUGCUAUAUCCCUAGAUUCUCCCACAGUGAUACUAGCAAGAAAGUCUUUAUAUUCAGAUUUGCGGGGUUCGUUAACAUUGCCCCACUGAGGGAGUUUGCAAGCAGUAGUAAAAUCUUCUAGGUCCAUGGUAUAUGAUUGAUCAUAAAUAUCAAACAGGGCACUUCGAGAAUUACACGAAGAUGAAAAUUUAAACCUUCUCACAAAUGAAUCAGUCAAAUACUGGUACUGAGGACACUUAUCUUGCAUGAAGUCCUCAAGAUCGGCAUUACACACAUAUGUAUCAAAUUUGUCCUUGAUGCCUGCAUUGACCGUAAAUUCUUCUGACGGCCAUUCACAAAACCGCACCUUAGCUUCCCUUGGUGGUUCAUCGUCUUGCUCAUGCAUAGCACGCCUAAGUCCUCUCUUUGUUGAGGAACCACCUUGAUACAUUUUCCUGGAAAUAUUUCUUCCUCUGAAAAAUUUCUGAAAUUUUUAGUAACUUCAAAAUAAAAGUGAAUCAAACUAAACAAGAUUGAUAGCAACUACUCCCACAAGUGCCUAGAGCCUAUAUCAUGCAUUAAAAUUACUUGGGACCUCAUAAAUUUGACAUGCAAGCUCAAGGACAUGGUCACCUAGGCAGCAAAAAUUUGCAAUGAAUAAAGCACUAGAACAAAAACUAAUUGGGCUGAUGGAGGAGUCACAUAGCAAGCAACAAUCUCCCAAAGCAGUUUUAUGAAUGGAGCUUUGAGCAAAGAGAUCAAAAAUCACAGCAAAAUGAGCUAGAACUCGUUCUUGAGCUGGAUGGGGAUUUUUUGGGACGAAGAUGGAGUGUGUGGGUGCAGGAAUAAGUGGAGGGGGGCCACCGUGGGCCCACGAGCCAAGGGGCGCGCCCACGGGGAGUGGGCGCGCCCUGGACCCUCAUGGCUAGGUGCUUGCCCCCCCUGCUGUGUUGUUAGUGCUUAAAAUCCUCAAAUAUUCCAUAAAAAAUCAUACUAAAUUUGCAGUCCAUUUGGAGCAAUUUAUUUUCGGGAUAUUUUUUAUUGCAUUGAUAAUUUAGAAAAUAGACAGAUAAUACUAUUUUUGCUUUAUUUAUUCUAAAUAACAGAAAGUAAAAAGAGAGUACAGAAGGUUGUGCCUUCUAGUUUCAUCCAUCUCAUGAUCAUCAAAAGGAAUUCACUAACAAGGUUGAUCAAGUCUUGUUAACAAAAUCAUUCCAAAUAACAUGGAACCGGAGAAAUUUCGAAUAACACUAGGUUACCUUAACGGGGAUAUGAACAUCCCCAACAAUAUUUUUCUUGACAGUAGGAAGAGGAAAUUCAAAACCACCAAUAAUGAUAGUUGAAAUUUUUCCAAUAGAAUUGAUGCUAUGAAAUUGAGGUUGUUUCCUCGGAAAGUGUACCGUAUGCUCAUUACCAUUAACAUGAAAAGUGACGUUGCCUUUGUUGCAAUCAAUAACAGCCCUUGCAGUAUUCAAAAAGGGUCUACCAGGGAUAAUCGACAUACUAUCGUCCUUGAGAAUAUCAGGAAUAACAAAGUCCGUUAAGAUAGUGACAUUUGCAACCACAACAGGCACGCCCUCACAUAUACCGACAAGUAUAGUGGCUGAUUUAUCAGCCAUUUGCAAAGAUAUUUUAGUAGGUGUCAACUUAUUCAAUUCAAGUCUAUGAUACAAAGAGAGGGGCAUAACACUAAAAUCGGCUCCAAGAUCACGUAAAGCAGUUUUAACAUAAUUUCUUUUAAUGGAGCAUGGUCUAGUUGGUACCCCUGGAUCUCCAAGUUUCUUAGGUAUUCCACAUUUAAAAGUGUAAUUAGCAAGCACGGUGGAAAUUUCAGCUUCCAGUAUCUUUCUUUUAUUUGUAAUGAUGUCCUUCAUGUAUUUAGCAUAAGGGUUUACUUUAAGCAUAUCAGUUAAGCGCAUACGUAAGAAGAUAGGUCUAAUCAUUUCAGCAAAGCGCUCAAAAUCCUUAUCAUCCUUUGUCUUGGAUGGUUUAGGAGGAAAAGGCAUGGGUUUUCGAACCCAUGGUUCUCUUUCUUUACUGUGCUUCCUAGCAACAAAAUCUCUUUUAUCAUAACCUUGAUUCUUUGAUUGUGGGUUAUCAAGAUCAACAGCAGGUUCAACCUCUACAUCAUUAUUAUUGCUAGGUUGAGCAUCAACAUGAACAUUAUUAUUAACAUUAUCACUAGGUUCAUGUUCAACACCUGAUUCUGUUUCAGCAUCAAAAACAGAAAUAUCAUUGGGAUUCUCAGGUGUGUCUACAACAGGUUCACUAGAAGCAUGCAAAGUCCUAUCAUUUUAUUUUUCUUCUUUUUAGAAGGACUGGGUGCAUCUAAAUUUUUUCUCUAAGAAUCUUGCUCGAUUCUCUUAGGGUGGCCUUCAGGAUACAAAGGUUCCUGAGUCAUUCUACCAGUUCUAGUAGCCACUCUAAUAGCAAAAUCAUGUUUAUUAUUUAAUUCAUCGAGCAAAUCACUUUGAGCUUUAAGUACUUGUUCAGCUUGAGUGGUAACCAUAGAAGCAUAUUUGCUAAUGAGUUUAAGUUCACCUUUAACUCUAGCCAUAUAAUCACUCAAGCGUCCUAUCAUGAAAUCAUUACUCUCUAAUUCUCUACCAACAUAAGCAUUAAAACUUUCUUGCCUAGCCAUAAAGUCAUCAAAUUCAUCCAAACAUUGGCAAUGAAAUUUAGUAGACGGGAUUUCAACUUUAUCAUAUCUAUAGAGAGAAUUUACCUUUACUAGCUAUGUCGGGUUAUCAAGACAAUGUGUUUCUUCAACAGGCGGUAUAUUAAGACCAUGUAUUUCUUUAAUAGGAGGUAAAUUCUUAACAUCUUCAGCUUUAAUACCUUUUUAUUUCAUUGAUUUCUUUGCCUCUUGCAUAUCUUUGGGACUGAGAAAUAGAACACCCCUCUUCUUCGGAGUUGGUUUAGGAAUAGGCUCAGGAGUUGGCUCAAUUGGCUCAGGAAUCGGGUCAGGAAGAGUCCAAUUAUUUUCAUUACUUAACAUAUUAUCAAUAACAAUUCAGCUUGGUCGACUGUUCUUUCCCUGAAAACACAACCAGCACAACUAUCCAAGUGGUCCUUGGAAGCAUCGGUUAGUCCAUUAUAAAAGAUAUCAAAUAUUUAAUUUUUCUUAAGAGGAUGAUCAGGCAAAGCAUUAAGUAAUCGGAGAAGCCUCUCCCAAGCUUGUGGGAGACUCUCUUCUUUGAUUUGCACAAAAUUAUAUAUUUCCCGCAAGGCAGCUUGUUUCUUAUGAGCAGGGAAAUAUUUAGCAGAGAAGUAAUAAAUCAUAUCCCGGUGACUACGCACACAACCAGGAUCAAGAGAGUUAAACCAAGUUUUAGCAUCACCCUUUAAUGAGAAAGGAAAUAUCUUAAGGAUAUAAUAAUAGCGAGACUUCUCAUUAUUGGUAAACAGGGUGGCUAUAUCAUUCAACUUGGUAAGAUGUGCCACAACAGUUUCAGAUUCAUUGCCAUAAAAACAAUCAGAUUCAACCAAAGUAAUUAUCUCAGGAUCAACAGAGAAUUCAUAAUCCUUAUCAGUAACAAAGAUAGGUGAAGUAGCAAAAGCAGGGUCAUAUUUCAUUCUAGCAUUCAGAGUUUUCUGUUUCAGUUUAGCUAGUAACUUCUUAAGAUCAGAUCUAUCAUUGCAAGCAAGAAGAUCUCUAGCAGUUUCUUCAUCCAUAACAUAACUGAUGUCUACUACACAAUCUUCUUCUUGUAGACGUUGUUGGGCCUGCAAGUGCACAGGUUUGUAGGACAGUAGCAAAUUUCCCUCAAGUGGAUGACCUAAGGUUUAUCAAUCCGUAGGAGGCGUAGGAUGAAGAUGGUCUCUCUCAAACAACCCUGCAACCAAAUAAAAAAGAGUCUCUCGUAUCCCCAACACACACAAUACAAUGGUAAAUUGUAUAGGUGCACUAGUUCGGCGAAGAGAUGAAGAUACAAGUGCAAAAUAAAUGGUAGAUAAAGGUAUUUGUAAUCUGAAAUAAUAAAAACAGCAAUGUAGCGAGCGAUAAAAGUGAGCGUAAAUGGUAUUGCAAUGAUAGGAAACAAGGCCUAGGGUUCAUACUUUCACUAGUGCAAGUUCUCUCAACAAUAAUAACAUAGAUAGAUCAUAUAACAAGCCCUCAACAUGCAACAAAGAGUCACUCCAAAGCCACUAAUAGCGGAGAACAAACAUAGAGAUUAUGGUAGGGUACGAAACCACCUCAAAGUUAUUCUUUCGAAUCGAUCUAUAAAAGAGUUCGUACUAGAAUAACACCUUAAGACACAAAUCAACCAAAACCCUAAUGUCACCUAGAUACUCCAUUGUCACCUCAAGUAUCCGUGGGCAUGAUUAUACGAUAUGCAUCACACAAUCUCAGAUUCAUCCAACCAACACAAAGUACUUCAAAGAGUGCCCCAAAGUUUCUACCGGAGAGUCAAGAACGUGUGCCAAACCCUAUGCAUAGGUUGAUGGGCGGAACCCUCAAGUUGGUCACCAAAACAUACAUCAAGAGGCACAUGAUAUCCCAUUCUCACUACAGAUAAGCACGGCAAGACAUACAUCAAGUGUUCUCAUAAAAGACUCAAUCCGAUAAGAUAACUUCAAAGGGGAAACUCAAUUCAUCACAAGGGAUUAGAGGAGGAGAAACAUCAUAAGAUCCAACUACAAUAGCAAAGCUCGGGAUACAUCAAGAUCGUGCCAUAGAGGGAACACGAGGGAGAGAGAGAUCAAACACAUAGCUACUGGUACAUACCCUCAGCCCCGAGGGUGAACUACUCCCUCCUCGUCAUGGAGAGCGCCGGGAUGAUGAAGAUGGCCACCGGUGAAGGAUCCCCCUCCAGAAAGGUGGCAGGAAGGGCUCCCGAGAGGUUUUUGGUGGCUACAAAGGCUUGCGGCAGCGGAACUCCUGAUCUAUCUUCUGUUCUGGAAGUUUUAGGGUACAUAGGUAUAUAUGGGUGAAAGGAGUACGUCGGUGGACCUCCGGGGUGCUCACGAGGCAGGGGGCGCGCCCUAGGGGGGUGGGCGCGCCCCCACCCUCGUGGGCAGCCCGGGACUCCCUUGACGUGCACUCCAAGUCUAUCAGGUUGCUUUCCUUCCAAAAAUAACGUCUCCAGCUGAUUUCGUUCCGUUUUGACUCCGUCUGAUAUUCCUUUUCCUCGAAACACUGAAAUAGGCAUAAAAUAGCAAAUCUGGGCUGGGCCUCCGGUUGAUAGGUUAGUCCCAAAAAUAAUAUAAAAGUGGAUAAUAAAGCCCAAUAUUGCCCAAAAUAGUAGAUAAUAUAGCAUGGAGGAAUCAAAAAUUAUAGAUAUGUUGGAGACGUAUCAAGCAUCCCUAGGCUUAAUUCCUUCUCGUCCUUGAGUAGGUAAAUGAUAAAAAAGAAUUUUUGAUGCGGAGUGCUACUUGGCAUAAUUUCAAUGUAAUUCUUCUUAAUUGUAGUAUGAAUAUUCAGAUCCGAAAGAUUCAAGACAAAAGUUCAUAUUGACAUAAAAAUAAUAAUACUUCAAGCAUACUAAUCAAAGCAAUCAUCUCUUCUCAAAAUAGCAUGGCUAAAGAAAGUUAUCCCUACAAAAUCAUAUAGUCUGGUUGUUGCUCUAUCUUCAUCACACAAAGUAUUUAAUCAUGCACAACCCCGAUGACAAGCCAAGCAAUUGUUUCAUACUUUAAUAAUCUCAAACUCUUUCAACUUUCACGCAAUACAUGAGCGUGAGCCAUGGACAUAGCACUAUAUGUGGAAUAGAAUGGUGGUUGUGGAGAAUACAAAAGGAGGGAAGAUAGUCUCACAUCAUCCUUUCCUCACUGGGACAAUGCUCUAAUAAUGAUGAUCAUCACACUUUUAUUUUUCUUACAACUCAACAAUUGCAACUCGAUACUUAGAACAAAAUAUGACUCUAUAUGAAUGCCUCCGGCGGUGUACCGGGAUAUGCAAUGAAUCAAGAGCGACAUGUAUAAAAAUUAUGAAGGUGGCCUUGCCACAAAUACAAUGUCAACUACAUGUUCAUGCAAAAUGCAAUAUGACAAAAGUAAUGUGUGUCAUAUGAACGGAACGGUGGAAAGUUGCAUGGCAAUAUAUCUCGGAAUGGCUAUGGUAAUGCCAUAAUAGGUAGGUAUGGUGGCUGUUUUGAGGAAGGUAUAUGGUGGGUGUAUGGUAUAGGCGAAAGUUGCGCGACACAAGAGAGGCUAGCAAUAAUAUAAGGGUGAAAGGGUGCGUAUAAUCCAUGGACUCAACAUUAAUCAAAAGAACUCUUGCACUUGUUCCAAAAAUUUAGAAGUCAUCAAAAACCUAAGCACUACGCGCAUGCUCCUAGGGGGAUAGAUUGGUAGGAAAAGACCAUCGCUCGUCCCCGACCGCCACUCAUAAGGAAGACAAUCGAUAAAUAAAAUUGUGCUCCAACUUCAUCACAAAUCGGUUCACCAUACGUGCAUGCUACAGGAAUCACAAACUUCAACACAAGCAUUCUUUAAAUUCAUUAUCACCCAACUAGCAUCACUUUGAUAUUAUCACCUCCAUAUCUCAAAACAAUUAUCAAGCAUCAAACUUAUCUUAGUAUUCAACGCACUCAAAAGAAAGUUUCACAUAUCUUGAAUACCAAGUAUAUUAAUGUUAAGCAAAUUACCAUGCUAUUAAAUACUCUCAAAAUAAUAUAAGUGAAGCAUGAGAGUUCAUCUAUUUCUUCAAAAUAAAACCACCAUUGUGCUCUAAAAGAUAUAAGUGAAGUACUAGAGCAAAUGACAAACUACUCAAAAAAGAUAUAAGUGAAGAACAAUGAUUAGCUAAAUAAUUACGUAACUAUGUGAAGACUCUCUCUCAUUAAAGAAUUUCAGAUCUUGGUAUCUUAUUCAAACAUCAAGCAAACAAAAUAAAAUAGCAUUGCAAGGAUAGCACAACUCAUGUGAAGAAGCAAAAACUUAGGCUCAACCGAUACUAACCGAUGAUUGUCGAAGAAGAAAGGUGGGAUGCCUACCGGGGCAUCCCCAAGCUUAGAUGCUUGAGACUUCUUGAAAUAUUAUCUUGGGGUGCCUUGGGAAUCCCCAAGCUUGAACUUUUUUGUCUCCUUAAUUCCUCUCAUAUCAAGGUUUCUCUUCUUUUCAAAAGCUUCAUUCACAACUAACUCAACAAGAACUCGUGAGAUAGGUUAGUAUAAACCAAUGCAAAACCAUAUCAUCCUCUACUGUAACAAAUCACUAAAAUUAUUAUUCAACAUUGAAUACUAAAUGUCUCUGCAUAUUUAAUACUCUUAUCCUCAAAUAGAAUCAUUAAACAAGCAAACAUAUGCAAACAAUGCAAACAUAACAGCAAUCUGCCAAAACAGUACAGUUUGUAAAGAAUGCAAGAGUAUCCAUACUUCCAUGACUCCAAAAAUUAUGAACUAAAAUUCCCACUGUAAAAAAUUUAUCAUAUCUUAAUAUUCAAAAAGAUUCAACGUUAUACCAUUCUCUGACUUUUCUAGGGAAUUUUUGCAACAGAGGUAAACUUUCUGUUUUCAAACAGCAACAUGUAUACAAGCAAAAUCAGCAUGGCAAAGGCUAUCCUUGACUUUUUUAUUGAAACUAAAGAUGCAAAACAUUGUUCUAACUAACAGAAAGCAAAAACUAACAAAAUAAAAUGACGCUCCAAGCAAAACACAUAUCAUGUGGCGAAUAAAAAUAUAGCUCCAAGUAAAGUUACCGAAGAACGAAGACGGAAGAGGGGAUGCCUUCCGGGGCAUCCCCAAGCUUAGGCUCUUUGUUGUCCUUGGAUAUUACCUUGGGGUGCCUUGGGCAUCCCCAAGCUUAGGCUCUUGCCACUUCUUAUUCUAUAGUCCAUCGAAUCUUUACCCAAAACUUGAAAACUUCAACCACACAAAACUCAAAACAAAACUCGUAAGCUCCGUUAGUAUAAGAAAAUAAAACCACCACUUAGGUACUGUAAUGAACUCAUUCUAAAUUCAUAUUGGUGUAAUAUGUACUGUAUUCUAACUUCUCUAUGGUUCUUACCACUUAAUACUAGCCAUAGAUGCAUCAAAAUAAGCAAACAACACAUAGAAAACAGAAUCUGUCAAAAACAGAACAGUCUGUAGUAAUCUGUAUAAAACGUAUACUUCUGGAACCCCAAAAAUUAUGAAAUAAAUUGAUGGACCAGAGAAAUUUUUCUAUUAAUCAUCUUCAACAAGAAUCAACCUAAAAUCACUCUCCAGUAAAACAUGGCAGCUAAUCUCGUGAGCGCUAAAGUUUCUGUUUUCACAGCAAGAUCACAUAAACUUCACCCAAGUCUUCCCAAAGGUUCUACUUGGCACUUUAUUGAAACAAAAGCUAUAAAACAUGAUUAAUAAAGUAGCAUAAUCAUGUGGACACACAAAAACAGUAAGGAUAAAUAUUGGGUUGUCUCCCAACAAGCGCUUUUCUUUAAUGUCUUUCUAGCUAGGCAUGAUGAUAGCAAUGAUGCUCACAUAGAAGAUAAGAAUUGAAACAAAAAGAGAGCAUCAUGAAGCAUGUGACUAGAACAUUUAAGCCUAACCCACUUCAUAUGCAUAAGGAUUUCGUGAGCAAACAACUUAUGGGAACAAAAAUCAACUAGUAUAGGAUGGCACAACAAACCUAACUUCAAGAAUUUCAACACAUAGAGAGGAAACUUGACAUUAUUGCAAUUCCUACAAGCAUAUGUUCCUCCCUCAUAAUAAUUUUCAGUAGCACCAUGAAUGAAUUCAACAAUAUAACCAGUACCUAAGUCAUUCUUUGCAUGAUCUACAAGCAUAGAAAAUUUACUACUCUCCACAUAAGCAAAUUUCUUCUCAUGAAUAGUAGGAGUAUCAUAAGAGACUUGAACACUAAAAAUUGUUUCCACAUUAAAAGAGUAAUGUUCAGAAAAAGGGUAAUCAUAAUCAUGAAUUUUUUUUAAUAUAAUCAUCACUACUUUUUAUAGCAUAAGUUUCAUCACAAUAAUCAUCAUAAGUAGCAACUUCGUUCUCAUCAUAAUCGAUUGAAACCUCUCCCAAGAUAGUGGAAUCACUAAAUAAAGUUGACACUCUUCCAAAUCCACUUUCAUAUUUAUCACAAUAAAAUUCAACAUCCUCCAAAAUAGUGGGAUCACUACUUCCUAAAGUUGACACUCUUCCAAACCCACUUUCAUCAAUAUAAUCAUCAUAGGUACAAGGCAUGCUAUCAUCAUAACAACUUUGCAUAUUAAAACUUGGGAGGCUAAAAAUAUCAUCUUCAUUAAACAUAGCAUACCCAAGCUUGGGACAAACAUUAAUUUCAGCAAAUAUAUUCUCAAAUAUUUCAUACUCAUCAAACAUAGCUUCCCCAAGCUUGGGCCUUUUCAUAUCAUAAGCAUAAUCACUCUCAUCGUUAAAAAUAUGGAUAGCACCAAUAGUAAAGCAAUUAUCAUCAUCACAAUGAGUAGUAGGAGCAACAUCAUUUGGGAGGGAUACCUUUCUACCUUUGUUGCUCCUUCUUUUCUUUUUCUUCUUCACAUUAUGUGUGGGUUCAACCUUCCUCUUUGAGCUCCUUAUUGAUGAGAUUGGUUGAAUAGAAAGCUCGUCCUCGUUACCUGACUCAUCAUAAGAAAUAAUAAGAGGAUAUUGGGAAGUCUCUUCCCUUUCAUUAGUAUUCUCAUCAACUUCUAUUUGCUUUCUUUUCUUUAGGUAAUUGGCAAUAUAUGGAUUUUCAAUGCAAUUCACCGCACAAAACAAAUAAAUCUUCUCUAGAUCAAUAUCAAGGAAAUGCUCAAGAUUAAAUUCUGGAAUAGGCUUAGUUAAACGUUUGAACUCUUCAUAACCCAAAAGCAAACUAAGUUCAUUAUAAUGUGCAAGGGAAAUCAAAUCAUCACAAUUUUUGGACAUGAUUCGGUCAUGAAACAAUUUGCAUUGGAGAUGUAAAUGACCACAUUCAUAGCAAAGUUCACAAGUAUGGCAAAGGAAUUUUAAAUUUUCAGCACUCACAUCUAGCCUUUCUUGCAACCAUUUAGUUUCUAAAUGCUUAUGCCUCUUGCAAUAAAUAUCUUCUCUAUUUGGUGUGUUCAUGCAAACAUGCACUCCACAAAAGUUGACAUGCUCAUAAGAGAUAUUUUCAUCAUGACUAGAGCAAUCAUCAUUAAUACUAUGGAUAUUCAAGGAGUUUAUACUAACAACAUUGCAAUCAUGCUCAUCAUUCAAAGAUUUAGUAUCAAGCAUUUUAAUGCACUCUUCCUCUAGCACUUGAGCACAAUUUUCCUUUCCAUCAAACUCACGAAAGAUAUUAAAAAGACGAAGCAUAUGAGACAAACUUAACUCCAUUUUUUUGUAAUUUUCUUUUAUAAACUAAACUAGUGAUUAAACAAGAAAUAAAAAGAUUCGAUUGCAAGAUCUAAAGAUAUACCUUCAAGCACUCACCUCCCCGGCAACGGCGCCAGAAAAGAGCUUGAUGUCUACUACACAACCUUCUUAUUGUAGACGUUGUUGGGCCUGCAAGUGCACAUGUUUGUAGGACAGUAGCAAAUUUCCGUCAACUGGAUGACCUAAGGUUUAUCAAUCCGUAGGAGGCGUAGGAUGAAGAUGGUCUCUCUCAAACAACCCUGCAACCAAAUAACAAAGAGUCUCUUGUGUCCCCAACACACCCAAUACAAUGGUAAAUUGUAUAGGUGCACUAGUUCGGCGAAGAGAUGAAGAUACAAGUGCAAAAUAGAUGGUAGAUAAAGGUAUUUGUAAUCUGAAAUAAUAAAAACAGCAAGGUAGCGAGCGAUAAAAGUGAGUGUAAAUGGUAUUGCAAUGAUAGGAAACAAGGCCUAGGGUUCACACUUUCACUAGUGCAAGUUCUCUCAACAAUAAUAACAUAGAUAGAUCAUAUAAAAAGCCCUCAACAUGCAACAAAGAGUCACUCCAAAGCCACUAAUAGCGGAGAACAAACGUAGAGAUUAUGGUAGGGUACAAAACCACCUCAAAGUUAUUCUUUCGGAUCGAUCUAUAAAAGAGUUCAUACUAGAAUAACACCUUAAGACACAAAUCAACCGAAACCCUAAUGUCACCUAGAUACUCCAUUGUCACCUCAAGUAUCAGUGGGCAUGAUUAUACAAUAUGCAUCACACAAUCUCAGAUUCAUCCAACCAACACAAAGUACUUCAAAGAGUGCCCCAAAGUUUCGACCGGAGAGUCAAGAACGUGUGCCAACCCCUAUGCAUAGGUUCAUGGGUGGAACCCACAAGUUGGUCACCAAAACAUACAUCAAGAGGCACAUGAUAUCCCAUUGUCACCACAGAUAAGCACGGCAAGACAUACAUCAAGUGUUCUCAUAAAAGACUCAAUCCGAUAAGAUAACUUCAAAGGGGAAACUCAAUUCAUCACAAGAGAGUAGAGGAGGAGAAACAUCAUAACAUCCAACUACAGUAGCAAAGCUCAGGAUACAUCAAGAUCGUGCCAUAGAGGGAACACGAGAGAGAACACGAGGGAGAGAGAGAUCAAACACAUGGCUACUGGUACAUACCCUCAGCCCCGAGGGUGAACUACUCCCUCCUCGUCAUGGAGAGCGUCAGGAUGAUGAAGAUGGCCACCGGUGAAGGAUCCCCCCUCCGUCAGGGUGUCGGGAAGGGCUCCCGAGAGGUUUUUGGUGGCUACAGAGGCUUGCGGCGGCGGAACUCCCGAUCUAUCUUCUGUUCUGGAAGUUUUAGGGUACGUAGGUAUAUAUGGGUGAAAGGAGUACGUCGGUGGACCUCCAGGGUGCUCACGAGGCAGGGGGGCGCGCCCUAGGGGGGUGGGCGCGCCCCCACCCUUGUGGGCAGCCCGGGACUCCCCUGACAUGCACUCGAAGUCUAUUAGGUUGCUUUCCUUCCAAAAAUAACUUCUCCAGUUGAUUUCGUUCCGUUUUGACUCCGUCUGAUAUUCCUUUUCCUCGAAACACUAAUAGGCAUAAAACAACAAAUCUGGGUUGGGCCUCCGGUUUAUAGGUUAGUCCCAAAAAUAAUAUAAAAGUGGAUAAUAAAGCCCAAUAUUUCCCAAAACAGUACAUAAUAUAGCAUGGAGCAAUCAAAAAUUAUAGAUACAUUGGAGACGUAUCAAUAACCCUCAGGAACAACAUGCAAUUCAUAUUUAGGGGGAGAACCUUCAUCAUCGCUAUCAUCAAUAAUUUGAUCUUCAAUAAUUUCAUUCUCUCUAACCCUAGCAAGUUGUUCAUAAAGAUAUUCACCUAAUGGCACAGUAGUAUCAAGCAUAGAAGUAGUUUCAUCAUAAGUAUGAUGCAUAGCAGAAGUGGCAUCAUCAAUAACAUGCAAUAUCAGAACUCAUAGCAGUAGCAGGUUUAGGUGUCGCAAGCUUACUGAAAACGGAAGGAGAAUCUAGUGCAGAGCUAGAUGGCAGUUCCUUACCUCCCCUCGUAGUUGAGGGAAAAAUCUUAGUUCUUUCGUCUUUCAGGUUCCUCAUAGUGACCAGCAGAUAUAAAUCCCAAGUGACUCAAAGAAUAGAGCUAUGCUCCCCGGCAACGACGCAAGAAAAUAGUCUUGAUAACCCACAAGUAUAGGGGAUGGCAACAGUUUUCGAGGGUAGAGUAUUCAAUCCAAAUUUAUUGAUUCGACACAGGGGGAGCCAAAGAAUAUUCUCAAGUAUUAGCAGUUGAGUUGUAAAUUCAACCACACCUGGAUAAGUUAUUAUCUGCAGCAAAGUAUUUAGUAGCAAAGUAGUAUGAUAGUAAUGGUAACAGUGAUAAAAGUAACGAUGGCAGUUUUGUAGUGAUUGUAACAGCAGCAACGGAAAAGUAAAUAAGCAAAGCACAAUAUGUGGAAAGCCCGUAGGCAUUAGAUCAGUGAUGGAUAAUUAAGUCGGAUGCGGUUCAUCAGGUAAUAGUUAUAACAUAGGAUGACACAGAACUAGCUCCAGUUCAUCAAUGUAAUGUAGGCAUGUAUUCUGAAUAUAGUCAUACAUGCUUAUGGAAAAGAACUUGCAUGGCAUCUUUUGUCCUACCCUCCCGUGGCAGCGGGGUCCUAAUGGAAACUAAGGGAUAUUAAGGCCUCCUUUUAAUAUGGAACCAGACCAAAGCAUUAACACAUAGUGAAUACAUGAACUCCUCAAACUACGAUCAUCACCGAGAAGUAUCCCGAUUAUUGUCACUUCGGGGUUGUCGGAUCAUAACACAUACCAGGUGACUAUAGACCUGCAAGAUAGGAUCAAGAACUCACAUAUAUUCAUGAAAAUAUAAUAGGUUCAGAUCUGAAAUCAUGGCACUCAGGACCAAGUGACAAGCAUUAAGCAUAGCAAAGUCAUAGCAACAUCAAUCUCAGAACAUACUGGAUACUAGGGAUCAAACCCUAACAAAACUAACUUGAUUACAUGGUAAAUCUCAUCCAACCCAUCACCGUCCAGCAAGCCUACGAUGGAAUUACUCACGCACAGCGGUGAGCAUCAUGAAAUUGGUGAUGGAGGAUGGUUGAUGAUGACGACAGCGACGAAUCCCCCUCUCCAGAGCCCCGAACGGACUCCAGAUCAGCCCUCCCGAGAGAGAUUAGGGCUUGGCGGCAGCUCCGUGUCUUAAAACGCAAUGAAACUUCCUCUCUGAUUUUUUUCUCUGCGAAACGGAAUAUAUAAAGUUGGAGUUGAGGUCGGUGGAGCUCCAGGGGGUCCAUGAGACAGGGGGCGCGCCUAGGGGGAGGGGGCGUGCCCCCACCCUCGUGGACAGGGUGUGGGCCCCCUGGCCUUGAUUCUUUCGCCAGUAUUUUUUAUAUUUUCCAAAAGUUUUCUCCGUGGAUUUUCAGGUCAUUCUGAGAACUUUUGUUUUCUGCAUAAUAAACAACACCAUGGCAGUUCUGCUGGAAAUAGCAUCAGUCCGUGUUAGUUUCAUUCAAAUCAUGCAAGUUAGAGUCCAAAACAAGGGAAAAUUGUUUGGAAAAGUAGAUACGUUGGAGAUGUAUCAGUAUACAGGCAGAGCAUGUCCCUCGAGUGGAGAAUGACAUCGCCGACUACCAGUCGAAGCGCGCUGCCCUCAAGCUACCUGUGGAACCGGGUACUUUUGUGCUUCGGUUAACCCAAACAUCCAUUGAACCAUCAAGAGAGCAAAAGAAGUGAAGGAUGUCCGACCCCGGCAAGUACUUCCCCACCGAGCUCCCUGGAGCCGCCGGUGAAGAUGUUGCCAUGAACGCCGAGCGUUCCAUGGGGCAACUGACUCCGGCGAGGCGCCAAGCCCUUUCCGUGGAGGCAACCGUUCUCACGGCGGAGGAAAUGCCUUUGGUCCUUGCCGUCGAGCCACAGGCUCCAACAUGGGCGCAGCACACCGUCCGACUCCUCCGAAUAGGGGAGCUUCCUAAGGAGCAGGAAGAAGCAGAGGAAGUAGCCCGCCGGUCUGCUCUGUACUAUUUCGUUGACAACAUUCUGUACAGAAAAAGACCGAAUGGAAUGAAAUUGAAGUGCAUCUCCUGGGAGGAAGGACUGGAGCUGUUGGCAGAGAUACACGGAGGCAUAUGUGGCUCCCACAUAGGGUCUAGGGCCCUUGCCGGCAAGGCUUUCCGGCAAGGUUUCUUCUGGCCCACUUCCCUCCAGGAUGCGACGGCACUAAUAACCAAGUGUGAAGCAUGCCAGUUCCAUUCGAAGAAGCUUCACCAGCCCGCUCAAGCCUUGCAGACAAUCCCCCUCUCCUAGCCAUUCUCGGUCUGGGGGCUCGACAUACUGGGCCCUUUUCCCCACACCGUCGGGGGCUUUGAGUACUUGUACGUCGCAAUCAACAAGGUUACGAAGUGGCCAGAGGUGGAAGCAGUGAGGAAGGUGACCACACAGUCAGCCAUCAAAUUCAUUAAGGGGCUAGUCUGCCGCUUUGGCGUGUUGAACAAAGUCAUCACCGACAACGACACGCAGUUCACAAGCCACACCUUCAUGCAGUAUAUUGAAGACCUCAGCAACAAGGUCUGUUUUUCUUCCAUGGCACACCCAUGGAGCAACGACCAAGCGUAGAGGGCAAAUGCUGAAGUGUUGCAUGGCCUGAGGACGAAGACUUUUGACAGGCUGCACAAGAGCGGAAGGCGCUGGAUUGAUGAGUUGCCGGUGGUUCUUUGGUCGAUCAGAACGACGCCAAAUCGAGCCACUGGCCAGACACCUUUUGCCCUGGUAUACGGGGCGGAAGCAAUUCUCCCCAUGGAACUCAUAUACGGGUCACCUCGAGUGAUCGCUUAUGAUGAGCUUGAGCAAGAGCGAUUGCGGCAAGAUGACGCGAUGCUCCUCGAGGAAGAUCGUCUUCAGGCGGCUGUGAGAGCAGCACGCUAUCAGCAAGCCUUGCGCCGCUACCAUAGCCGCAAGGUUCAUGCCCGAAGCUUUGAGGCAGGUGGCCUUGUUCUUCGGCGCGUUCAGUCGGCCAAGAAUUCCAACAAGUUGACGCCAAAGUGGAAAGGCCCUUAUCGGGUAACACGAGUCACUAGGCCUGGCGCAGUCCGCCUGGAGACCGAAGAUGUCGUUCCAGUGAGCAACUCCCAGAACAUCGAGCAUCUUUGCAAGUUUUACACAUAAGGCGUGGCUGCCGGGCCCCCCGACAAGCCACCUUUUGUACAAGCCUUGCCGGCAAGUCACAUAACCCUUUGUACAAAGCCAGGCGCAGACCCUGAGCAUAAAUAAAUGAAGCGCUGGCGCCCUAAGUUAAAGCAUGCAUGCUAGGUUGAGUCUCUCCUUCGGUUAGGGUUGAUAGUGCUUAGCGGCGACUAACCCCUGGAAUAGAGGUCGAGUUUGCAUCUCUUUGUUCCUGCCCAUCCUCUUUGGUUCACAGGAUACAUAAAUGUUUCCGCCAAGCUAAGUGGAAAGAAGAGGACAAGCCGGCGGUCCAACCCCGGCAAGCCAAGCUUGCCGAGGGCUGAAGACACAAAGGUCCACCCACGGCAAGCUAGGGUUGCUAGGGGCUGCAGAUCCAGAUAAGAUUUCUUAUCCCCUGUUAUGCAUUUCCGUAUAAAGAUUGAAACGUAUGAAACCUUGUUUUAUUCCGAGACUGUCGUGCUCCCUUCAUUCCUACCACCCGAGAACUUCUUCCUGGUUCAGAAUCUGGUUGUAGCCACGACGACAAGGAAGCAAGCGUAAGGCCCACCCCUACUUCACCCAUGCCUCCGCCAAAGGCGUGAGUAUGGUCAAACGGAGUAGGGGAGUGGCAAUGCUUGCUGCCGGGUAAUACAUCUCCAACGUAUCUACUUUUCCAAACACGUCUGCCCUUGUUUUGGACUCUAACUUGCAUGAUUUGAAUGAAACUAACCCGGACUGACGUUGUUUUCAGCAGAACUGCCAUGAUGUUGUUUUAUGUGUAGAAAACAAAAGUUCUCGGAAUGUCCUGAAAAUCCACGGAGGCAAGUUUUGGAAAAUAUAAAAAAUACUGGCGAAAGAAUCAAGACCAGGGGGCCCACACCCUGUCCACGAGGGUGGGGGCGUGCCUACCCCCUGGGCGUGCCCCCUGACUCAUGGGCCCCCUGAGGCUCCGCCGACCUCAACUCCAACUCCAUAUAUUCCGUCUCAUGGAGAAAAAAAAUCAAAGAGUAAGUUUCAUCGUGUUUUACGAUACAGAGCCGCCGCCAAGCCCUAAUCUCUCUCGGGAGGGCUGAUCUGGAGUCCGUUCGGGGCUCCAGAGAGGGGGAUUCAUCGCCGUCAUCAUCAUCAACCAUCCUCCAUCACCAAUUUCAUGAUGCUCACCGCCGUGCGUGAGUAAUUUCAUUGUAGGCUUGCUGGACGGUGAUGGGUUGGAUGAGAUUUACCAUGUAAUCAAGUUAGUUUUGUUAGGGUUUUGUCCCUAGUAUCCACUAUGUUCUGAGACUGAUGUUGCUAUGACUUUGCUAUGCUUAAUGCUUGUCACUGGGGCCCGAGUGCCAUGAUUUCAGAUCUGAACCUAUUAUGUUUUCAUGAAUAUAUGUGUGUUCUUGAUCCUAUCUUGCAAGUCUAUAGUCACCUAUUAUGUGUUAUGAUCCGACAACCCCGAAGUGACAAUAAUCGGGAUACUUCUCGGUGAUGACCGUAGUUUGAGGAGUUCAUGUAUUCACUAUGUGUUAAUGCUUUGGUCUAGUUCUCUAUUAAAAGGAGCCCUUAAUAUCCCUUAGUUUCCACUAUGACCCCGCUGCCACAGGAGGGUAGGACAAAAGAUGUCAUGCAAGUUCUUUUCCAUAAGCACAUAUGACUAUAUACGGAAUACAUGCCUACAUUACAUUGAUGAAUUGGAGCUAGUUCUGUGUCACCCUAUGUUAUAGCUAUUACAUGAGGAAUCGCAUCCGACAUAAUUAUCCAUCACUGAUCCAAUGCCUACGAGCUUUUCACAUCUUGUGCUUCGCUUAUUUACUUUUCCGUUGCUACUUUACAAUUACUACAAAACUAUUAUCUUUACUUUUGCCACUGUAACCAUUACUAUCAUACUACUUUUCUACUAAAUACUUUGCGGCAGAUACUAAGUUAUCCAGGUGUGGUUGAAUUGACAACUCAACUGCUAAUACUCAAUAAUAUUCUUUGGCUCCCCUUGUGUCGAAUCAAUAAAUUUGGGUUGAAUACUCUACCCUCGAAAGCUGUUGCGAUCCCCUACACUUGUGGGUUAUCACCGAGCAAUGGUGUUUAUUGAAAAUAACAAGGAUUUGUUCCUUGGUAUAGGCUUUGCUUGCACACACAAGACCCGGCAAGCACCUUUUUUUCAUUAAUGUGUUCCAUACAGUUACAAUUCGUACGGAAUGUAAACAUGAACAGGGAGGUUACAAGUUUUAAAUCUAACUAAUGCUCGUAGGCUUACAAGCUAAAAAGAUAAGGUGCGCGUAAUCCCUUUCUUGUCCCUCUCCUCAGGAAAUGGAACAAGAAGGCAAAAGGGCAGAAGGAGCGCCUAAGUGAGGUACAAGCAGCAGAAGGCACCAAGAGAACAUAUCGGCGGCCGCCUAGGAGAGGGUUGGUGGUGGUGGUGCCGGAGGAAGGGCUGGAAGAUGAGGCAGCGGUCCGUCAAUAUGCUACGAAGGCAUCGGUGCCAUCGUACUCCGACUUGACGGACUGGCACCCGCCUUCUUCGCCUUCUCCGGCCUUCCCACGCCAGCCGCCCAAGGAGGAGACCCCGAGAAGUUCAAGGAGCCGGCUCCACCAGGAGAAGGAGCCCGGUGCAGAUGCUGGUGCUGCCGACACCGCCCCAGAGCAGUGGGUCCGACACCUAGUCAGACCCGUCAUCCUCUUGCCUGCUACCCUCGUCGUCGCUGCCGAUGUCCUCCUCGUCGCUCUUGCCUGAGGACGAGUCUUCGUCAUCCGAAGAGCUCUCCACGUAGCACUUCAGGCGAGUUCCGAAAUCGGCGAAGACCUUGAUGGAGAGGAGGCCAUUCUCCAUUAGCUUGAAGUAGAGAAUGAGCCCCGCCGUCAGGCUAUGGAUGCGAGCGAAGGUCUUCCAUCUGCUGUGAAGGUACAUGACGUGAGGGGCUGAGAAAUCAACAUUGGCCCAUGUGCCGCUGUUCCCGCAGCCCCGGAUGUGCAGCAUCAGCGCCUGCAGCGGGUCGAGCUCCAUCUCCCCAGCGAAUGGCGUCGGGAGACGAAGAAGACGGUGCGCUGGCUUGCGCAGCCUGAUGAAGAACUCACAGGGGUUGCCCCCGACAUGGCCCCCCAUUGGGGGAAGGACCACUGGCAGAGGCGAGGCCGAUGCGCCGCCCUGUCCUCCUCUUCCCUGAGCACCACGGCGGCCUCGGCCUCGCCCCCUUCCCCUUCCCCUCGCGGUUGGCUCCGCCGCCAUGGGCUCUUGGGAAGGAGCGACGCGUUGUCGAGCAGAGAACCUCGCCGCCACUGUCGAAGAGUCAGCAUGCCCUCUCACCAUGACAGAAUAGAGGAAGGAGCGAGGAUGGGAAGAGGAGGAUGGCGAAAGGCUGGGGGGUGCCGUCCCUCCCGCUCCCCUCCUUAUAAAGGGGCGCGGUCAGGGCUCGGCCGCCCUUCUCAGCCAAUCCAGCCCAUUAAGGUGACAGCAGGCAAGGUUUUCGACUGCCCUCCCCGCCCAAUUGAAGGCGCGUGGGUAUCGACCCACACGCGCAUGUCCUCCCAUAUUCUGCACAACUGUCACCUGCCUUGCACCAUGCAUGCGACGUACGUGGUGCAAGGGGCGGGCGCGUGGAGUGACGGUUCCCAGGCAUUGAGAGUAAAUGAGCAGUGGUUCCGCGGUCUCGAAGAGACGCGCAAGCCACCUCUUUACUAUUCACCACAAGAUGACGCAAGCAUGCUUGGAUCACCCCCGCGCGAUCCCCACGUCACGCGCUCGUCACGGGUCGUGGAAAAGCGCAGGAGGCGGAAAAAUCACCUUCAAUAAAAUCAAUCCCGUCUGCCCGCGCACCGUUUUGGGCCUGGCCCAACAACGUGUUGCGCUUAUGUGUGGCCCAGGCCCGGGGGCUCCUGUCGGUGUACUAAAGUAGGGGCACUCCUUUGUACCCCUUACUUGUGCACGGGCAGUCAGAGCCGUGCCCGCGGCCACACUUAAGCAGGGCAGAGACUGGAAGUCAAGGCCACAAGACGGUCAAAGCAAUGCCAAGACAGGGACACAAAGAGCAAGAGGGCGAGGUAGACUCCCCCGGCAAGACCCUUGCCGGGGAAGCCUCCACAGCCACGGCAAGAACCUUGCCGGGACAACUUACCCGAUGCUAGCGGAGCGCGCCACCCUAGAGCCCCAGUUUUUCCAACACCACCAACCACGUUGGUACCAAGGCUCGGGAGGCGCCUCCAUGAUGGCGUGCAGAUCUUUGUGAAGACAAGAAACACUCCAAAUCAUAAGAGAAUUAGAAGACGACAAACCUCGGUGAGAUCCUUGCCGAGGAAAUCCACAAGACCCCCUGGCAAGAUCCUUGCCGGGGACGACCGCGAACGUCACGACAAGACCCUUGCCGGCGCCCCCUUGCUGAGGACAUCCGCGGGGCCACAGCCAGGCCCACGCCCGCCAAGUUUCCACAGCCGCUCCUAUGCAGCUGCCAGCCCACCAGCUAGGCAGGAGCCUGCGUGUCGACGUGAGGCUUCCAGGCCAACUCAGCACAUGCCUACGUGGUGGCAUGCAAAUCUUCGUGAAGGCCCUACCACCGCGCCACCUCAGCAGCCUGCCAGCCUACAUGCCGCUGACCGCCUCGCUGGCCCAGGCGCGUCUCAAGGCAGGGCGAAGCGGCGGUAAAGUGAGGGGGACACCUAAGAGGCGCAUUAAAUGUGUCUUGUCCCGUAAUGGCAAGCGAUAUGUUUAGCCAUAGUACCCCGAUGCCACCUCCUGUGUGCCACUGUGGCGAUCCCCUUGAUUCGGACCCUGGGACAAGUUACACCCCUUGUAGCUAGCUCAAGAACUCCAAGAACACAGAUAUACACAUCAAAGCAGGACUAGGGUAUUACGCAUCCUUGCGGCGAACCUGGAUAAACGACCUGUGUGCUUGUGCUGACUGCUGAUCCCACUCUUCUCACGACCCCGCGCCCCGCAACCGUAUUAGGGAUUCUUGUGAUCCCAUAGGUGUCGUUUUCCACUGACACCUAUACUUGUGGGUUAUCAAGACGUUUUUCUGGCGCCGUUGCCGGGGAGUCAUAGCGUAGGGUGAAUAUCUCAUGUGUGCUUGUUUGCUUUAUCACUAAGUAAUUUUUAUAUGAUGUUCUUAGUUGCUCUAUCUUUAGUUAUGGAUAUGGAACAUGAAAUACCAAAAAAAUUAGGUGUACUUGCUACUCAUGGAGAUGGGGAACCUCCUAAAACCCUCGAUGCUGGUUAUGUGAAAAAUAUUAUGUACUACUUUGAUAAUCCUAAGAAAACCCCAUUCAAUUAUGUUAUGGGAGACACGUUGGAUCAAUGUGAAUACUUUAGGGAUUAUCGCUUGACACAAAAAGGGAAACUAUUAUGGGAUCAAAUUCAUAUGUUUCAUUGGUAUGCUCGCGAACUAUGCUUGAGAUAUGAUUAUACUUGUUGCUCUAGGAUGAAGGCUCCACACCUUCCCUUUUCAUGCAAAUUCAAUGAAAUAAAACCUUAGCUUCUUAUGCUAAUGGUAUAUAUGAUUACUAUGAUGUGGAACAAAUAGAAGAAUUUGUUGCUUUUAUGGGUGCUUAUGAGAUUGAAUCUUUGUUUAAAGAGUGUGAAAAUGUUGAUGAUGCUGUUUACAGACCUGAAAAUUUUGCUAUACUUAAAUAUUUCUAUGAUAAUUAUGAAUUCAAUUCCGAUAUUGAUGCAUUUAUUGAGGAAGUCUCCUCUGUCCAAGAAGAGACUAAUAUUUUGCAGGAGUCUAUGGAAGAAGGAAUUGAUGAAACUGUGAGCUCAUUGGAUGAAAAAGAUGAUGAGGAGAGCGAAGAACAAAAGGAGGAAGAGCGGAUUGGCUACCUGUGCCCACCUUCUAAUGAGAGUAACUCUUCAACUCAUACAUUGUUUAAUUCCCCUUCGUUCUUACCGAAGGAUGAUUGCUAUGAUAAUUGCUAUGAUCCCGUUGAUUCUCUUGAAAUAUCCUUUUUUGAUGAUGCUUGCUAUGCUUGUGGCCAAGAUGCCAAUAUGAAUUAUGCUUAUGGAGAUGAACUUGAUAUAGUUCCUUAUGUUAAACAUGAAAUUGUUGCUAUUGCACCCACGCAUGAUAGUCCUAUUAUCGUUUUGAAUUCUCCUAACUACACUAUAUCGGAGAAGUUUGUGCUUAUUAAGGAUUAUAUUGAUGGGUUGCGUUUUACUACUACACAUGAUGAUUUUGAUAGAUAUAAUAUGCAUGUGCUUGCUGCUCCUACUUGCAAUUAUUAUGAGAGAGGAACUAUAUCUCCACCUCUCUAUGUUUCCAAUAUGAUAAAAUUGCAAGAAACUGCUUAUACUAUGCAUUGGCCUUUACUAUCUGUGCAUGAAUUGUUCUUUUAUGACAUGCCGAUGCAUAGGAAGAGAGUUAGACUUCAUCAUUGCUCGAUAUAUGUUAAUUUGUGCUCACUACUAAAUUACAAAUCAUUGUUAAUUAAAAUUGGCUUUGAUAUACCUUUGGAUCCGGGUGGAUCCAUUACUUGAGCACUAUAUGCCUAGCUUAAUGGCUUUAAAGAAAGCGCUGCCAGGGAGACAACCCGGAAGUUUUAGAGAGACAAUUAUUUCUGUUGAGUUCUUUUAUAUAGUUAAAAACAAAAAAAUAAAGAGGGGAACCCAAAACUUUUCAAAAAGAAAAGCGAAAGUGAAAGAGACAAGCAUUGUUGAAGUGGGGGAGCUCUUUGAACUUUGUUCAUGCUCACGGAAACUUCGUGAAUCUUAAUUACAGAAACUUUUUAUAAAAAAUAAUUAUCGCCUUGUACAAUUCCAUUUUAUUAUAAAAAUAAUGUGCCAAGGUUUGCCUUUAGGAUGUUUACAAUGCUUGUUGUUUUGAACGGUGCAUGACAUAAACUUUGGCUGUAGUGCGCAAUUUUACAUUUUUUACUGGAACGUCAAAAGGUUCUGAAAUUUUUUUGCACCGUCUUUCUAUAAAAAUUGUUUAUUUUUCCUAAUUUUGGUAGAAUUUUUGGGGUACCAGAAGUAUGGUGAAUGUUCAGAUUGCUACAGAGUGUUCUGUUUUUUACAGAUUCUGUUUUUGAUGCAUAGUUUACUUGUUUUGAUGAAACUCUCAAUUCCUAUCAGUGGAUUAAGCCAUGGAGAAGUUAUAUUACAGUAGACACAAUGCAAAAAAAUAAUAUGAAUUGGUUUGCAACAGUACUUAGAGUAGUGAUUUGCUUUAUUAUACUAAUGGAUCUUACCGAGUUUUCUGUUGAAGUUUUGUGUGGAUGAAGUGUUUGAUCGAGGAGGUCUCGAUAUGAGGAAAAGGAAGAGAAGAAAGAACUCAAACUUGGGGAUGCCCAAGGCACCCCAAGUAAAUAUUCAAGGAGACUCAAGCGUCUAAGCUUGGGUAUUCCCCGGAAGGCAUCCCCUCUUUCUUCAACAAGUAUCGGUAUGUUUUAGGAUUCAUUUCGUUCAUGCGAUAUGUGCAAAUCUUGGAGCGCCUUUUGCAUUUAGUUUUCACUUUUAUUUUAUGUGUUGGAGAAUGUUGCAGAAAAUAAAAAAUUUCUACGCUUCACCAAGAUCAAUCUAUGGAGUCAUCUAGCAACGAGAGAGAGGAGUACAUCUACAUACCCUUGUAGAUCGCGAGCGGAAGCGUUCAAGAGACCGGGGUUGAGGGAGUCAUACUCGUCGUGAUCCAAAUCACCGGAGAUCCUAGCGCCGGACGGACGGCACCUCCGCGUUCAACACAUGUACGGUUGGGAAUACGUCUCCUCCUUCUUGAUCCAGCAAGGGGGAGGGAGAGGUUGAUGGAGAUCCAGCAGCACAAUGGCGUGGUGGUAGAAGUAGCGGUGAUCUCGGCAGGGCUUCGCCAAGCUCAGCGAGAGGGAGAGGUGGUGCGGAGGGAGAGGGAGGCACCAGGAGCAAGAGUGUGCAGCCCUCCCUCCCCCCUCUUUAUAUAGGGUCCCUGGGGGGGUGCCGCCCCCCUACAGAUUGGAUCUCAAGGGGGGGGCGAAGGGGUGGCUUGCCCCCCAAGCCAAGUGGGGCGCCCCCCACCACUAGGGUUUCCAACCCUAGGCGCAGGGGGAGGCCCAAGGGGGGCGCACCAGCCCACCAGGGGCUGGUUCCCUUCCCCACUUCAGACCAUGGGGCCCUCCAGGAUAGGUGGCCCCACCCGGUGGACCCCGGGACCCUUCCGGUGGUCCCGGUACAAUACCAGUGACCCCCGAAACUUUCCCGAUGGCCAAAACUGGACUUUCUAUAUACAAUUCUUUACCUCUGGACCAUUCCGGAACUCCUCAUGACGUCCGAGAUCUCAUCCGGGACUCCGAACAACUUUCGGGUUACCGCAUACUAAUAUCUCUACAACCCUAGCGUCACCGAACCUUAAGUGUGUGGAUCCUAUGGGUUCGGGAGACAUGCAGACAUGACUGAGAUGACUCUCCGGUAAAUAACCAAAAGCGGGAUCUGGAUACCCAUGUUGGCUCCCACAUGCUCCUCGAUGAUCUCAUCAGAUGAACCAUGAUGUCGAGGAUUCAAGUAAUCCUGUAUACAAUUCCCUUUGUCAAUCGGUACGUUACUUGCCCGAGAUUCGAUCGUCAGUAUCCCAAUACCUCGUUCAAUUUCGUUACCGGCAAGUCAAUUUACACGUACCGUAAUGCAUGAUCCCGUGACCAAACACUUGGUCACAUUGAGCUCAUUAUGAUGAUGCAUUACCGAGUGGGCCCAGAGAUACCUCUCCGUCAUACGGAGUGACAAAUCCCAGUCUUGAUCCGUGUCAACCCAACAGAUACUUUCGGGGAUACCUGUAGUAUACCUUUAUAGUCACCCAGUUACGUUAUGACGUUUCGUACACCCAAAGAACUCCUACGGUAUCCGGGAUUUACACGAUCUCAUGGUCUAAGGAAAUGAUACUUGACAUUGGAAAAGCUCUAGCAAACGAACUACACGAUCUUGUGCUAUGCUUAGGAUUGGGUCUUGUCCAUCACAUCAUUCUCCUAAUGAUGUGAUCCCUUUAUCAACGACAUCCAACGUCCAUAGUCAGGAAACCAUGACUAUCUUUUGAUCAACGAGCUAGUCAACUAGAGGCUUACUAGGGACAUGUUGUGCACUAUUUAUUCACACAUGUAUUACAAUUUCCGGAUAACACAAUUAUAGCAUGAAAAAUAGACAAUUAUCAUGAACAAGGAAAUAUAAUAAUAAUCAUUUUAUUAUUGCCUCUAGGGCAUAUUUCCAACAGUCUCCCACUUGCACUAGAGUAAAUAAUCUAGUUACAUUGUGAUGAAUCGAACACCCAUAGAGUUCUGGCGUUGAUCAUGUUUUGCUCGCGGAAGAGGUUUAGUCAACGGAUCUGCGACAUUCAGAUCCGUAUGCACUUUGCAAAUAUCUAUGUCUCCAUCUUGAAAUUUUUCAUGAAUGGAGUUGAAGCGACGCUUGAUGUGCCUGGUCUUCUUGUGAAACCUGCGCUCCUUGGCAAGGGCAAUAGCUCCAGUGUUGUCACAGAAGAAGGGGAUUGGCCCCGAUGCAUUGGGUAUGACUCCUAGGUCGGUAAUGAACUCCGUCAUCCAGAUUGCUUCAUGCGCUGCCUCCGAGGCUGCCAUGUACUCUGCUUCACAUGUAGAUCCCGCCAUGACGCUCUGCUUGCAACUGCACCAGCUUACUGCCCCUCCAUUCAAAAUAUACAUGUAUCCGGUUUGUGACUUAGAGUCAUCCAGAUCUGUGUUGAAGCUAGCGUCGAUGUAACCCUUUACGACGAGCCCUUCGUCACCUCCAUAAACGAGAAACAUAUCCUUAGUCCUUUUCAGGUACUUCAAGAUAUUCUUGACCGCUGUCCAGUGUUCCAUGCCGGGAUUACUUUGGUACCUUCCUACCAAACUUACGGCAAGGUUUACAUCAGGUCUGGUACACAGCAUGGCAUACAUGAUAGACCCUAUGGCUGAGGCAUAGGGGACGAUACUCAUCUUUUCUCUAUCUUCUGUCGUGGUCGGACAUUGAGCCGAGCUCAAUUUCACAACUUGCAACACAGCCAAGAACCCCUUCUUGGACUGAUCCAUAUUGAACUUCUUCAAUAUCUUAUCAAGGUAUGUGCUUUGUGAAAGACCUAUGAGGCGUCUCGAUCUAUCUCUAUAGAUCUUGAUGCCUAAUAUGUAAGCAGCUUCUCCAAGGUCCUUCAUUGAAAAACACUUAUUCAAGUAGGCCUUAAUGUUGUCCAAAAGUUCUACAUCAUUUCCCAUCAAAAGUAUGUCAUCCACAUAUAAUAUGAGAAAUGCUACAGAGCUCCCACUCACUUUCCUAUAAACGCAGGCUUCUCCAUAAGUCUGCAUAAACCCAAACACUUUGAUCAUCUCAUCAAAGUGAAUGUUCCAACUCCGAGAUGCUUGCACCAGCCCAUAAAUGGAUCGUUGGAGCUUGCAUACCUUGUUAGCAUUCUCAGGAUCGACAAAACCUUCCGGCUGCAUCAUAUACAGUUCUUCCUUAAGAUAGCCGUUAAGGAAUGCCGUUUUGACGUCCAUUUGCCAUAUCUCAUAAUCAUAGUAUGCGGCAAUUGCUAACAUGAUUCGGGAGGACUUCAGCUUCGCUACGGGAGAGAAAGUCUCAUCGUAGUCAACCCCUUGAAAUUGCCGAUAACCCUUAGUGACAAGUCGAGCUUUAUAGAUGGUAACAUUACCAUCUGCGUCCGUCUUCUUCUUAAAGAUCCAUUUAUUUUCUAUCGCUCGCCGAUCAUCGGGCAAGUCUAUCAAAGUCCAUACUUUGUUUUCAUACAUGGAUCCUAUCUCGGAUUGCAUGGCUUCAAGCCAUUUGUUGGAAUUUGGGCCCGCCAUCACUUCUUCAUAGUUCGAAGGUUCACCGUUGUCUAACAACAUGAUUUCCAGGACAGGGUUGCCAUACCACUCUGGUGUGGAACGUGUCCUUGUGGACCUACGAAGUUCAGUAGCAACUUGAUCCAAAGUACCUUGAUCAUCAUCAUUAAUUUCCUCUCCAGUCGGUGUAGGCACCACAGGAACAUUUUCCUGAGCUGCACUACUUUUCGGUUCAAGAGGUAGUACUUCAUCGAGUUCUACUUUCCUCCCACUUACUUCUUUCGAGAGAAACUCUUUCUCCAGAAAGGACCCAUUCUUGGCAACAAAGAUCUUGCCUUCGGAUCUAAGGUAGAAGGUAUACCCAAUGGUUUCCUUAGGGUGUCCUAUGAAGACGCAUUUUUCCGACUUGGGUUCGAGCUUUUCAGGUUAAAGUUUCUUGACAUAAGCAUCGCAUCCCCAAACUUUUAGAAACGACAGCUUAGGUUUCUUCCCAAACCAUAAUUCAUACGGUGUCGUCUCAACGGAUUUAGACGGUGCCCUAUUUAAAGUGAAUGUAGCUGUCUCUAGAGCGUAUCCCCAAAAUGAUAGCGGUAAAUCGGUGAGUGACAUCAUAGAUCGCACCAUAUCCAAUAGAGUGCGAUUACGACGUUCGGACACACUGUUACGCUGAGGUGUUCCAGGCGGCGUGAGUUGUGAAACAAUUCCACAUUUCCUUAAGUGCGUACCAAAUUCGUGACUUAAAUAUUCUCCUCCACGAUUUGAUUGUAAGAACUUUAUUUUUCGGUCACGUUGAUUCUCUACCUCAUUCUGAAAUUCCUUGAACUUUUCAAAAGUCUCAGACUUGUGUUUCAUCAAGUAGACAUACCCAUAUCUACUUAAGUCAUCAGUGAGAGUGAGAACAUAACGAUAGCCACCGCGAGCCUCAACGCUCAUUGGACCGCACACAUCAGUAUGUAUAAGUUCCAAUAAGUUGGUUGCUCGCUCCAUUGUUUCGGAGAACGGAGUCUUGGUCAUUUUACCCAUGAGGCAUGGUUCGCACGUGUCAAAUGAUUCGAAAUCAAGAGACUCCAAAAGUCCAUCUGUAUGGAGCUUCUUCAUGUGUUUGACGCCAAUGUGACCAAGGCGCAGUGCCACAUAUAUGUGGGAUUAUCAUUAUCAAUCUUACAUCUUUUGGUAUUCACACUAUGAAUAUGUGUAACAUCACGUUUGAGAUUCAUUAAGAAUAAACCAUUGACCAGCGGGGCAUGACCAUAAAACAUAUCUCUCAUAUAAAUAGAACAACCAUUAUUCUCGGAUUUAAAUGAGUAGCCAUCUCGUAUUAAACGAGAUCCAGUUACAAUGUUCAUUCUCAGAUCUGGCACUAAAUAACAAUUAUUGAGGUUUAAAACUAAUCCCGUAGGUAAAUGUAGAGGUAGCGUGCCGACGGCGAUCAUAUCGAGCUUGGAACCAUUCCCGACGCGCAUCAUCACCUCGUCCUUCGCCAGUCUCCGCUUAUUCCGUAACUCCUGCUUUGAGUUACAAAUAUGAGCAACUGCACCGGUAUCAAAUACCUAGGAGCUACUACGAGUACUGGUAAGGUACACAUCAAUUACAUGUAUAUCACAUAUACCUUUAGUGUUGCCGGCCUUCUUGUCCGCUAAUUAUUUGGGGCAGUUCCACUUCCAGUGUCCCUUUCCCUUGCAAUAAAAGCACUCAGUCUCAGGUUUGGGUCCAUUCUUUGGCUUCUUCCCGGCAACUGGUUUACCGGGCGCGGCAACUCCCUUGUCGUCCUUCUUGAAGUUCUUCUUACCCUUGCCUUUCUUGAAACUAGUGGUUUUAUUGACCAUCAAAACUUGAUGCUCCUUUUUGAUUUCUACCUCCGCUGAUUUCAGCAUUGAAAAUACUUCAGGAAUAGUUUUCACCAUCCCCUGCAUAUUGUAGUUCAUCACAAAGCUCUUGUAGCUAGGUGGGAGCGACUGAAGGAUUCUGUCAAUGACCGCCUCGUCCGGGAGGUUAAUGUCCAGCUGGGACAAGCGGUUGUGCAACCCAGACAUUUUGAGUAUGUGCUCACUCAUAGAACUAUUUUCCUCCAUCUUACAACUAUAGAACUUGUCGGAGACUUCAUAUCUCUCGACCUGGGCAUGAGCUUGGAAAACCAUUUUCAGCUCUUCGAACAUCUCAUAUGCUCCGUGUUGCUCAAAACGCUUUUGGAGCCCCGGUUCUAAGUUGUAAAGCAUGCCGCACUGAAUGAGGGAGUAAUCAUCAGCAUGUGACUGCCAAGCGUUCAUAACGUCUUGGUUCUCUAGGAUGGGUGCUUCACCUAGCGGUCCUUCUAGGACAUAUGCUUUCUUGGCAGCUAUGAGGAUGAUCCUCAGGUUCCGGACCCAGUCCGAAUAGUUGCUGCCAUCAUCUUUCAGCUUGGUUUUCUCUAGGAGCGCGUUGAAGUUGAGGUUGACAUGAGCGUUGGCCAUUUGACCUACAAGACAUUUUUGCAAAGGUUUUUAGACUAAGUUCAUGAUAAUUAAGUUUAUCUAAUCAAAUUAUUUAAUGAACUCCCACUCAGAUUAGACAUCCCUCUAGUCAUCUAAGUGAUAGAUGAUCCGAGUCAACUAGGCUGUGUUGGAUCAUCACCUGACGGACUAGUCAUCAUCGCUGAACAUCUUCAUGUUGAUCGUAUCUUCCAUAUGACUCAUGUUCGACCUUUCGGUAUCUUGUGUUCCGAGGCCAUGUCUGUACAUGCUAGGCUCGUCAAGUUAACCUAAGUGUUUUGCAUGUGUAAAUCUGUCUUACACCCGUUGUAUGUGGACGUUGGAAUCUAUCACACCCGAUCAUCACGUGGUGCUUCGAAACAACGAACUUUCGCAACGGUGCACAGUUAGGGGGAACACUUUCUUGAAAUUAUUAUGAGGGAUCAUCUUAUUUACUACCGUCGUUCUAAGCAAAUAAGAUGGAAAAACAUGAUAAACAUCACAUGCAAUCAAAUAGUGACAUGAUAUGGCCAAUAUCAUAUAGCUCCUUUGAUCUCCAUCUUCGGGGCGCCAUGAUCAUCUUCGUCACCGGCAUGACACCAUGAUCUCCAUCAUCAUGAUCUCCAUCAUCGUGUCUCCAUGAAGUUGCUCGCCAACUAUUACUUCUACUACUAUGGCUAACUGUUUAGCAAUAAAGUAAAGUAAUUACAUGGCGUUUAAUCAUUGACACGCAGGUCAUACAAUUAUUAAGACAACUCCUAUGGCUCCUGCGGGUUGUCAUACUCAUCGACAUGCAAGUCAUGAUUCCUAUUACAAGAACAUGAUCUCAUACAUCACAUAUAUAUCAUUCAUCACAACUUUUGGCCAUAUCACAUCACAAGGCAUAUGCUGCAAAAACAAGUUAGACGUCCUCUAAUUGUUGUUGCAUGUUUUUACGUGGCUGCAAUAGGGUUCUAGCAAGAACAUUUCUUACCAACGUGAAAGCCACAACGUGAUAUGACAACUUCUAUUUACCCUUCAUAAGGACCCUUUUCAUCGAAUCCGAUCCGACUAAAGUGGGAGAAAAAGACACCCGCUAGCCACCUUAUGCAACUAGUGCAUGUCAGUCGGUGGAACCUGUCUCACGUAAGCGUACGUGUAAGGUCGGUCCGGGCCACUUCAUCCCACGAUGCCGUCGAAACAAGAUAAGACUAGUAGUGGCAAGAAAAUUGAAAACAUCUACGCCCACAACAAAUUUGUGUUCUACUCGUGCAAAGAAACUACGCAUAGACCUAGCUCAUGAUGCCACUGUUGGGGAACGUUGCAGAAAAUAAAAAAAUUCUAGGCUUCACCAAGAUAAAUCUAUGGAGUCAUCUAGCAACGAGAGAGAGGAGUACAUCUACAUACCCUUGUAGAUUGCGAGCGGAAGCGUUUAGGAGAACGGGGUUGAGGGAGUCGUACUCGUCGUGAUCCAAAUCACCGGAGAUCCUAGCGCCGAACGGACGACACCUCCGCGUUCAACACACGUACGGUUGGGAAGACGUCUCCUCCUUCUUGAUCUAGCAAUGGGGAGGGAGAGGUUGAUGGAGAUCCAGCAGCACAAUGGCGUGGUGGUGGAAGUAGCGGUGAACUCGGCAGGGCUUCACCAAGCUUAGCGAGAGGGAGAGGUGGUGCGGAGGGAGAGGGAGGAUCCAGGAGCAGGGGCGCGUAGCCCUCCCUCCCCCCUCUUUAUAUAGGGGCCCUGGAGGGGCGCCGGCCCCCUAGAGAUUGGAUCUCAAGGGGGGCGGCGGCCAAGGGGUGGCUUGCCCCCCAAGCCAGGUGGGGCACCCCCCACCCCUAGGGUUUCCAACCCUAGGCGCAGGGGGAGGCCCAAGGGGGGCACACCAGCCCACCAGGGGCUGGUUCCCUUCCCCACUUCAGCCCAUGGGGCCCUCCGGGAUAGGUGGCCCCACCCAGUAGACCCCCGGGACCCUUCCGGUGGUCCCGGUACAAUACCGGUGACCCCCAAAACUUUCCCGAUGGCCGAAACUGGACUUCCUAUAUACAAUUCUUUACCUCCGGACCAUUCCGGAACUCCUCGUGAUGUCCGGGAUCUCAUUCGGGACUCCGAACAACUGUCGGGUUACCGCAUACUAAUAUCUCUACAACCCUAGCGUCACUGAACAUUAAGUGUGUAGACCCUACGGGUUCGGGAGAGAUGCAGACAUGACCGAGACGACUCUCUGGUCAAUAACCAACAGCGGGAUCUGGAUACCCAUGUUGGCUCCCACAUGCUCCUCGAUGAUCUCAUCGGAUGAACCACGAUGUCGAGGAUUCAAGUAAUCCCGUAUACAAUUCGCUUUGUCAAUCGCUACAUUACUUGCCCGAGAUUCGAUCGUCGGUAUCCCAAUACCUCGUUCAAUCUCGUUACCGUAAAGUCACUUUACUCGUACCGUAAUGCAUGAUCCCGUGACCAAACACUUGGUCACAUUGAGAUCAUUAUGAUGAUGCAUUACCGAGUGGGCCCAGAGAUACCUCUCCGUCAUAUGGAGUGACAAAUCCCAGUCUCGAUCCGUGUCAACCCAACAGAUACUUUCGGGGAUACCUGUAGUAUACCUUUAUAGUCACCCAGUUACGUUGUGAUGUUUGGUACACCCAAAGCACUCCUAUUCGGGAGUUACACGAUCUCAUGGUCUAAGGAAAUGAUACUUGACAUUGGAAAAGCUCUAGCAAACGAACUACACGAUCUUGUGCUAUGCUUAGGAUUGGGUCUUGUCCAUCACAUCAUUCUCCUAAUGAUGUGAUCCCGUUAUCAACGACAUCCAAUGACCAUAGUCAGGAAACCAUGACUAUCUGUUGAUCAACGAGCUAGUCAACUAGAGGCUUACUAGGGACAUGUUGUGGUCUAUUUAUUCACACAUGUAUUACGAUUUCCGGAUAACACAAUUAUAGCAUGAAUAAUAGACAAUUAUCAUGAACAAGGAAAUAUAAUAAUAAUCAUUUUAUUAUUGCCUCUAGGGCAUAUUUCCAACAUUAUGCACCAUGCUGGUAUGAGAUAGUACUUGGUUGAUUUAUAGAAUGCUCAUUGCACUUCACUUAUAUCUUUUGACUGUGGCUUUAUAGAAUGCUUCACGUGCUUCACUUAUAUCAUUUGAAGUCUGGAUUGCCUGCUUCUCUUCACAUAGAAAACCGCCAUUUGUAGAAUGCUCUUUUGCUUCACUUAUACUUGUUAGAGCGUGAGCAUAUCUUUUGUAGAAAGAAUUAAACUCUCUUGCUUCACUUAUAUCCAUUUAGAGAGAUGACAGGAAUUGGUCAUUCACAUGGUUAGUCAUAAAAUCCUACAUAAAACUUGUAGAUCACUGAAUAUGAUAGGUCUGAUUCCUUGCAAUAGUUUUGCGAUAUAAAGGUGGUGAUAUUAGAGUCAUGCUAGUGAGUAGUUGUGGAUUAGCAGAAAUACUUGUGUUGAGGUUUGUGAUUCCCGAAGCAUGCACGUAUGGUGAACCAUUAUGUGAUGAAGUCAGAGCAUGAUUUAUUUAUUGAUUGUCUUCCUUAUGAGUGGCGGUCGGGGACAAGCGAUGGACUUUUCCUACCAAUCUAUCCCCCUAGGAGCAUGCACGUAGUACUUUGUUUCGAUGACUAAUAGAUUUUUGCAAUAAGUAUGUGAGUUCUUUAUGACUAAUGUUGAGUCCAUGGAUUAUACGCACUCUCACCCUUCCAUCAUUGCUAGCCUCUUCGGUACCGUGCAUUGCCCUUUCUCACCUCGAGAGUUGGUGCAAAAUUCGCCGGUGCAUACAAACCCCGUGAUAUAUACGCUCUAUCACACAUAAGCAUCCUUGUAUCUUCCUCAAAACAGCCACCAUACCUACCUAUCAUGGCAUUUCCAUAGCCAUUCCGAGAUAUAUUGCCAUGCAACUUCCAUCAUCAUCAUAUACAUGACUUGAGCAUUCAUUGUCAUAUUGCUUUGCAUGAUCGUAAGUUAGGUAGCAUGAUGUUUUCAUGGCUUGUCCGUUUUUUGAUGUUAUUGCUAUGCUAGAUCAUUGCACAUCCCGGUACACCGCCGGAGGCAUUCAUAUAGAGUCAUAUCUUUGUUCUAGUAUCGAGUUGUAAUAUUGAGUUCUAAGUAAAUAAAAGUGUGAUGAUCAUCAUUAUUAGAGCAUUGCUCCAGUGAGGAAAGGAUGAUGGAGGCUAUGAUUCCCCCACAAGUCGGGAUGAGACUCCGGACUUAGUGAAAAAAAGAAAGGCCAAAGAAGCCAAAUAAAAAGGGGGGCCAAAGAAGCCCACAAAAAAUAAAAAAAAUAAAAAAAUGAGAGAAAAAGAGAGAAGGGGCAAUGUUACUAUCCUUUGACCACACUUGUGCUUCAAAGUAGCACCAUGUUCGUCAUAUAGAGAGUCUCUUGACUUAUCACUUUUAUAUACUAGUGGGAAUUUUCAUUAUAGAACUUGGCUUGUAUAUUCCGAUGAUGGACUUCCUCAAAUGCCCGAGGUCUUCAUGAGUAAGCAAGUUGGAUGCACACCCACUUAUGUCGGUGUACUAGAGUAGGGGUACCCUAUUACCCCGAACUCGUGCACGGACAGUUGCAGCGCCCCGCGGCAAGGCUUGCCGGGUGACCGCCAGGACCUUCCGUGGUUCCCUUGAAGACCAUUCAAGAACAAAGUAAUCAAACCAAGGCCCCGGCAAGAGGAGCUUGCCGGGAAGGCCAACUAGGGCGCCGGCAAGAGGAGUUUGCCGGGAAGGCCAACCAAGGCCCCGGCAAGAGGAGCUUGCCGGGAAGAGACAAGACCCCGACAAGAGGAGCUUGCCGGGAAGGCCAUUCAAGGCAAGCCAAGAAAGCUUGCCGCGACGCGCCCUGCGUCCCGGCAAGAUCCGGCGAGCGACAAGCUUUCGGACGCGACAAGACGACGGCCGCGGCAAGGAGCUCGCCGCGGGAAACCCCCACUUCAUGCCCGCGCUCCAGCACACCUGCUAACGUGUCGCUCUGGGACUCUCCCAAGCACACGUGGCAGGAGGCCGUGCAGCUAGGGGUACGUGGUGGCAAGCAGAGAUGAAGAGAAGCCCAUCGUGGCGAACGGUGGCGCUCCUAACAGUCACCUUUUGCACUAUUUAGGAGACUCAGACAGGCAUUUAAUGCCCUUGUCCCCUGCCGUCAGAGUUAGAUAGGGCGCACUGUAUCCACAGUAGGCGGUAGCUGCACCUACCGCAUCCUUUUCCAUUUUUACCCUUCUUGUCUACGUUGCCCCCUGUCGGUGACCCCUUGAGAGUAUAAAAGGAGGCCCAAGCGCAACGUAGAAAGGGUCCCGGAGGUUCGGCCAGUUCGGCUCAUUCAACACCAGGAACGCUCUCACGCUCAGUCUGGCAGCGUCCAUCGCUCCUGAGCAAGAAUCCAAUAUACACAAACAAGCAGCAGUAGGGUUUUACGCAUCCGUGCGGCCCGAAGCUGGGUAAAAUCGCCCGCGUGCACUGCCUCGAUCCGCUCUUUGUGCGCUCUCCGCCCCCCACCGAACCGAAAGGGGCCCUGUCCCCAUAGGUGUUGGUGGAAUCAGCAUCGCCCCCGACAUCUCUGGCGCGCCAGGUAGGGGGCGUCGAGAUCGUGCGAACCCGGUCCGGCAUGCACGCAAGCUAAAUCUUCAUCGUCUUCAUAGACAUGCCCCCGAAGAAGAAGAAUUCGGAGGCAGCUGUUCCGUCCGCGUCGCUUCCAGCGCCUCCGGAGCAAACGGGUGGUGGAGUGGACGCCGGCGGAGGAAUGGGCGUCGACGAGGGUGCCCACAGCGCUGCCAAGUCCAAGGACAAGGCGGCACAGACCUCGGCGUCCAUGCGCGCACCGCGUCCCUCUCAAGAGGCGCGGGACCAGCAGCGUCAUAGCGUUCGCAGCACCAUACGUCCGCUGACCCAAGAUCAAGCUGGUGGUUCGCGUGGCGUUCAAGACCAGCAUGCACGCCAGCAUGCUGGCCCCAGCGAGGUACGGUCGCCGGGACGGGACGCUGCUCCUUCUAACUUGGUUAGGAGUCUGAGCACGCCCCUCUCCUCGCACCGUUCACCUCUGCCGCCCACCACCCCAGCAGAAGCCUCAGCGCAGGCCCAGCUGCUCCUGGACUAUCCUCCGACGGCGGACAAGACCGACGAAUGGAGGGCCACUAUCCAGAGUCUCAUCGGCUUCGCCAACGGCGACACCGCGCAGCGACAAAGUACCUCGCUGUCGCGGCAGGACAGCCGGACGCGAGCCGAUGGCAACAAGACUGAGGGAGGUGCGACUUCCAUGCACUCUCCACUACGAAGGCCAAAAUCGCCGACUCGCCGGGUCCACCCCAACAGCGGCUCCACCGUGUCGUCGGACCCACGAGCUCGUCGCGACCAGCGCCAAGUUCUCCAUGAACGACAAAAAGAAGACGCUUGAACCCGCAUUGAGCGCCGAAGAGAAGCGCGACGUCAAUCCGACAAGCGCGCUGGGCUCUCUAUUGACAUGCAUGCGCCAGGGGAACCAGGCGAUCUGCCGUACGCGGUAGGUUGUCCUGCGUUCACACGUGAGCUGCGGCAAGUCCAGUGGCCCAGCACAAAGAAUUUCAAGCCAGACGUGCCGGAGAAGUACGACGGCAAGACGCAUCCGUCGGAGUUCCUCAGCAUCUACACCAUUGCAGUGCAGUCUGCCGGGGGACGAGAUGACAAGAUCCUUGCCAACUACUUCCCGCUGGUGCUCAAGCCCAAUGUCAGAUCCUGGCUCAUGCACUUGCCGGACAACUCCAUAUCUUCCUGGGUUGAUCUGUGCCAUCAGUUUGUCGGCGCCUUUACAGGCGGCCACAAGCCACAUGGCCAAGAGACCGAUCUUCAUCUGCUCGCCCAGAAGGAAGGAGAGCCACUGCGCAAGUACAUUCAGAGAUUCAGCCGCGUACAGCACAACAUCCCAGACGUCCACCCCGCCGCGAUCAUCAGCGCGUUCCAUCAGAACGUGCGAAACCGAAGGAUGAGGGAGGAGAUGGCGAUGUGUAAGAUCAGAGACGUCAGCGAGCUUUACGCCCUGGCUGACAAGUGUGCACGCGCUGAAGAGGGGAGGAGGCUCCCCGGAGAGAGUACAGGAGCAGGAGGAUCUGACAGUGAGGAUGCCGCCCCGGCAAGGAAAGGUCGGCGGCGGAACAACAGAGGGAAUAAGGGUAAGGAAGUGCUAGCUGUCGAGCAGACCGGCAACAGAGGUGGCGCCAAGGAAGCUAAGGCUGGUGGCUCCAACAAGGAGGCCCAUCCUGUGGCGGCCGCCGACAAGCAGGACAGCUCCGGCAGGCAGUAUUGCAAGAUUCACCGCACCAAGGGUCACGAUCUCCAGAACUGCAAAAAGGUCGAACAGCUUGCUGAGCAGCAGAAGGAUGAAUACGAGCGACGCGACAAAGAGAAGGCCCAGGAAAGAACUGGUGAAUCCGGCAAGAAACGCCCCGGCCGGGGAGGACGCCGCGGCAAGGCCAAGCAGCGGCAAGGAGAUAGACCUCCCCGCGGCCGCGACAAGGAUGAAGAUGACGACGAUGACGAAGACGUGGAUGAUGAUGAGGCCGAUGAGCAGGAAUUUCAGAAAGCCACAGAGGUCCUGUGCAUUGACGGUGGCGCCUCUCUGCAUACUUCGCACCGCUAGCUCAAACAGUGGAUGCGGGAAGUGAAUGCAGCAGAGCCAUCCAUAGAGUCACGCAAGCCCCUGAAAUGGUCCAGCACGCCUAUCAUCUUCGACAUUGGGGAUCACCCUGAUCACGUAACUACGGUCGGGUGCUUGCCGAUGUUGGUCUCACCAACUAUCCGCAACCUCAAGGUCACAAAGAUGCUAGUUGACGGCGGGGCCGGCUUGAAUCUCAUCUCCUCCGCGGUCCUUCACAAACUUCAGAUCCCUGACAGCGAGCUCGAAGAGACCGGCACAUUCCAAGGAAUCAACCCGGGAAGGAGCAAGCCGAAAGGGAAGAUCACGCUGCCGGUCACAUUUGGCAGCAAGCUGAAUUUCAGAACUGAGAGGGUCACAUUUGACGUUGCCGAUUUUCCAUUGCCCUACAAUGGGAUCCUUGGCCGUCCAGCGCUCGCCAAGUUUAUGGCAACCUCUCACUAUGCAUACAACGUGCUCAAAAUGCCAGGCCCGAUAAGUGUCAUCUCUGUCCCCGGCGACAAGAAGGAUGCCCUUAUCUGCGCCGACAAGAUCUACCGGGAAGCAGCAGCCGCAGCCGAUCACCACACGCUUGCCACUGAAGCUCCCGAGGGGAAGAAGAAGGCCAAGUCCGGCAAGAGCUCUGAUGCCCACUCCGGCAAGCGCACCUCUUCGGAGUGCUGCGCUACCGUCGAGGACGCACCAUCGAGCUCCACCGGCAAGUGCAAGAAGACGAUGGCAGCUCCAACCGAGACCAAGAAGGUGUCCGCCAAGGAGGACGGCACUGGUGGUACCUUCACCAUCGGUGCCACGCUCGACCCCAAAUAGGAAAGCGUGCUCGUUGCUUUCCUGCGGGCGAAUGUCGACGUGUUUGCAUGGCAACCGUCUGAUAUCCCCGGUGUUCCCAGGAAAGUAAUCGAGCACCACCUUGCUGUCUGUCCUCAUGCGCGGCCCGUCAAGCAGAGAGUCAGGAAGCAAGCGGUGGAGCGCCAAGAGUUCAUUGCAGAAGAAAUCAGGAAAUUGGAAGCAGCAGGCCUUGUUAGAGGAGUGCUCCAUCCCACGUGGUUGGCCAAUCCUGUAGUCGUGCGCAAGGCGAACGAGAAAUGGAGGCUUUGUAUAGAAUUCACUGAUGUCAAUAAAGCUUGUCCCAAAGAUCCAUUUCCCUUGCCGCGCAUUGACCAGAUUGUUGACUCCACAGCUGGAUGUGAUUUGCUUUCAUUUCUUGAUGCAUAUUCAGGAUACCAUCAAAUCUUCAUGGCAGAAGAGGAUGAGGAGAAAACCGCAUUUAUCACCCCUUGUGGCACAUACUGUUUUGUACGGAUGCCCUUUGGGUUGAAGAAUGCUGGUUCAACAUUUGCAAGAGUAGUCCAUGUCGCUUUUGAGCCACAUAUACACAGAAAUGUGGAAGCCUACAUGGAUGAUAUAGUGGUCAAGAGCAAGGACAAGGCUACCCUGAUCCAAGAUUUAGAAGAAACUUUUGCAAAUCUGCGCAAGAUCAACCUUAAGCUCAACCCCGAGAAGUGCGUGUUUGAAGUCCCUUCCGGCAAGCUUCUCGGGUUCUUUGUGUCUCAGCGGGGAAUUGAAGCCAACCCCGACAAGAUUAAGGCCAUCGAGCAGAUUGAAGCACCGAAGCGCGUCAAGGAUGUGCGAAGACUUGCCGGUUGCGUGGCUGCUCUCAGCAGGUUUAUCUCUAAGUCUACUGAGCGCGCCCUGCCGUUUUUCAAAAUAUUGAAAAAGGCAGGUCCAAUGAAAUGGACUCCGGAAGCGGAGGCUGCGCUGCAGGACUUGAAGAGGUACCUGUCCUCCACUCCAAUACUUGUCGCACCUAGGCCACAAGAGAAGUUGCUGCUGUACCUAGCAGCAACCAAUCAAGUGGUUAGUGCUGCGUUAGUAGCGGAGAGGGAGGCGGACGAUGAGCCAGCAACCGCGGCAAGUGAAUCCAGCGACAAGCAGGGGGCUUCUCCGACAAGCUCUGGUCCGGCAAGCUCUGGUCCCAACAAAGAUGGAUCUGCGCAGAUAUGCAAGGACGUGUAGAAGAAGAUGGUGCAGCGCCCAGUUUACUUUGUCAGCUCCCUUCUCCAGGGGGCUAGGUCGAGGUACUCUGGUGUACAAAAGUUGCUUUUCGGCCUUCUCAUGGCCUUGAGAAAGCUGCGCCAUUACUUCCAGGCACACGAGAUCACAGUUGUCACUCGCUUUCCGCUGAAGAGGAUACUGCAGAAUCCAGAAGCAACAGGCAGGAUUGUCGAGUGGGCAUUGGAACUGUCAAGUUUUGGCCUCAAGUUUGAGAGCACUUCAACUAUCCAAAGCAGGGCAUUGGCAGAGUUCAUAGCAGAGUGGACGCCAACUCCAGAUGAAGAAAUUCCGGAGACGAGCACCCCCGUCAAGGAGACAAGCAAAGAGUGGCAGAUGUACUUUGAUGGUGCCUUCUCGCUACAAGGCGCCGGUGCUGGCGUGCUGCUUAUCACACCCACCGGAGAGCACCUCAAGUACGUAGUCCAGAUGCACUUUCCCAAAGAGCAAGCAACCAACAAUACUGCAGAGUAUGAAGGGUUGCUUGCCAGUCUCAGAAUAGUAGCCGACCUUGGGAUCAAGAAGCUCAUUAUCAGGGGUGACUCGCAGCUUGUCGUCUGCCAAGUGAACAAGAACUACCAGAGCCCGUUGAUGGAAGCAUAUGUUGAUGAAGUGAGGAAGCUAGAAGAGCGCUUUGACGGCCUACAAAUGGAGCAUAUCCCAAGAACUCAGAAUGACAUUGCUGAUGGCCUGUCAAAAUGCGCUGCACUAAAGUUACCUGUGGAACCAGGGAUCUUUGUGCUCAAGCUGACUCAACCUUCCGUGACACCAUCAACUGGACAGAAUAAGAAGAGGAAGUUGGUUUCUGGUGGCUACUUUCCGGCAGAGCUCCCCGAAGCCGCCGCCAAGAAAGUCCCCAAGAUCAACACCAAGGAUGCUGAGGGGCAGUCUGCUCUGGCAAACCUUAUGGUUUGUUCCGUCGAAGCAAACGCUCCCGACAAGUUCUGCUCCGGCAAGCUUGCCGGGGAAUAUCACGCUCCGGCAGAGCCGCAGGAUCUUGCCGUAGAAGCGGAUGUUCCCGCAGCAACAGAUAUGCCUUUAGUCCUUGUUGUCGAGCCGCAAGCUCCAGCAUGGGCGCAGCAGAUCGUCCGUUUCCUUCAGACAGGAGAGCUUCCCAAAGAGCAAGAAGAAGAUGAAAAAGUAGCCCGGCAGUCAAGUAUGUACAAGUUUGUCGACAGCACACUGUACAGAAUAAGACUCAACGGUGUGAAAUUGAAGUGCAUUCGCCGGGAAGAUGGACAACAGCUGUUGGCAGAGAUACAUGGAGGCAUAUGUGGUCACCACAUUGGCGCAAGAGCACUUGUCGGCAAAGCAUUCCGACAAGGCUUCUUCUGGCCGACAGCCCUCCAGGAUGCAACUGCACAAGUAACCAAGUGUGAAGUGUGCCAGUUCCAUUCCAAACAGAUACACCAGCCAGCUCAAGCUCUCCAGACGAUCCCUUUAUCCUGGCCAUUUUCGGUCUGGGGGCUCGACAUCCUCGGCCCCUUCCCCCGAGCUGUCGGGGGCUUUGAGUUCUUGUAUGUUGCAAUCGACAAGUUCACAAAGUGGUCGGAAGUGGAACCAGUGAGGAAGGUGACAGCACAGUCAGCAGUCAAGUUCUUCAGGUCGAUUGUUUGCCGUUUCAGGAUCCCUAACAGGAUCAUCACCGACAACGGCACACAGUUUACGAGCCGCACCUUCAUGCAGUACGUCCAAGAUCUUGGCGCCAAGGUCUGCUUCGCUUCUGUUGCUCAUCCGAGAAGCAACGGUCAAGCAGAGAGGGCAAACGCUGAAGUGCUGCGAGGCCUCAAGACCAGAACUUUCGACAGGCUGCACAAGUGCGGAAGAAACUGGAUCGAGGAGCUGCCGGUGGUUCUUUGGUCGAUCAGGACGACGCCAAAUCGAGCCACUGGCCAGACACCCUUCGCUCUAGUCUAUGGAGCGGAGGCAGUUCUCCCCACGGAACUCGUAUACGGGUCACCUCGAGUGCUCGCUUAUGAUGAGCUCGACAAGAGCAGCUGCGGCAAGAUGACGCGCUGCUCCUUGAGGAAGACCGUCUCCAGGCCGCUGUGCGAGCCGCUCGCUACCAGCAAGCUCUGCGCCGCUACCAUAGCCGCAGAGUCAACGCCAGGAGUCUCGAGGAAGGCGACCUUGCUCUUCGGCGCGUUCAGUCGGCCAAGAAUUCCAACAAGUUGACGCCAAAGUGGGAAGGCCCUUAUCGGGUGAAACGAGUCACUAGGCCUGGCGCUGUCCGCCUUGAGAUCGAAGAUGGCAUUCCGGUGAGCAACUCCUGGAACAUCGAGCAUCUUCGUAAGUUUUACCCGUAAGGCGCGGUUGUCGGACCCUGUCCGGCAACCACCUUUCUGUACAAGUCUUGCCGAUGUUGCAUGUAAUCAUUUGUACAGAGCCGGGCGCAGACCCCGUGCACUAGUAAAGUUCAUGUGCCCCGCACACCUUGUCAGUUUCCUUAUGCUAUGAUCCUUUUUCACAUAUAUUAUCUAACACUUUGUGCAGCACCAGACCCCGGUAAGCGAUAACGAGCCCAAGGCUCCAUAUCAUUGCUUUAUUUCUCUGUCUCUUUCUCAAAAGAAGGAAGGUUCCCUCGCCCACAAGGUUUACAGGGGAGGGGAAGGAGAAGAUAAUGGUGUGGACCAGGCCGUUCAAAAAAAAAGUUUCUCCUUGCCGGGAAGCAGACGACAGAAAAGCUAAGUUGCUAAAGCUUGGGCAAUCAGUUUUUUAAGUUUUCGAGUUAUUUUCCUUGAACGACCGUGCUUUGUAUGGAAAACCUGUGCGCGGAGGAACCAAUCCGCAGCGAGCUGCGCCCUUACUUUGUUUCGAGUCCGCUCAACAACUUAAGUGAGCUGCUAGCGCCCUUACUUUGCUUCGAGUCCGCUCAGCAACUUAAGUGAGCCGCCAGCGCCCUUACUUUGUUUUGAGUCCGCUCAACAACUUAAGUGAGCUGCAACUAGUUGCGGCAAGGUUGCUUGUCGGUAGCGACCCCGCCAGCAGGCUGCUGAAGUUCCGCACUCGGCGCUCGCGGCAAGGGUGCCUGCACCGGCAAGUUUCCCUAGAAAGCGUAGGGCAGGACCAUACAAAGCCAAGAGUCGAGUAAAUGAAGUAACACAGCUAUUUAUUGCCUAAGAUAGAGUUAUAUUACAAAAAUAACUUGUCGCGCCUCUAAUAAAGUGUCCCCAUGGCAUGACUGGCAGCGACAAGAAAAGAAGAAAAUGGACGGCCUAAUCUACGCGACCGCCGUCAACCCUUUUGACCUCGUUCACCCUGUCCACAAUGGGUGCGACGAGGGCCUUAAGUGCGUCAAGAUCAACAUCCGCCGGCAGCUUCUUGAGGACGUUGGUGAGGUUGAGGCCCGGAUUGCGGAAGGCCACCUUUACCAGCACCUCCUCCAGAACUCCGGCACAAAUCGAGCGUGACUCGUCGGCCAACUGCUUUGGGAUCCGUUCCCGGAGUUGCUGGAGCGCUGCCGCCACGCCUUUGAAGAACAGAGUGAGCUUGGCGCUGGGUUGGAGGUUCUCGUCGGAGGAGUACCCGAAGCCUUCCACCCUCAAUUGCACCAGCUCCUCUUCGAUGGCUGCAGCAAUGUCCACGAGGCCCUCCGUCCAGAGCUCCACAGUAUCUCUGAGAAGAUUCUGGGUUUCGGCGGCCCUCGCCAGCAGCGCCUCGUUGGCCUCGAUGUCCUUCUUCAGGUCUGCCUCCCGUUUCCUGGCGCUGUCCAACGUCUCCGUCAAGGUGGCCAGCUUCAGCGUCAGAUCGGCGUUGGAAUCCUUGGCGGCGCUCAAUUCCUUGCCCCUCUCGGCGAGUCGGCCCUGCAGCUCACCGUGGGCAAGGGCGUCCUUCUCGUGCUCUAGCUUGAGGGUGGCAAGCUCUUCGCCACCAACCUUCAGAUCAGUUUCUAGCUGUGCCACCUUUGCCUCCAAUUCUUUCUUGGCGGCCCCGGCAGCUGCAGCCGUAUCCUUUGCCUCUUGGAGCGUCCCGCCAAGUGCCCGUUCGCGCGCGGCAAGCUCCUCUUCGUGGCUGUCAAGGUUCACUUUCCGCUGAGUCAGCUCGCCUUCUCGCGCGUACAGCCUCUCGCUAGUGAGCCGCUGCUGCUCUUCAGCUUCGGCCUUCUCGAGGAGGAAGGCCUUCCGUUCCUCGGCAAGCUGCUCCCGCUCCUCCGCCAAGGCGCGGAGAGUUUCUUGGCGAAGACCCCGGAGCUCCUCCGCACGCUUCUCUAUGUCCACACUCUCCCUCGCGGCAAGCGCUUCCCGGGACUCCAACUUGACUUGACGGGCGCGGUAGAGCGCCAGCAGCCUCUGCAGCAGCCGCUCCUCCUCGGGCUCUUCACUGCUGCUUCCCGGCGCGUCGACGAUCGACAAUCCGGCGGAGGCAAGCACCUCCCCAUCCAGAGCUUCUCCUUCCAUCGGCGCCCUGGAGCUCGAUGCCCAGGGGAGCUUGAUGAAGAUGCCCUCGCCAGCCUUCAGAUAGGCGCCGGGCUGGGGCUCCUCGGAGCCUGACGCUGCGGCAGCGGCGGAGGGAUCGGCGGUUGGUGCAGCGCCUGGCGCUCCUGCGGCCUCAGGGUCGUCAGUGCGAUCGCCAGAUCCCCCGCCAGCUUCCUCGGCGGCAGCCUUGGCGGCCUCUUCACCGGCGGGCACGUCAGCGCCGGCUCCUUCUUCGGUGGCCGCGGCAUCAUCAGUAUUGCCGCGCGCGCCCUCCUCGCCACCCGCCUUGGUCUCCAUCGGAUCUAUGGAGGGUGGGUCUGACGAUCAAAGAAGAAGGAGAAAUCAAACAAGUAUCCGAGAAGAAAAAUCAGCAGAAGACUACAAGGAAAGUUUCAGGCAAGAAGGACUACCUGUGCGGGGAUCUGCUGUCAUGACCUCCACCACCGGGGGAUUGUUGGCGCUGUCCCUUGCCAGAGACUCCCCCCUUGCCGGAGACUCCUCCCUUGCCGGAGAACGCUCCCUUGCCGGGGAGUCCGCCCUUGGCGGCGUAGUCGAAGCAGACGACGAGUCAGAAGAGAUCACCAUGCCCUCCUGAUGAAGUUGUUCUGCUCCUGCACAAACAAAACAGAGAUCGGAUGUCAACAAGGGAAAAGAGCAACCACGCGCACCCAGAAGCAGAAAGUAAACCAUAUGCUUACGUUGGGGGCUGCGCUGGGGGCUGCUCUGCGAAGUGAUGGCCGGGUCCGGCAAGGUAGUCUCGGGCGCGCCUCCUGUCGUCGCAGUGGGCUCGUCCUCGAUGACCACCACCUGAGCCUUGGCCCUCUUCGCCGCCCUCUGGGCCAGAGUCCCGAAAAGGAGAGCCUAGGGUGAAUCAGAUUCGAUGCAAGACAAGAUCAACAAGUUGAAGAACUACAAGAACAAGCAAGGGAAUCUUACUCUUCUUCCUCUUCCUCGUCGGAGCUGAGCGCGGAGAGGUCGAAGUUCGGCCCACUUCCGGCACGACGAGGUGGAGGGGUGGGAUCCCUUGGCCGCUUGGUGGGGGCUGCGGCGCCAACCCGAGAUGACCCCGCCCCAGUUACCACUGCGGCGGGAGGCGCACCCGCGGCAACCGUACUUGCCGCGACGGAGCGCGUCACGCGGCGCUGCGGCUGUUGACCAUCUUGCCGCCCUGUUACGUCGUCGCCCCUGCGGACGCGCCUUCUUGGUUGCGCUGGGGGCUGCGUUCCGGGCCCUGUUCCCGGCAAGCUCCCUGGAGAUGGCGGGCCGCUCGUACCCUCGGCGAACUCACUCAACUCGGCGUCGGGCGCGGCAGGCUCUUCUUCCUCUUCGGGCUGCUCCCGUUCGGCAAUACUCAUCGCCAACGCCGUGUCCGCUUCCUCCAUGGUGAAUCCGAAUUCACCCGCGGCCGCGGCUGCUGCCGCCUCUUUCGCCCUGGUGGCGAUGCGCUCCAUCUCUUGAUCGGUGGUGUCGCAGAUGAGGAGUUUCUUCUCGUCAGCAUUGACCGCCACCUCCACUAGGCUGUCGAAGAACUGCUGCACGACGUCGCCGGCGGGCUCCUGCCAAGUUGGAGCGAUCCCGUGCGAGUCGCACAACGGCAUCAUUGCGCAGAUGCGGUCGCGCGAGGAGUUGUUGCACAGAGGAACGACGCCUGCCGGCAACCUGAACCACUCAGGAUGCUGUGGGCCAUGUUUGAAUAUCUCCUUGAGCAUCCCGUCCAACUCUGUGACAGUGAAAUUGAAAUUGAGGCCUGGGCGCAACCUCAUGAUAUCUGCCGGGCCUCCAAAUUCCCAGGCAGGUCUCCCCCUCGCCUGCAGAGGGGCGAUGCGCCGGCGAAGAAAGGAUAUCCGCCAACUGGAGCUGCUUGCGAGGCGACGGCGGAGAGUACCUUUGUGCGCAGAUGCGCCCGCGUCUCCGUCGACCAGAAGAGAUAGUACCACUCCCUCAGCUCCUCCACGGAGAGCUCGGGGGGGGGGAGUGGCCCGCUCCUUCCGCAGCGCCUCAAGCCGCUACGCUUCGGUCGACUUCACAGCUUUCGCGGUCGCGGCCUUCGUGGCCUUCCCCUUCCCGGGCUUCGGAGGCAUGGCGGAGGCGGUGGGGGAGAUCGAUGGCGCUGGUGGUGGCGGCGGCGACGGGAGCGGAGCGCUGCUCUCUUUCGACUUUGAAAGCGGAAGAGGGCGGCGGAGGUUUCUGAGAUUGCAACAGCAGUUGACGAAGAUGGAGGAAAUGCCCCUGUUUCCCCUGCUUAUAAAGAGGGACGGGGCGGACGUUUCGGCUUAGCCCCACACACGCCACCCACGAUCUCACCCACGACGCCGCGUUUGACGCGUGCCGUUCUGGGCGUGCGCGGUGGGAGCGGAGUUAGAUCCGGCGUGACCUAGGCCGCGCGUGCCCGUGCACUGUUUUGGGCCUGGCCCAACAGCGCUCGGCACCGUGUAUGGCCCAGGCCCGGGGGCUCCUGUCGGUGUACUAGAGUAGGGGUACCCUAUUACCCCGAACUCGUGCACGGACAGUUGCAGCGCCCCGCGGCAAGGCUUGCCGGGUGACCGCCAGGACCUUCCAUGGUUCCCUUGAAGCCCAUUCAAGAACAAAGUAAUCAAACCAAGGCCCCGGCAAGAGGAGCUUGCCGGGAAGGCCAACUAGGGCCCCGGCAAGAGGAGCUUGCCGGGAAGGCCAACCAAGGCCCCAGAAAGAGGAGCUUGCCGGGAAGAGACAAGACCCCGGCAAGAGGAGCUUGCCGGGAAGGCCAUUCAAGGCAAGCCAAGAAAGCUUGCCGCGACGCGCCCUGCGUCCCGGCAAGAUCCGGCGAGCGACAAGAUUCCGGACACGACAAGACGACGGCCGCGGCAAGGAGCUCGCCGCGGGAAACCCCCACUUCGUGCCCGCGCUCCAGCACACCUGCUAACGUGUCGCUCUGGGACUCUCCCAAGCACACGUGGCAGGAGGCCGUGCAGCUAGGGGUACGUGGUGGCAAGCAGAGAUGAAGAGAAGCCCAUCGUGGCGAACGGUGGCGCUCCUAACAGUCACCUUUUGCACUGUUUAGGAGACUCAGACAGGCAUUUAAUGCCCUUGUCCCCUGCCGUCAGAGUUAGGUAGGGCGCACUGUAUCCACAGUAGGCGGUAGCUGCACCUACCACAUCCUUUUCCAUUUUUACCCUUCUUGUCUAUGUUGCCCCCUGUCGGUGACCCCUUGAGAGUAUAAAAGGAGGCCCAAGCGCAACGUAGAAAGGGUCCCGGAGGUUCGGCCAGUUCGGCUCAUUCAACACCAGGAACGCUCUCACGCUCAGUCUGGCAGCGUCCAUCGCUCCUGAGCAAGAAUCCAAUAUACACAAACAAGCAGCAGUAGGAUUUUACGCAUCCGUGCGGCCCGAAGCUGGGUAAAAUCGCCCGCGUGCACUGCCUCGAUCCGCUCUUUGUGCGCUCUCCGCCCCCCACCGAACCGAAAGGGGCCCUGUCCCCAUAGGUGUUGGUGGAAUCAGCAUCGCCCCCGACAACUUAGUUUCAGUUUGAGCUUUCAUACACUUAUAGCUCUAGUGCAUCCGUUGCAUGGCAAUCCCUACUCCUCGCAUUGACAUCAAUUAAUGGGCAUCUCCAUAGCCCGUUGAUUAGCCGCGUUGAUGUGAUACUUUCUCCCUUUUUGUCUUCUCCACACAACCUCCACCAUCAUAUUCUAUUACACCUAUCGUGCUAUGUCCAUGGCUCACGCUCAUGUAUUGCGUGAAAGUUGAAAAAGUUUGAGAACGUCAAAAGUAUGAAACAAUUGCUUGGCUUGUCAUCGGGGUUGUGCAUGAUUUGAAUAUUUUGUGUGGUGAAGAUGGAGCAUAGCCAGACUAUAUAAUUUUGUAGGGAUAACUUUCUUUGGCCAUGUUGUUUUGAAAAGACAUGAUUGCUUUAUUAGUACGCUUGAAGUAUUAUCGUUUUAUGUCAAAUGUUAGACUAUUGCUUUGAAUCGCUCGUAUCUUAAUAUUCAUGCCAUGAUUAGAUAUAUGAUCAAGAUUAUGCUAGGUAGCAUUCCACAUCAAAAAAUUUCUUUUCUAUCAUUUACCUACUCGAGGACGAGCAUGAAUUAAGCUUGGGGAUGCUGAUAUGUCUCCAUCGUAUCUAUAAUUUUUGAUUGUUCCAUGUCAAUAUUCUACAACUUUCAUAUACUUUUGGCAACUUUUUAUAUUAUUUUUGGGACUAACAUAUUGAUCCAGUGCCCAGUGUCAGUUCCUGUUUGUUGCAUGUUUUAUGUUUCGCAGAAAACCCAUAUCAAACGGAGUCCAAACUGGAUAAAAACGGACAGAGAAUAUUUUUUGGAAUAUUUAUGAUUUUUGGGAAGAAGAACCAACGCGAGACAAUGCCCGAGGGGGCCACGAGGCAGGGGGCGCGCCCCUGACCCUCGUGGGCACCCCAUAUGGCGGUUACUGCUCUUCUUUGGCCGCAAGAAAGCUAAUUUUCGAAGAAAAAUCUUGGCGAAGGUUUCAAUCCAAUCGGAGUUACGGAUGUCCGGAUAUAAAAAAACAGUUAAAGGGCAGAGUCUGGGAAGGCAAAAACAAAGAGAGAGGCAGAGAGACAGAUCCAAUCUCGGAGGGGAUUUCGCCCCUCCCAAGCCAUGGAGGCCAUUGACCAGAGGGAAACUCUUCUCCCAUCUAGGGAGAAGGUCAAGGAAGAAGAAGAAGAAGGGGGGCUCUCUCCCCUUGCUUCUGGUGGCGCCGGAACGCCGCCGGAGCCAUCAUCAUCACCGUGAUCUACACCAACAACUUCACCGCCUUCAUCACCAACUCUUCCCCCCUCUAUGCAGCGGUGUAACCUCUCUUUUACGCGUUGUAAUCUCUACUUAAACAUGGUGUUCAACGCUAUAUAUUAUUUCCCAAUGAUGUAUGUCUAUCUUAUGAUGUUUGAGUAGAUCCGUUUUGUCCUAUGGAUUUAUUGAUGAUUGUGAUUGGUUUGAGUUGCAUGUUUUAUUAUUGGUGUUGUCCUAUGGUGCUCUCCGUGUCACGCAAGCGUGAGGGAUUCCCGUUGUAGGGUGUUGCAAUAUGUUCAGGAUUCGCUUAUAGUGGGUUGCUUGAGUGAAAGAAGCAUAAACCCGAGUAAGGGGGUUGUGGCGUAUGGAAUAAAGGAGACUUGAUGCUUUAAUGCUAUGGUUGGGUUUUACCUUAAUGAUCUUUAGUAGUUGCGGAUGCUUGCUAGAGUUCCAAUCAUAAGUGCAUAUGAUCCAAGAAGAGAAAGUAUGUUAGCUUAUGCCUCUCCCUCAAAUAAAAUUGCAAUAGUGAUUACCGGUUUAGUUAUCGAUUGCCUAGGGACAAAUAACUUUCUCUUCACAAAAAACUCUCUAUUAAAACUAACUUAGUUGUGUCUUCAUCUAAACAGCCCCUACUUUUUAUUUACGUGUUCUUUAUUAUCUUGCAACCUAUCCUAUUACACCUACAAAGUCCUUCUAGUUUCAUACUUGUUUUAGGUAAAGCGAACGUUAAGCGUGCGUAGAGUUGUAUAGGUGGUCGAUAGAACUUGAGGGAAUAUUUAUUCUACCUUUAGCUCCUCGUUGGGUUCGACACUCUUACUUAUCGAAAGAGGCUACAAUAGAUCCCCUACACUUGUGGGUUAUUAGCCGCCUUAAUGUCGGGCGGGCAAGGGCAUUGAUCGGUUGGCCGGGGCAGUGUUGGAUCAGGCUACGUGAUUGCUAGACAAGCUGCUAGCUCAUGGGUUUGCAUCUGUGUUUUUUUUUCAUGCGUCAGGCGGGCAUGUACAAUGGUGCUAUCUUAGGAGUGCCACAUAGGAUAAAUGAUGAGGUAGAUGAGAGAGAACUCAUAAGAAAAAACUUGUCCUCUCUUAUUUAAGAGAAGACAAGAGAUGAUCUCUUAGCACAAUAUGUCUCACCAUAUUUUUAGGAAGGAUUAGUUAUUGAAGAUAAGGCUAAGAGAUGACUCAUUGUAGACAUUUUUUUUGUCAUUUCUAAAUUACAUGCAAGAUUUAAGAUAAAACUAUCUUAUCAACCGUUGUGCAUGCCCUUAGGCAAGAGGCGGCCGCAUCGGCUUGGUCCGUCGGCUCGGCUGUACGUGUCUGGCGACGUUGCCUAUGGGCGUGUGUAUACGUUUCAUUCGUAGAUCAUGUUUCGGGAGGAGGAAAAAGAGACGUACACCUUAGGACUGGUUGGACCAUCUUGUUACGGUGGCGCAUACGAACAGUUUUCCUCCUGUCCCUGGCGGCUGGAACCCUGGCCGCCGCCAGGAGAGCCUACUCUUCCAGCGCCGUCCUCCGGCGGCUCCCCUCCGCCGGCGACCUCGGUCGUUGAUGGUGAGGGGGGUCACCGGAUCCACGCGUGUGGAUCAUUUUUUCUCCCUCGUAGUCUAGAUUUUUAGGCUGUUCAUCGUCUUCGUUUCGGCGACGACGAUGAUAGCGCUGAAUAAAUAUUCUUCGGAUCCUUCCUUGACAAGGUCAUCGGUCCUAUGGUUGGGGAUGAUUUGGAAACCAGUCUGUUCAUGCAAGGAUGGCGUGGUGGCGGCGGCAUCCUCGUGGUGGACCUGUGUCCUCGGGCUCCGCUAUUGCGACGGCGUUUGCUCCAGCGUCGGCGCGGAGCUUGGGAGGUAGUCCACGAGCGGAUGCAGAUUGUGGUCUGCAUCGACGACAUCUGAAAGACGGAACAUGUGCUGGGUUCGUGGUUCGUGGAUGGCAAGUAUGGUUUCCUUCUGCGACGUCUUAAUCACGAUGGGAUGCUAGAUCUGGAGCUCGAUGGCGUGUCCGGGGUGUUGCCCCGGUCUGAUUCGCUCAAAGGUAAGGGCUUCACUUUUGGUGAGCCACCUUGGAGGUCCGCAAAGGUGCAUAUCAGCGAUGGAGCCGCGUCGAGCUCGGGUGAGGAGGUGAUCCAUCAUUCUUUUCUUCGGUGGCUGCUGUCGUGGUGUCGGAGGCAGGUGAUGAGCAUUGGUUUCAAGCUCAUAGAUGUUCUACUAUCUUUUCAGUUUUGUCAUGUCGGUCCUUACGCGACUUGUACUUUAGUUUUUAUGAUAUGAAUAAGACACGUAUUACCAUGAAAAAAAACUUAAGACCGGCCGAUUAUAUGCUUCUUUAUUGGACAAUUAUGGAUGGAUUUCUAGCUAAUCAAGAAGCAUUAUGGGAAGAUUCGAGGAAGCUGUACGUGGGGACUGGGGUUAUGUUUAGGUCACGUGGGAUGGAUCUCAACCAAUCCUCAUAAUUAGAGAGAUCUGAAUCGUAAUAUUUCUGACCUUAAAAACCAGGGUCUACUUCUUUUAUCUGAUUAUAAGAUUGAAUCAAAACUUUCUCUGAUUAGAUCUCAAGCAUAAUUAGAGAUAUCUGAAUCGUAAUAUUUCUAACCUUAAAAAUCAGGGUCUACUUCUUUUAUCUGAUUAUAAGAUUGACUCCGAUUAGAUCUCAACCAUUAUAAUUCUAGGUUAGAUCUAAAUCAUUAAAAUCAGACCCACCAAAUCAAUGGCCUUUAUUUUCUAAUAUUCUCUCAUUAACAUGAGAAUUUCAACGUUAGAUUUUUAUAAUUCGGACCCACCAAAUCAAUGGCCUCUAUUUUCAGAUUUUCUGUAAUUAACGUGAGAUUUUUUAGGAAGUGCCUAAUUAAGGCAGAAGAUCAUGGCGUGGAUUGCGGGCGGCGAUGACGUGAACGGAGGCCAGAUCAUGGCGUGAUUGCGGACGGCGACGACGUGCAUGGAUGCCAGAUUGCGGACGGCGAUAAGUCUUAACUUCCUUUUAUAAUUUUAGGCACACAUUUGGAACUUUCUUAACAUUGAAGAUGAUGACAAGUCUAUAUAAAGCUACGUACUGCAAUAGCUGAUGGCACUCACUUGUGUUGCACCCAUCAUAUCAUCUGAUGACGAUUAUCUCGUCAUUUGCUGAUCUUUUCACACUCCUCGCCAUCCUCAUCUGCCUCCUCCAUCGUUGUGGCGCCAACUACGAAGUCGAGUCGGUCGCCGGGUCAGGGAAUGUGCUGUCAGCCAAGCUGAAACUUGUAGGCGGGACGGCGGAGUUCGGGCCUGAUGUCAAGCGGCUCAAUCUGACUGCAAGGUAAGCGUGUUUGAUCUUGAGUUGGGUUUUUUCUUUCAAAAGAGGUACAAAUUCCUCACUGUUUUAGUUUUGACGGUAGCCUAGAGACGGACAACCGGCUCCACGUGCACAUUACCGAUGCCGACCAUUCGCGAUGGGAGGUCCCCCAGGACGUUAUCCCGCGCCCAGCGCUGGCGCCGGAGGAUGUAUUGCUACAUUCCUCGGGCUUGAGCAAUGCUUCCUUACCCGGCAACAGCACCAUGUCCAGCGCGUCUUCAGACCUGACCUUCACCAUCCACACCGCCCCGUUCCGCUUCACCAUCUCCCGCCGCUCCACCGGCGACGUCCUCUUCGACACCUCCGCCACACUCGUCUUCAAGAACCGGUAUGUAAUACAUGAUAGUACAAGACACCCGGCGUAGCUAGUUGAUCCGUAAGUAGCCAAGUACUGAUGGGCAUGUUGAACUAACUAUAAUGCAGGUACUUGGAGGUGACGUCGGCGCUGCCAGCCAGGGGGGCAUCUUUGUACGGACUGGGCGAGCGGACAAAACGGAGAUUCCGGCUCCAACAGAACGACACGUUCACGAUCUGGAACGAGGACGUCGGGAGGGCCGACAUACUGGACAUCAACCUCUACAGCUCACACCCAUUCUACAUGGAUGUGCGACCCGGCGGCGCUGCGCACGGCGUUGUGCUCCUCAACACCAACGGGAUGGACAUAAAGUAUGGCGGGUCCUACAUCACCUACAAGGUGAUCGGCGGUGUGCUCGACUUCUACUUCUUCGCCGGGCCCUCCCCGCUCGCCGUCGUCGACCAGUACACCCAGCUCAUCGGCCGCCCUGCCCCCAUGCCAUACUGGUCAUUUGGUACGUGUACUCAACCGUCUUGCUAGUUCCGUGCAUGCUUAUAUAAUUUUGUUGUACUCACCUGUGGUUUGAAUUUCGGCCGAAAGGAACGGAUUUCGGCCAUCUCGGCCUGAGGAGAAAAAUAUCUUCCAACGAAAAAAUAGAUUUUGGUCAAAUUUCGGCCAAAUUUUUUAAAAAUGGCCGAAAUUCGGCCACCUCGGCCUCGGGCGAAAAUUUUCACGAAUGAAAAUCAAAACCUUGGUACUCACCUGAUCCGCUAUUUCUUGCAAUGCAGGGUUCCACCAGUGCAGGUAUGGCUACAAGAAUGUGGCUGACCUGGAGGGCGUAGUCGCGGGCUAUGCCAAGGCCAAGAUUCCAUUAGAGUCGAUUUGGUCGGACAUCGACUACAUGGACGGCGGCCAGGAUUUCACGCUGGAUCCGAUCAACUUCCCAGCCAAUUUGCUCCGGCCGUUUGUGGACCGGCUGCACAAUAACAGCCAGAAAUACGUGGUCAUCAUAGACCCGGCGAUCAAAAAAGAAGCAGCACCUCCGCAAAAUGAGUCCGUGGGUCUGUUCCUCCAGCGAAAUGGCACCAACUAUGUCGGCCGGGUGUGGCCAGGCGAGGUCUAUUACCCGGACUUCAUGAGCCCAAACGCUGCUGAGUACUGGGCCCGGAAGAUCUCGGACUUCCGUCGAACCAUUCCCGCCGACGGGCUGUGGUGCGACAUGAACGAGCCCUCCAACUUCAAGGACUGGGAGCCGCUCAACGAGUACGACGACUCGCCCUACCGCAUCAACAACACCGGCAUUCACCGUAACCUUAAUAACAAGACCGUGCCGGUCUCCACGGUGCACUUCAACGGUGUGUCGGAGUAUGAUGCGCACAACCUCUACGGCCUCCUCGAGUCGCGGGCCACGCAUGAUGCUCUUCUCAAGGACACAGCGCGCCGCCCCUUCGUGCUCAGUCGCGCCACGUUCGUCAGCUCGGGUCGCUACACCGCUCACUGGACUGGCGACAAUGAUGGGCGGUGGGAGCAGCUUGCGCAGUCCAUCAACACCAUUCUCAACUUUGGACUCUUCGGCAUCCCCAUGAUGGGCGCCGACAUCUGCGGCUUCACCGGCAACACGACCCAGGAGCUUUGCAGCCGCUGGAUACAGCUUGGUGCAUUCUACCCGUUUGCCAGGGCGCAUGCAGAGAAGACAACCGCCCGGCGAGAGCUCUACGUGUGGGAGUCGACGGCACAGUCGGCGAGGAAGGCGUUGGGGAUGCGGUACCGGCUGCUCCCCUACAUCUACACGCUCAUGUAUGAGGCCCACACAACGGGGUCACCCAUAGCGCGCCCGCUCUUCUUCUCCUAUCCUCAGGAUGCCAACACCUACGGCGUGGAUAGGCAGUUCCUGCUUGGCCGUGGCGUGCUUGUCUCUCCGGUGUUAGAUCCAGGCACCACCACCGUGGACGCCUAUUUCCCGGCGGGCCGGUGGUUUAGUCUUCACGGACGCUCCCCCGCCAUCACCUUGCAGACCGGCAAGCGAGUGACGCUCCCAGCGCCAGCGGACUCGGCAAACGUGCACCUGGCCGGUGGCAACAUACUACCACUGCAGCAGCCGGGCCUUACCACGUCCGCCGCACGACAAAG
Molecule: long non-coding RNA, 117196 nt
Filed under: Triticum aestivum (bread wheat)
Lineage: Eukaryota; Viridiplantae; Streptophyta; Magnoliopsida; Poales; Poaceae
Description: long non-coding RNA (TAES_LNC023313)
Source: RNAcentral